This 148304-nucleotide long non-coding RNA is filed under the name Brassica napus (rape). RNAcentral's name for it is "long non-coding RNA (BNAP_LNC009615)". The stretch from base 112011 to 112135 matches the Rfam family "MIR9563 microRNA precursor family". The record is from RNAcentral. Lineage: Eukaryota; Viridiplantae; Streptophyta; Magnoliopsida; Brassicales; Brassicaceae.
CAAAAUCAAACCUUUAAAAUUUAUUCAAAAAAAAAAAAUCAAACCUUUAAACAUACAAAAAAAAAAAAGGAUUCAUCAUUUCGUCACAUCAUUAUACACAAAUAUAGAAACAAAGCAAAUAAAAUUAAUCAACAAGUCUCUAUUAAGAACCUUAAAACUGUAAACCCACAUACAAAAAUUCAACAUAUUCCCUCAAAAAUCAAACCUUUGAAACAUACAAAAAAAAAAGUUCAUCAUUUCGUCACCUUAAUGUGAAGUGUACCGCCGCCGAACUCGGAACCGGACUUGUUAUUGAGCUCCAACCAAGCCUUGUUCUCGUAAAAGCAAGCGCCUUUCCACUCAACGGCGUCAUUUUUGAUAGAGGCGGCGCCUAUGUAAGUGGGGAGGAGGUCGACGGCGGAGUUGAGAGAGUUGAGAAGCGGCCAGGAGAGUUGUCUCGGCAAGAGCGGGAGAAGGUCCCGAGGGUGAAAUGGUAAUUUGACGGAUGAAACGGUGAGAAGCAUCAGCACGGUAACGGCGAAGAUGAUGGCCGGAGAAGACGAAGAAACCGCCAUGGGUCAAUCAAAGUGUCUCACUUUCCGUGUCGAACUCGCAACUGUUAAUGACUUGGUUUAACGUAUUUAUUCGAGAGUAUAUUCCUCGAAUACAUGUAAUCAAAACUUAAUAUUAAAUUUAUACUUAAUACAUUUUUUUCGGGGGUGUAAUAGCUAUUUUGAAAAUGUUAGGUAUCAUUUGGUGAAUGUAGAAACCAAGAAGCCAAAUUCUGAAACUUUUCUACAAGUUUCGCAACUGGUCAUCACUAGUGAUCACUAUAGCCCCACGCAUCUCUUACGUAAACCACAACAUAACCACAGCCUAAUCCCCUCCUCUUUAUCAUUGGCUUAAAGUUUGAAAAAACAACUAGAAGACACAUCAUCUCUUUCAAUGGCUGUUUCAUUUCAAACCAAGUACCCUCUAAGACCCAUCACCAACGUCCCAAGAACCCACCGUCCUUCAUUUCUCCAUGUUCGUGUCACGUGCUCUGCUACUACCACAACCACCACAAAGACUCAGCCUAACCGUGAAAAGAAGCUUGUGGUUGAGAAACGUUUAGUGAGUCCUCCUCUUUCCAACGACCCAACUCUGCAGUCUACAUGGACUCACCGCUUAUGGGUAGCAGCUGGUUGCACCACCUUGUUAGCUUCUUUAGCUAAGUCUAUCACUGGAGGGGUUGGUUCUCAUCUCUGGCUCGAACCAGCUUUAGCCGGUUAUGCAGGGUACGUCUUGGCUGAUCUUGGCUCUGGUGUGUACCACUGGGCCAUUGAUAACUACGGUGAUGAGUCAACGCCACUAGUAGGAUCUCAAAUCGAAGCGUUUCAGGGUCACCACAAGUGGCCUUGGACAAUCACCAAAAGGCAAUUUGCCAACAAUCUACACGCUCUGGCACGAGUCAUAACCUUCACGGUGCUUCCACUAGACCUUGCGUUUAACGACCCUGUGGUUCAUGGCUUUGUGAGCACAUUUGCAUUUUGCAUAAUGUUUAGCCAGCAGUUCCAUGCUUGGGCUCACGGAACUAAGAGCAAGCUUCCACCUCUCGUCGUGGCGUUGCAGGACAUGGGAGUGCUUGUUUCAAGGAAACAGCACGGGGAACAUCACCGAGCACCGUAUAACAACAAUUACUGCAUUGUGAGUGGGGUUUGGAACAAGGUUUUAGAUGAAAGCAAGGCCUUUGAAAUACUGGAGAUGGUGUUGUUCUUCAAGCUCGGGGUGAGACCGAGGUCAUGGAGUGAACCAAACUCUGAGUGGACAGAAGAAACUGACCUCUCCAGUAGCCAAGCGUAACCAAUAGUUACAAGGUGGCCCUACAGGUGUUUGAAAACACAAUUAUUUAUAUAUGUACAAGAAAAUUGAUGGAAUAAACAAAUAAGAUUAUUUUUACGUAAUUUAUAUGCAAUACAGAGUGAGUUUAUUGAGUACAAAGCAUGAAUAAAAAAGAGAGCAUGUAAUAGUUUUUAAGUAUCAGAAACAACAAAUGAGUAAACAGAAGAGACACAAGGGAACCAGUACUGACAUUUUCCGUCUUUAAUGCCAUUGUCGAUCAUUGCAAGGCCCUCCUGUAAAUAAAUUAAUAGUAAAAUUACAAAGUUUCAGGACCCACACUGGUUCGUUGGUUGGUUGCAUUGUGUUAACCAUAUUGGAGAAAAUGCAUACCUCUAACAAAGUUUCGAGAGCAUCUAUGACCCGACCUGAUGUCCACGAGAGCCGUCUUCGUACUUGUUCCACGGUCACAAAGCCUUGACCCUGUGGGGAAAGCAACAUGAAUCCUCUAGUUAAUUCAGUUAAAGGAUAAUGCAAAAGAUGAAUGUUAUGAUUAUAACCUGAGCCAGCUCCAAGAUUUGGUUAUGGUCUUUGUUGAGCUCAGUGGGGACAAGUUUUUUCUUUGUUGAGUUCAAAUUUACUUUUUCUGUUGAAAAUCUGAAAAGAAAAAACACAAGUCAGAUAGUACCUUUAGCUUGCUAAUAGCUCGGAGACAAUCAUCUUCGGUGACAGCUUCACGGUCUUUUUUCCUUCUCUGACGAAGAUGGCUGGAUAGCUCUUGCAAGCUGAUCAAACCUCCAUUGAGUGACCUUGUAAGCAUGCAAACUUCAAUAAUCUAAACGCCUGUUUGAUCAAUUUAAUACUUUUCAGAUACAUGUAGCAAUUCCAAGUAAGAAAAAAGAAUAUAUAUAUAUAUAUAUAUAUACCAGUGUUUACUCCCUUAUCCAAACAUAGACUUAAGAAGCCAGAGCAAACAAUAUAAGCGUAUCUUCUAUGGCACUAGAAGAGAACAUGUGAGAGAAGAGGCAUAACAUACCAAGUUCAUAGUAGAAGUCACCAAUUCCAAGGAGCUCAGCCCAGAAGCCCUUGUUGGAAGCAAGUGGAUCCACACCAACUUUAGCACACAUUUCAUGGAACCGAGCUCUAAAGGCUGGAUUUUUACGAAUGUCAUUCUGCAACCAAAAAAGUUUCUUUUUUUUUUUUAGUGAAAUUAACCAUACUAAUCGAGAUCCGACAUAUCAUGUAAUAAAAAGACAAUCAAGAGACGAUGAUGUAGCAACAAAUCCAUAGACUUCAACAAAAAAAUUGGACCUUGUGUUUACGAACGUGGCAAGCUGUUCUUUCAUCAUAUCAGUUCGUAGCUUUGCCACAUUCUCUCCUAGUAACCGGUAUUGGUCCUGAUUGAUUUAUUUCAUGGAGAUCAUAAGAAUUAUACCGAAAAACAAUCAACAAGAGGUACGGAUUAGAAUAUCAAAUCUGGUUUAGAAGUAAAACCCGCGCAGCCGCGGCCCCUCCGAUUCCUGGUCGUCGCCGCAUCUCUCACUGUUUUUUAAUCUUCGCAAUUCUCCGAUUGGAAAUAAUAAUAGUUCCGACUUAAGAGAAUCGGAGAAGACGACAUAACUACUGUUCAUUGAUUAUUCAAACGUUGAUUGUUUGCGGUUUUUUAAAAUAGUUUUUGGUUUUUGUUUUUGAAAAACUACUUUAUUUGUCGAUCAAGAUUUUGUCAAAAAUAAUUUUCUAAAAAUGAGGGAAACUAGUUUUUCAAAUAAUUACUUUAAAAACCAAAAUCUGUCAUUUCUUAGCUUUUGACCAACGUUGAUGUUUCUAUUUUUUAUUUUAUUUAUUUUAAAUGAUAUUUCCUUUAAUAUUUGUCUCAUGUUUGUAUUAUUUUCACUCUCAUGAUAUGUUCCCAUUAGGCCUGGAACUUUUAUCCGAGAUCCGGAUUCGAUCUGUGAUCCGAUCCGGAUCCGAUCCGAAAAUUCGGAUAUCCGGAGAGACCGAAUCCGAAUCCGGAUAGUAAAAUGUUGGAUCCGUCAAAGCCGAAUCUGGAUCCGGAUAUCUUGAUUUUUUAGUCCGGAUAUCCGGAUCCGUAAAUUUUAUUAAUAACUAUUUCAAAAAUCCCAUUUCACUAACAUCAUAUCAUCAAAUAAAAUUCUUAACUUUGUUAAUAUUAAAUAAAUGGUUAUACUUGCAAUUAGACCAAUUAUUUUCAUCCCAACAUAUGAUCGAAUAUUUGUGUGUGUUGGGAUGAAAAUAAUUGGUCUAAUUGUAAGUAUAACCAUUUAUUUAAUAUUUACAAAUAUUGGAUCAUAUGUUUUCAUACUAGAUUAUACUAUUAAUUUACAUUAAUAGUAAAACUAUGCAAUAAAGAAAUAAAUGAAAAAUAAAUAUCAUAAUGACAAAUGGUUGACGAUCAUAUUCAUAUAAUUUUAAACAUUAUGUUCCACAUUUUCUUAAUAUCAAAAUUUUACAAUUUUUCUUUGUAAAUUUUUAUUCAUAUUUAUAAUGUUUCAAAUUUCCGGAUAAUUUAUCGUUAAUAUAGAUAAAUUAAAUUAACUUUUUGGAAGUAAACCUAUUUCAUCUGAUGAUGAAUACUAUAAAUUUAUGUGUGUGUUUAUGAUAACAUUUUAUAUUUUGACUAAUUUUAGAAAAUUCAAAAAAGUUUUGUUAAAUUUAUAAAACGAAUUAACGGGAUUUUGUUUUCAUUAAAUUUAAAAUAAUGAUAAUUACGAAUAAGCCUUUAAUAAAUAUCAUUUUGUAUAUAAGGGAAAAAUUAUGGUAUUUAUAUAUUAAAGAUUAGAAAUUUUUUAAAUAUAAAAAUAUAAUUUAAAUUGUUAUUUUAGAUUUAUUUUAUUAUUAUUAUUGAUUUUUAAUUGUUUAUUUUUUUCAAAAAAAUAAAUAACCAGAAUUUAAAAUCUAAAAUCUACAAUAACCAUUCAAGUUUUUUCAAAAAACUAAAAUUUACAGAAAAUCAAAAAUCAAAAUCAAAAACCAAAAUCUAAAAAUCAAAAACUAAAAUUUAAAAACCAAAAACCAAAAUCUAAAAACCAACCAAACAAUCAUCACCUUAGUUUCUUAAGUUGCCAACAAUCAGAGUGGCACAGCGGAAGCGUGGUGGGGCCAUAACCCACAGGUCCCAAUAUCAAAACCUGGGAGAGUAGGGAGAGUAGGGGUAGCUAUGAACCUUUAUUUCCAGCUCAACGGCCGUACCGAGAGAUCAUGUUUCUUCGCCGGCGAUGGGAUGGUCUUCACGACCAAUCCCGGCAUCGGUGAUUGCGCCUUCGUAUACCCCUCCUCCUCCACCACCACUGCAUUUUUUCCGAUGAUUGGUUCGAUGAUUCUCCUUUUCUUUUUCUGUCUUAUGUAAUCGCAAUGCUUCGAAAAAAUGUAAUCGCAAUGUAAUCGCCGUUAAAUUAAAAAUAAAUAAAUAAAUAAAUAUUUGGACGGCCUGAUAAGAACGACAAGGCUAAAUUGGUAUUUUAUCAUGGAAAAUACUCUAGGAUAGCACUAAAAAGUUUAUGUCACAAAUAUAGACUCUAAAAAUCAAAAUGACCAAAAUGUUUCAUGAAAGAGGUAAAUAUACACUUAUACCCUUAAGGUUAACUAAUCCAAACCUUAAGGUUUAGAGUUAAGGGGUGGAGAUUUUGGAUUGCAGUUUAAAAUUUUAUAAAAUAGAAAAUAAGUAUUAAAAAUUUGAAAAAAAAAAUUUUUAAAAUAGUUUCAAAAAGUAUUUUCGAAUUACAAAAAGAAAAUUUGAAAAACAAAUUUAUAAAAAAGUUCAAAUUUGAAAACAUAUAAUCUAAAACAAUUUUUUAUUUUUUAUUUUUUUUAUUUUUUUUAUUUUUUUUUAUUUUUUAAUUUUUUUUUAAUUUUUUUUAAUUUUUUUUAAUUUUUUCAUAUAUUUUUAUUAUUUUUUUUAAUUUUUUUAAUUUUUUUUAUUUUUUUUAUUUUUUUAUAUAUAUAGGGUAUUAGUGUCAUUUUACCUAUUAAAUGAAACAUUUUGGUCAUUUUUCUUCUUGUGAUCUAUUUUUGUGACCAAAAAUGUCUAUUGAUGAGAAUCGACCUUUUAUCAUUCAUUUAAGGGUUUUCUGCAAAAAAACCCUCAAUGUGGUUUUUUUUUUGUAAAUUAAUCCGCGAACUCAAAAACCGCAAUAUAACCUUCGGCCGUAUAUAUGUGUAUUUGACUGUGUAUAAUUUUAACAUUUUUCAAUACUACGUCGUUUUGACACUAAAUUUUUAAUGAAAAAAAUUUGUUGAACACACGGUUUGAACCUUGAACUUUAAACACUAUGUUCAUGCUACAUAACCAUCUCCGCCAACAAAUAUAUUUGUUUACUUAACAAACACAAUUAUAUAGAUUUCUAAAUUCAUUCCGAAAUGUCCUUGUUUCUUCUUCUUCCCUUGGACAUGGGAGCUUGCGUAAAUGCAUAAUGAAGGUGGGGUGAUCCAUAAAAACGCAACAUAUAUUUCUUUUUUUUCUAUCGUCAUGGGAGCACAUCAUAUCUUUCUUCUUUCCUUUGGCCACGAUAACACUCAAAGACGAAUGCGGAGAUGAGCCGGAAACGUGAAUCUCAUCCCGAUUGUUGUUCAAAACAUGUGAGAUAAUAACUAUAAGUAAAGAAAAUCGAAAAAAUAAAUGUUUGAGUAACAAUCAAAGGAUCUCCUCACCUUCAUUGUGCAUUUACGCAAGCUCCAUGUCCAAGAGAAGAAGAAGAAACAAGGUCAUUUCGGAAUGAAUUUUUAGAAAUCUAUAUAAUUGUGUUUGUUAAGUAAGCAAAUAUAUUUGUUGGCCGAGAUGGUUAUAUAGCAUGCACAUAGUUCUUGUGAUCUAUUUUUGUGACCAAAAAUGUCUAUUGAUGAGAAUCGACCUUUUAUCAUUCAUUUAAGGGUUUUCUGCAAAAAAACCCUCAAUGUGGUUUUUUUUUUGUAAAUUAAUCCGCGAACUCAAAAACCGCAAUAUAACCUUCGGCCGUAUAUAUGUGUAUUUGACUGUGUAUAAUUUUAACAUUUUUCAAUACUACGUCGUUUUGACACUAAAUUUUUAAUGAAAAAAAUUUGUUGAACACACGGUUUGAACCUUGAACUUUAAACACUAUGUUCAUGCUACAUAACCAUCUCCGCCAACAAAUAUAUUUGUUUACUUAACAAACACAAUUAUAUAGAUUUCUAAAUUCAUUCCGAAAUGUCCUUGUUUCUUCUUCUUCCCUUGGACAUGGGAGCUUGCGUAAAUGCAUAAUGAAGGUGGGGUGAUCCAUAAAAACGCAACAUAUAUUUCUUUUUUUUCUAUCGUCAUGGGAGCACAUCAUAUCUUUCUUCUUUCCUUUGGCCACGAUAACACUCAAAGACGAAUGCGGAGAUGAGCCGGAAACGUGAAUCUCAUCCCGAUUGUUGUUCAAAACAUGUGAGAUAAUAACUAUAAGUAAAGAAAAUCGAAAAAAUAAAUGUUUGAGUAACAAUCAAAGGAUCACCCCACCUUCAUUGUGCAUUCGCACAACAAAACCACAUUGAGGGUUUUUUUUUGCAGAAAACCCUUCAUUUAACCUAAUUCGUUUUAUAAAAUGACAAAAUAGGCCUUAAUUCUGUUCGAACCAAGGUCCAGCAUUAGUAUACCCAUGACAUUUACCACCAGGCUACAUGUCAACGACGAUCCAUAAUCAAAGUGUCUUAUGAUCCAACUGGAAAUUUAGUUUACCAAAUGAUCCAUAAUCAAAGUAAGGUGUGUCUAGCCAUAUUCCCAUGUCAAUUAGAAAAUUCGAGUUUUGUAUAAAUACGUUCAUCUCCUCCUACAAAAUAUCACAAAACCAAAAUCAUAUAUAAAAAUCAAGUAAAUAUGAGUAAUUUAGUUUUCAUAGUUUCUUUUAUUUUAAUGACCAUUGUUUCUCGGAUUUUCAAUGCUAAGCUGGUACGUAGUAUCACUUGUGAAACGGCGAAAGCCACAGUAGAACUUUGUUUGCAGGGGACCAGGAUACCAGGUCAGGAGCCAACGGAAACUUGUUGUAAUGCUAUUUAUAGCAUAAACCGCCAAGCAACGACGAAACAAGCUCGACAAGAUCUUUGCAAGUGUUUAAAGAUGUUAUAAGUUCAUCUCCAUAUUCAAAACUUAUCAACUUGCCUGAACUCUGUCAUAUUUCUAUGGCUGUGCCUUUUACCCCAUCAGUUGAUUGUAAUGGGUACGAUUGAUUUUUAUACUUUUCAAAUUAAUAAUUAUUAAUACUAAUUUUAUGUGAAACCAAAAAAAAAAUUGUUACAUACCGUUUGAAACCUUCUACCAAUAUUUCAAAUUCGUGUUUCCUUACUUUUAAAUAAAUAAAAGUGAAAUGUUUUUUUUUCUUUAGUUAGUUUCUAAUUUAAUUUUUGAAUUUUUAAUAUAUUUUAAGCAUUACAGUCUGAAGCAUAAAAGAAGAAAAAUAUGCAAGGGGCAAGAAGAUUAUUAAACAUUAUUAUUAAUGUAAUACUAUAUUUUCAUAAAUAAUAAGAUACAAUUCUAUCUCUAUCCAUCAUUUGUGAGCAUAUUUUCUUUUAUCAAGAGACAUGAUGCACAAAAAUAUUUUUUUGGUAAAACAAAUUUCAUUAACAAACAAUAGAAGCAGAGAAAACAGAGGACCAAAGCGAAGAAAAGAACGCAGGCAGAGUGGUAACCGAAUAACACCCAGACAGAGACGAUACAAUUUCAAAGAACCGCGAGAAAUCUGAGAAGACAAAGAAUGAACAACCAAAAAGAAGACCACACUUAAAACCCAAAACCACCUGCUACAAAGAAGAAACAGAGACCGGAAGACUCCAUAUUAAAUAAUUAUAUUGAUUACCAUAAUUUUUUCUUUCAUUAUUAUAUAUAUAUAUAUAUAUAUAUAUUUUAUAAACAUUAAAAAUUUGAUAAAGCAUUAUUACUCAUUCUAUAAUUUUCACAAUAGUUAACAUAAAACAUUAAUUGUAAGAUUUUUUGAUUAUUUGACAAGUAUAAUUAAUUAGUAAUAGUCUUACCUUAUAUUUUAGAUCAAAUUAAAAUAAUUAAAAAUUUAAAAUUAUGGACCAAUCAAAUUAUAACAAUUUUCUUAAGAUUUCAUCAAUGAUCAACACCUCAUCGAAAUAAGUGACUUCUCCUUUUCGAAAUGUUAGGUGGUAGUUGGUGAAUAUAGAAACUAAGAAGCCAAAUUCUGAAACGUUUCUAUAAGUUUCAGGAGCUGAUCAUCUCUAUUCUCUAGUGAUCACUAUAGCCCCCACGCAUCACUUUAAGUGAAUCACUUACGUACACCACAACAUAACUUUAAAGUAAUCUCUUCCUCUUUAUCAUUGGCUUAAAGCUUCCAUACAAAUUUGGUGUCCUCCACACAUCAUCUCAAACCAAGUACCCCCCUCUAAGACCCAUCACCAACAUCUCAAGAACUCACCGUCCCUCACUUCUCCAUGUUCUUGUCACCUGCUCUGCUACUACCACCACCACCAAGCCUCAGCCUAACCGUGAGAAGCUUGUGGUUGAGAAAUGUUUUGUGAAUCCUCCUCUCUCCAACGACCCAACUCUCCAGUCUACAUGGACUCACCGCUUAUGGGUUGCAGCUGGUUGGUGGUCUCUUUAGCAAAGUCUAUCACUGGCGCGGUUGGUUCUCAUCUCUGGCUUGAACCAGCUUUAGCCGGGUAUGUAGGGUACGUCUUAACUGAUCUUGGCUCUGGUGUCUACCACUGGGCCAUCGAUAACUAUGGAGAUGAGUCAACGCCACUAGUAGGAGCCCAAAUCGAAGCGUUUCAGGGUCACCACAAGUGGCCUUGGACAAUCACCAAAAGACAAUUCGCCAACAAUCUACACGCUCUGUAACGAGUCAUAACCUUCACGGUGCUUCCGCUAGACCUUGCGUUUAAUGACCCUGUGGUUCAUGGCUUUGUGAGCACAUUUGCCUUCUGCAUAAUGUUUAGCCAGCAGUUCCAUGCUUGGGCUCACGGAACCAAGAGCAAGCUUCCACCUCUCGUGGUGUCGUUGCAAGACAUGGGGGUGCUUGUUUCGAGGAAACAGCACGGGGAACAUCACCGAGCACCGUAUAACAACAAUUACUGCAUUGUGUGAGUGGGGCUUGGAAUAAGGUCUUGGAUGAAAGCAAGGCCUUUGAAGUAUUGGAGAUGGUGUUGUACUUCAAGCUCGGGGUGAGACCAAGGUCAUAGAGCGAGCCGAACUCUGAGUGGACAGAAGAAACCCACAUCAACAUCAGCCAAGCGUAACUAAUAGUUACAAGGUGGAUCUCUGCAGUAUCUGAUCUAUACGGUGUUUGUUUGAAAACACAAUUAUUCAUACAUGUACAAGAAACUUUAAGGAAUAUACUGAUAAGAUUAUUUUCUACGUGAUUUAUAUGCAAUACAGAGUGAGUGUAUUGAGUACAAAACAUGAUUACAAAAGAGAGAUGUAACAGUUUUAAGUAUCAGAUCCAACGAAUGAGUAGACAGAAGAGACACAGGGGAACCAAUACUGACAUUUUCCGUCUUUAAUGCCAUUGUCGAUCAUUGCAAGGCCCUCCUGUAAAUAAAUUAAUAGUAAAAUUACAAAGUUUCAGGACCCACACUGGUUCGUUGGUUGGUUGCAUUGUGUUUACCAUAUUGGAGAAAAUGCAUACCUCUAACAAAGUUUCGAGGGCAUCUAUGACCCGACCUGAAGCCCACGAGAGCCGUCUUUGUACUUGUUCCACAGUCACAAAGCCUUGACCCUGUGGGGAAAGCAACAUGAAUCCUCUAGUUAAUUCAGUGAAAGGAUAAUGCAAAAGAUGAAUGUUAUGAUUAUAACCUGAGCCAGCUCCAAGAUUUGGUUAUGGUCUUUGUUGAGCUCAGUGGGGACAAGUUUUUUCUUUGUUGAGUUCAAAUUUACUUUUUCUGUUGAAAAUCUGAAAAGAAAAAACACAAGUCAGAUAGUACCUUUAGCUUGCUAAUAGCUCGGAGACAAUCAUCUUCGGUGACAGCUUCACGGUCUUUUUUCCUUCUCUGACGAAGAUGGCUGGAUAGCUCUUGCAAGCUGAUCAAACCUCCAUUGAGGGACCUUGUAAGCAUGCAAACUUCAAUAAUCUGAACGCCUGUUUGAUCAAUUUACACUACUGUUCAGAUAGAUACGCCAGUGUUUACGUUCCCUUAUCCAAACAUAGACUUAAGAAGUCAUAGCAAACAAAUAUAAGCCUAUCUUCUAUGGCAUUAGAAGAAAAACAUGCCAGGUAAGGAAAGAGAACAAACAUACCAAGUUCAUAGUAAAAGUCACCAAUUCCCAGGAGCUCAGCCCAGAAGCCCUUGUUAGAAGCUAGUGGAUCCACACCAACUUUAGCACACAUUUCAUGGAACUGAGCUCUAAAGGCUGGAUUUUUACGAAUGUCAUUCUGCAACCAUAGGCAAAAAGAAUGCUUCUUUUUAAGUAAAAUUAACCACACUAAAUCCAACAGAUCAUGUUACUUAUGUAAUAGCAGAAACCAUCAUAGGAACAAAUACAUAAACUUCAACAGAAACAAAAAAAAAAAAUUGGACCUUGUGUUUACGAGCGAACUCUUCAAGCUGGGACUUGAACGUGGCGAGCUGUUCUUUCAUCAUAUCCGUUCGUAACUUUGCCACAUUCUCUCCUAAUAACCGGUACUGAUCCUGAUUGAUUUAUUUCAUGGAGAUCAUAAGAAUUAUACCGAAAAACAAUCAACAAGAGGUAUAGAUUAGAAUAUCAAAUCUGGUUUACAAGUAAAACCCGCGCAGCCGCGGCCUUUUGUAGCCCUCCGAUUCCUGGUCGUCGCCGCAUUUCUCACUGUUUUUUUUUUUUUAUCUUCGCAAUACUCCGAUUGGGAAUAAUAGUUCCGACUUAAGGGAAUUGAAGAAGACGACAUAACUACUGGCUCUGAUAAACUUUUUAAUAAAUUGUUUAAUAUAUUUUUUUAAUUCACAGUUUCUCUUCCUUAUGUUUCUUCAGACAGAUAUAUAUAUAUGAUAUAUCCAACCGCUCACAGUAUCUCGAAACACCUUUAAAAACGACAUAAUGAAAUUAUGAAAUAGAGAGACCUCAUGAUUACGUCUUAUGCUUAUGUAUGAACAACAGUACUAAAGCCAAGCUCUGUUCCGACAAUACUGUAUCUUACAGACAUAGGACAUUUGCUUCAGAAAACUUUUAAUGGAAGAGAACCAAGACAAAGACACAAGUUCAAGUUUAUUUGUCGAAUUGUUGCAGAUCGAUUUCCCAAACUGAAGCGAGCUGCAUCACGAGCUCUUCCGGCGCUGGACCUUCCCAGUCUUCAGGCGGAUCCAUGGUGGAACACGCGUCUUGUAAGUUGAACAAGAUAUCACUCUUCAGUUCCAUUGGAACUCCAAAUGUGUCUGCACCGUCUUGUAGAACCAAUUCCAGCAACUGCAAAUGACAUAACAAGAGAGAGAGAGAGAGACACACACACAUGUUAAGAUCGAAACAUCAUAUGAUUCUUGGAACCUAAUGUCAUGUAAAAGAAGAUAUACCUGUUGAAUCCAAGAUAAGCAGAUGUCGUAGAGAUUGUGAUCCAAGAGAAACUGAGCGAUGAAAUUAAGAGCUUCGUUUGCAAUCUCAUUUGACAUCUGGUCAAGAGAAGGUCCUGUCUUGUCCAUCAGCUUGAUAAUCAAGUGCUGGUCACCGGCGCAAAGGACUUCUGCGUAAGCAGAAUCAAUGUCACCAACACGGAGUGAGUGCAUUGCAUUACUCCAUGAACUCCAUAUCGGGUCACGUUCCUGCCCUUCGCUUUCUUCAUCUCCCAUGGCUUCAGCUUCAGGGACAGCAGCAACUCGGGUUGGACGAGUGACUGCACCAUCCUCGCCUGCUACUCUAAUAGCUUCAAGUGUAGCUUCAUCCUUUGAUGCUUGCCACACACUUCUUGCUGAGGGACCUUCACCAUACCUAAUGGUCCCAGCUGCCUUGUUAUCCCAACCUCUUCUGCCAUUUCCCAUGUGCUCAUUCUGGUAUUGAUCCGACCGGGGUGAUCUUCUUGGCCCACUUUGUCCGUUUCUUGAAGCACCAUGUUGAUGCAUGAACCAGUCAUCCGGCAUGUCAGAACCCCACAUCCUGCCCCUCAUAGCUCCAUCAGGUUGUGAGCCUCUGUCUCCUGGACCUCGGCCAUUAUAUUUUCCAGUGGAGUAGUUUGCAAAGCUAUUAUAUUUGCCAAAUCCAGCUGUCUGAUUACCCCUACGACCUGAUGAUAUUGAAAGAUCUCUUGCCAUGUCUUCAACAAUCCUCUCUAAACCCCUUACCCUGCCCUCUAAGGUCACCAUACUGUCAUGUGAACCACCAAUAAACUCCUGGAGCAUGUUCAUAAGGUUAGUCUGUUGUCUCUCUAGCUGCAAUAACUGCCUCUGGAUCGCCGACCAAUUUCCUCUGUUGCUUGUGAAAGAUCCGUCAGAAUGGUUAUCAGUAUCGAUGAUAGCAGCGUGAUUUCCGGCUGUCUGCUUUCCAUUUACACCACCAGCCUUAUCAUCAGCAGAUGUCCCAGCCUGUGAUAUGUUCCCGUCAGAACUACCUUUUACCAGUUUAUCACUCCCAGACUCUAAGUUGUGGAACUUGGAAUCUGGAAAUCCAUGAUCAUUUGAUUGGAUAUUCUUGAAGCGAUUUGAAGAUCCCAUGGCAUUGAGAUCAUCGGGUCCUAAUUCUUCCUCAUCUUCGUUUUUACAUCUACGAGGAACUACUACUUCCACGGAUUGCCUUCUUUCUAGUCUUUGGAAAAAUUCAGGAUUAAAGUCCUUGUCACUUAACGCAGGUGCUUUCUUCUUCAACAUGACUGCUGCUUUUUCAGGAAGACCUCCUUUUGCUUUAGAAGCAGAAUCCAGUGAGAGUAUUGAACCAUCGGAUCCCUCCUUUUUCAUUAGAUCAGAUAGAUUAGACCUUUUAUCCCCGUUCUUCUCCGAACCAAGCUGCUCACCAGAUGAACUCUUUGACUCAUCUUGAGCACCAUCUACACAUUUUCCAGAAAUCUUUUUCCAUAACUGUAGCGCCUCUGUCACAGUUUCCCUGACAGGUUUAAUCUGUCCAAGAAAAUAUCAUCAUUAAACUGUUUUGAGAAGAUCACCACAUAUUACAUAACCUAACUAUAUGUUUUCCAUGAAUUUCGCACUUCACAAAACAUUCAUCCAUUACAACGCUCACUAGUGAAAGAAAACUUAUAGAUGACUGAAACUUAAGAUAAUGCAGAUCACUGUAAAUAAAUAAAAGACAGGAUCCGGUGAUUAUUCACAAACAAUCAUUGAUCUUAUGAUUUUUUAAACACGUUCAUGGUGUAACUGGAUCUGUUCUUAAUACUAUUUAGAAAAAAGAACGUAGGUACCUUGUCAAAGCGACAGGUCUCAAGCGCCGCAAGAGUGGAAUCUGUUCUGUCCUUUAGCAAACUGGUAGAAUGAGAUGCCAGUGAAGUCAAAGUCUCAGCCGCAGCCUUUCGCGUUACCCAAUCUGUACUUCCAAGGCAAUCAUGAAUACUUUCUAGCAAUGACUCCAAGCUCUGAGGCGCAAUGGCUCCUACCUGAACCAAAGUGAUUGCUCUGUUACUACUCUUUUUUCAGACAAGUUAAACCAUUGAACCUACUAGCAACGAACUAUCAGAAGCAAAGAGACAGAAAGCUUCUUAAACCCUCCACAAAAUUUCAUUAUCCUAGUUAACCGAAAUGAAAACAAUAAACUUCAGCAAAACCGAGAAUAAAAAAUUGUCGGAUAAGAUUUAACCCUUAAGCAGUAAGGUCAGGUGAUAGAAUGGAUAUACAUACAUACAUAAUCUCAAAAAAAUCUAUUUAACAAUUGCAAUAUACAACUCAGCCCAUCCAACAAUAAGAUACUGAUCUAUUGACACUAAGCUUCCUCAAGAAUGGCACUAAGUUCAACAUUUUCACCACCACAUCAAACAUAGAGCCUAUUUUCACAAGGAGGCUAAGUGGUUCCGAGCAAACCUGAGAGAGACUCGAAACAACGGGCAAAAGGGAAGCUUUAGCCAAGAAACUAGAAUUGCUCAAAAGCUUGCAGAUUCUAGGGCAAAGCUUUUGGAAAGAAGCAACGGGAGGAGUAGCAGCUGAUUCCACCAUCCUAGCCAUACACAUCGCCGCACCAGAUUGCACCACUUUAUUCUGCUCCCCCAUUGCCUCAAACAACGGCUUAACGAACAGCCCCACCGCCAACGUAUUGCUCCCUUCCUCUCUCCCCUUGAGAUAAAUCCCAGACAAAGCACCAAUCGUAUCCCUACACUAAUUGUCUACUGACGGACAGUCCUCGUAGGCGAAAAUCACGCGAUGAUUCUGGUGAGAUGCGCCGCGGUGGAAUCGGAAUGCAGGCUGCAGACGUAGGAGAGGAGGUGGAGGCACUCCUUUUUGACGGCGGGUUUGGGAUCGGAGCAGGAGUCGUAGAGGCAGUUGAGGAACAUGGGUAGGGUUUCGGGGGUGAGGGAUUGGAUGGUUUUCUCGAGAUCUUCGACGGCGAUCUGGUACGUGUCUCGAUCGGCGAGUUUGGAGAUUGAGGUGAGGAUCUUCUGCUUCUGCUCCACCAUGGCUUGGAAUGAAGUGAGGGAACUGGAAUUGGAAUUGGAGGAGGAUGACCUAGCUGUUGCGUUCGAUGAUCUUGCUGGUCUCGUUGGCUUCGCGGCGGAAGCGGACGACGAAGGCGUGCUCAUUCUGAGAAUGCUGAUGAGAGAAGAGAUGAAUUAGAGAGGCGAUUUUGGAGAAGGAAGGUGAGAUCUGUCAGUGGAGAGAGUAACAAUGGUUAAGACUGGGAUUAGGAAAACGAGUCGCCCAAUCUUUAAGCUUUGUCAAACUUUUUUGUUUUCAAAUUUUUAAAAUAAAGAAAUUAUUUAUUUCACUGCUGGAAUAUUAAUUUGUUGCGUAAAAAGUGGGCUUCGCACUUCCGGCCCAACAAAUUUAUCUCUGUUUUGCUGGUGCAGUGAGUUAUGAGUUACUUGUUGCAAGAUGACGAUGGUCAAAUCACUGAACCACGCUCCAUCAGUGCCGGGUGAGAGAUUCUUCUCUCUUCCAAUGAUCUUCCUUAACAUUCAUUUCCAAAGAGUGUUAAUGUUCAAGUUAAUAACAGCUUGGACUACCCUGGAGUUGGACCUGAGCAUGGUUUCCUUAAAGACGUGGGACGGGCUGAGUAUUCAGCGUUUCCGAUGGAGAAGCCUUAGAAGGUACUCUACUUACUUGGCACAUCAUUUUUUGUUGUCUCUUUAACAUGUAAUUAGAACUUGCAUUUGAUCUCCGUGUGUAGCGUUCAAGAGAGUGUCUCGAUUGGAGAGGUUAUAUAAUUCCGGCGUUGGGGACAUCACAUGCGUUGCUCCAUCUGGAAAAGCUUUGUCCGACGCUAGCAGAUGGAACCAGAAUGGUCUUAAUCUUCGGCGGGAGAGGUGAUAAGGAUGUUCAGACGGCCAUUAAGUAUCUUGAAGUUUAAAGAGAAGAUUACUUUUAUUUUCAGACAGUGACUACAUUUUAUUUUCGUAGAUUGUCUCGAUUGGAGGGGAAAACCCAAAAUAGGAACAAAGAAUGAAGGAGGAAUGUAUCCUAUAAAAUAAGACUUCUCUAUUGAAAGUUUGAUAUUCUUAUAAGAAACAGCGAACUAUUGUUGGCUCUUCAAUUACCUGUUUUGUUUCCCUGCCAUCUUAAUUUGACCAAAACAAAAAAACUUAACAACUUCAUUACAAUUAGUUUAAUUCCCAAAUAAGCUUAUUUCGAGUUUGUUUGUCUUGUUUGCUCAUAGCAGUUCUUUGUUUCUCUUAUAAGUUUAAACGAAGAGAUUAAAGAAAAAGGCAAUAAGCAAAUGGAACUUUUGUAAAGAAGAGGUAAGAUGAAAUAACAAACUAAAUUUUAAGAAACAAGGUUUCAAAAUCCGACAGAUAGAUAUUGAUGUUGAGAUUCGUAAAAACACUAAUUGCCAAUCAAAAGUACAAAAAAAAAACAGAUAAGCAGAUAGUACUCAAUCUGAUCAAGCAGUGAUCUCCUUCUUGAGUUUAGCAAGCUCUUGCCUGACAACGCCAGCUUUCUGCAAACAAACAAAGACAAAUUAACAAUUCAGUUAAGCACAAGACCCCAACACAGUCAUAAAAUCACAACAAAUUAACAUACAGACUGACCUUGAUUUUGGCCAACAUGAUCUUGAACCUGUCGAAGUCAUUGAGGCUAGCCCUACGCUUCUGAACAAUGAGCUUCCUACCCCAUGAGCUCUUCUCCCACUUGUUCUUCACGUCUGCAAACACUUUAUCGGAUUAGACCAGAACAACUAACAAGUUUCAACAUUAACACACUGAACUCAUCACUAACCAGCCUUUUCCAUGGCCUCGAUCAAAGCCUUCUUCUUAGGCACUCUGUUGAUCUCAAUCACGAUAUCGGUAAGAGACAGCCUCUUGAAGUUCAUCUGGAUUCUCUCCAUAUCAGGAGCAUCUACCAAAGCCUAAAUAGGCCAAGAACAAAACAAAGACCCAAUAAGAAGAGUCUUUAAGGGUAAAGGUAUAGUCUGUAUCAUCAAAUCAAUUAGCUAUAAUAAUCACACAUCGAUCAAAACCAAUUCGCAACAAGGCAAUGUUCAUAAAAUUUUCCAACCAAUGAAAGAUCUACGGACUAAAUUCUCAGACAGCUCAACUUCACAACAAGAGAUAGAUAAGGGAUAACACAAACAAACUUACCCUGUUCUGGUCAACGACGUCGACGAUGACGACAAGCUUUCCAUGAUCUUUUCCGUAGUUGACAAGUGCAACUCUCCCAAUCUCCACGUACCUCUUGAACACCUAAACAAUCACAAACAAACAUGACAAUCUCAGUGACAACCACUUCACUCAGGAGCCACCUAAACCCUUGUCCUCCAUAAAAAUCGAGAACAAAGAAACUGGAAAUGUAAACCUCACCAUUUUCGCGGCGGUGGAUUUGAAGGUAGAUGCAAAGUGAAGGAGCAACGGCAGCUGAAGGCGUCUUACCACUCGCUGAAGAGACUAUUUAAACCUAAAGUUUUUUUUUAGGGUUUUCCGUUUUGGGCCGUUUCUUUUUAAAUAAAAACUCAAUAGGCCCACCCAUAUAAUGGUUCAACUUCAAUAACUAAAAGCCUAAUUAUUAAACGGCGUCGUUUAUCGUGGCUUGCUCUUUGCCCUUCUCUAUCAACGUUUAGUUUGCAUUUCGUUAAUAAUCAUUCCACCGAUCAUCUGCGACAGAAUGUUACACAAGUCAACUAUUUUUAAUUACAUGGAAUAUUAAGGAUUCUGUUAGAGAAAUAAAUAAAAGAAGGGGGUGACAGCAAAAAUCGAGACUCCGACUAACUGUCAUGACUAAUGAGACCAGGUCAUCGUUAUCAGAAAAGAAGAAGAUACUUAUUAUAAGCGACGACCAAUCAAACAAACAAACAAAAAAAGAGAAAACUAAAGAAACACAAUAACAAAGUUUCUGUCUUUUCGACUCCAAUUCACUGGGUCGCCCCCCCCCUUCAAUUCUCGAUCUUUUUUUUUCUUCAAAAAAAAAAUCGAGAAAUUUUAAACAAAUUUCAUCGUUGUCGAUCGAGUUUUGGGGAUUCCGAUCCAGUGUUAUUGGUUUCUUUUUUUUUUCUUUUUUUUCUCCGGGUAAAUAUUUGCGUGUAUAUUUGGGUGGGGGGAGAUGUGGGGAGCUGCAGCUGAGCCGGCUGAUUCUUAUUACCAAGUUCGUCCUGAGUGCACAGAUGUGGCCAAAACUAGAUUCAAGAUCAAGGUUACAUUCUUCCUUUCUGUUUUUUUUUUUUUUUUGUGUUGGCGAUUAAGAAAGCGUGAUUGCAUUAUCCAGAUUCAUUGCUUAUUGAUCUUGUCUGGAAUGCAAUUGUUUUCUUUAUUGAAUUAUGUAGAUCAUUGUGUGCUUGGGUACAUGAUCUCUCCUAAUGAGGACCCAUUGAUCUUAUGAGCUGUUUAAGCUCUCAGAUCUAUUCUUUCUUGAUCACAUUUUAUAUUUUUUGCUUGGGUACAUGAUCUCUCCUAAUGAGGACCCACUGAUUUGUGUGUUUAGAGAAAGACAGGGACUUGAUUGUCUAUUUUUUUUGUGAAAUAUAAUUAUCAAAAGCUUUGAGAGGAGUUUGGCACACAACAGUAAUUGACAAGAUACAUAUAAGACAAUGUCUUUCUCAUCGGUUAUGCAUUUGAUGUUUGGCACUAAAGUUGCUUGCAUAAGUUUGGUAGUUGCAUCAUGUUAAUCCACUCAAGUUUCUGACCGGUCAUUUUGUGAUGGCUAUGUGCAGCCAGGGAAAACUCUAAGUGUAAGAAAAUGGCAGGCUGCAUUUCUCCAAGACGGGACUCUCGAUAUUGGCAAGACUCUAAGACGAAUCCGAAGAGGGGUAUGUCAUUUUCCAAAACUCUUUUUUUUUUGCCAAGAUUUGUUUUAUGGCUUGCUUUAAUCUCUUCUACAAUUGAUCUUUAGGGAAUCCAUCCAUCAAUUAGAGGCGAAGUAUGGGAGUUCCUACUUGGCUGUUAUGACCCAUCAACUACUUUCGACGAAAGAGAGCAAAUCCGACAACGCAGAAGGUAUAUAUUAUUUUGUCCUUUUCUCCUUUAUAUGUGUAUCAUAUAUGCUUCCACGUUGCUUUAUUUAUGUGUUAAUGUCUCCUUCAGAAAGCAGUAUGCUUCUUGGAAAGAAGAGUGUAAGAAAAUGUUUCCUGUGAUUGGAAGUGGAAGUUUCAUUACCGCGCCUGUAGUUACUGAAAAUGGUCAACCCAACCUUGAUCCUCUUGUUGUUCAAGAAAUAAACUUAGGUAAUAAAAAAAAAGAAUAUCAUCUUCUUCCCUUUUUUUCCCAUUAGCUUAAGUUUUUUUUUCUAAUUCCAUGUGCUUCUUCUCUCUCUCUCAGGUACAAACUCAAAUGGUUCAGUUUUCUUUAAAAAGCUCACAAGUCGUGGACCUCUUGAUAAGAAAGUUAUCCAAUGGCUGCUAUCACUUCACCAGAUCGGUUAGUGUGACUUUAUCAUCAUCAUGGCUUCCUCUUAUCUCCAAAAGUUCGCUCAGUUGUUUAAUUUUUUUUUAUUUUUGUCAGGUCUUGAUGUGAAGCGUACAGACAGGUCUUUGGAGUUUUAUGAGAAAAAGGAGAAUCUGUCCAAGCUUUGGGAUAUUCUCUCUGUUUAUGCCUGGAUAGACCAAGAUGUCGGUUACUGUCAAGGUAAAACCAAUGGUUUUAUAUAUCAUUGUGUCCUCUGUUUAUUCUGAUUCUAGUUGCUAUGAUUUCAGGAAUGAGUGAUCUUUGUUCUCCAAUGAUUGUUCUUCUUGAAGACGAAGCUGAUUCAUUCUUUUGUUUUGAGAGAUUAAUGCGUCGAUUGGUACUAGUUAACCCUUAACCAUACUUUCAGUGUGUCUUUUUGUAUUUGGUUUGGUACUAAACGUUUGUGUUUUUGUUGUGUUUUUCGAAAUGAAAAGCGAGGAAACUUCCGGAGCACAGGGAGAUCUGUUGGAGUUGAAGCUCAACUUACUCAUUUGUCUUCAAUUACUCAGAUUAUUGACCCCAAGCUUCACCAACAUCUAGGUAUAACUACUACUACUACAGCUUUUUUGCCUCUCUAUAUGUAACAUACUCAUCUGUUAACCAAGCUCUGGUUCUUGAAAUGAAGAUAAACUAGGGGGAGGUGACUAUCUCUUUGCCAUUCGGAUGCUAAUGGUUCAGUUCAGAAGAGAAUUCUCGUUUUGUGACUCUUUAUACCUUUGGGAGGUAAUGAUUAUUUGUCUCUCACUCUCUCUUACAUGUAUUAGUCUUUCUUCUUAAUUCUCAGUGACAAACUCUGUUCUCUUAUAGAUGAUGUGGGCUCUCGAGUACGAUCCUGAUCUCUUUCACGUGUACGAGGCGCAUCAAUGCGGGAGUGAGAAAGUCGAAGUGUCCAACGGUAAACCAAAGUCGAUGAGCCAAUGCGGAAAGUAUGAGAGGCAAAACAUGAGGAAUGGAGGCAAAAGCGCCGAAGGUCCUUUGCCUAUAUCGGUUUUUCUAGUGGCCAGUGUCUUGAAAGACAAGAGUUCUAAGCUCAUGACUGAAGCUCGUGGACUUGAUGACGUUGUUAAGGUUAAAAACAUAGAUACGUCUUUCUUUUAACUUCUGUUUUACUCUGGUGAUCACAUUCCUCAUACCAUUUACUUAUGAUGAUGCUCUUAGAUACUUAACGACAUGAGUGGAAACCUGGAUGCCAAGAAAACAUGUUCUGGAGCUAUAAAGAUUCACAAGAAAUAUCUGCGAAAGGUUAUCUCUAAGUUUCUUUGAUCUUCUCUCUGAGCUGUCUUUGUGUCUCUCUUGCUGAAAUUCUCAUCUUAUGUUGUGUUCUUCUCUUAUUACAGGCUAAGAAGUAGCACUGCCGAACAUUCAUGAUUCUCCUGCUUAAACCCAUGGAAUCAUGAUAAAACCUUUUUCAUUAUUCCUUGGGUAGAAAGCAAUCUGGAAAAUCUUGGAGGCUUGAAUUAAUACACCCAGCAUAUACACACAAAUACACAAGAAAAAAACAUAUUUGUAAGCUGUUCAUAAAAGUUGAUGUUGCAUUUAUAUAUGAACAACAAGAUGGUUUCUUUUUGUAUUUACCAAAGGGGGAAAUGAAGAUGGAAAAAUACUUUUCUUAAGUUCAUAAUGCUCAUUUUCUGUUAUAGAAAUUUUAAAUAUUUUUUAUGAAGAAAAAAUGUAUGCAAAUGAGUUGGCAGGAUAGGAUCUUCUAAACCAAAGUACAACUUGUAGUAAUGGGCAAAAGUGUAUUAACAAACCCAUUAAUGGAUACAUGUUUAUUUAUUCGAUCUCAAAUCUUAGAAUAAAGAGAUAUAUAAACAUUCUCUUCAAGUUACUUAACCAUGGCAAAACACAUAAUCACCCUAUGCAUCUGCAGCCACUGGACUUAUGUUUUUGUUUGAUGGACUGUUGUGUAUUUUGAUGUGCCAGAGUCGUUACCAAUCAAUUUUUUAGACAGAUACACAAUUUGUAGUAACGGCAAGAGUGUAUUCAGUGCGAUUCACUCUGCAUCAGUUCCUUUGACUAAUGGAUACAAGUUUCUUGGACCAAACAAAAUUUUUAAAUAGAGGUACAUAACAAUUUUCUUCAAGUCCCUUCACCAUGGCUAAACAAAAAGCAACUUACAUAAAUAACUAAUGCAAACACCUCUUAAAACGAACACAUGAACACAAGAAAUGUUGUGAUCACGAGGAGAAUCGAGGGCAAGAAUCCAAUACCAGAUAACCUCUUCCCGGAACUCUUUUUAGGAAAGAACUUAGGAAGCUCACACUCUUCUCCAUUGAAGAAAACUCUCUUAGGAAACCCAUCUCCUCUUGGGAUAUUCAAACUCCCCAAAUGCUUUUUAAACGAUAUAACCGACUGCAUUUUCCCUGGCACCUUGGGGUCUCUACCAGGGUGCGUCCCGUUCGUGAGACCGAUCAAGAAGUUCAUACCACGAACUCCUUGGAAGAAAAUGGUCUGGUUCUUAGGUGGAACUCUUGACCCAUUGAAAGAGUAAACAUUCUCAUAGCCUAAACCAGCUUUACCCAAAUCCACAGCAGCAAACCAGUCCUCCACUGCAUUAGCUCCCCAGUUAAAAACCGUCACCCUCGCCGACCAUCCAUCAGCGUAGUCAGAGUUAACGUGCCAGUUUAAGCUGAUUCCGCAGUUGUCAGGACAAGGAAGCUUCUUUGGGAACGCCAGGUGUUUCCUCUUUGCCCAUACUUUUGCCUUGAGCGUCCGGUUUUCAAACGGUACUAAGAGCGAGUCUGGAGGGAGGAGAAGCUGUAUGGCGUUGGCGUUGCAUGUGUCGGUGUCGAUGUCUCCGCAACCGCAAGCACAUGUGUUGCAAGGGAUGGCUGAGUCGUUGUAGAAGGCUGAGUAAGAGACGCAGCAACGAGCGGCUUUUGGUUUAGGUUUGGUUAUGUUGCAGAUGACUUGCCAGGUGGCAAAAGCGUAGGUGGUAGCUUGGAGACCGCUCGGGUCAGGGAACCCGGUUGGAUCCACCCUUACUGGUGGUCCACACUUGUACUGUGGAUUGACUAUACCGUCGAUUUUCCAAUGCUGAGGAGGAAAGAAAGCUGUUCUGUUCUGAUCAGGUGGCACCUUGUAUACCUAAACCAAACACAUUCAAACCCUAGAUGAAAAACUCCUAACUAGUCUGAGCACAUUUACUUGGAACCAAAGAACCUAACCGUACUAAACAGAAAAAAACAGAACACAGAACCAAAUUUCAUCUGAACAGCUCUUUUAUCUCUAUUAUAAUAAAACUAAACCGAACCGGAACCAAACCAAAAUCUAAUUGGGUAUCCGAAUUUUAAAAAAUAUAGUUUAUAUAUUUAAAAUAUUAAUUGUAUUUAGUGUUUAAAUAAUCAAAUAUCAUAAAAAUACUAUUUAUAAAACUGAAUUACCCAAAAUAUAGAAUUGUCAAAUAUAUUUUAUUCGAUCUUUUAAAAAAUAUCCGAAAUUCGAUAUUUUUUUCAAAAAUUUCGAAUGACUUGAAAAUUGACCCGACAAAAAAAAAAUCGAAACCGAAUUGGACCCAAAUUUUCUUUGACAUUCACCAGUACUCUUGACCUUGUUACCCGAACCGAAUCUAAAACUGAAUUAACCGAACCAAAUUUCAAUAAUCCGAAUGAACCCUAUAUUACUAUUUCUAGAACCGAAAACUAGAAAACCAGAAAAAACAACAGAAACCGAACUGGACAUGCCUACUCCUAACUAUUUAUUCACCAAACACUAUACUCGUUUUGUCUUUGGGGCUAACCUGUAACUGAAAGAUGGCUCUGGACUUAGAGGCAUCCAUGAGAGCUGGCAAGAGAGUUCCAUUCUUGCAGCAGAAAGGCAACAUCCCGAGGAGUUUAUCUUCUUUACGUUCAGCUGGUAAGUCUUUGAUAAUAGGCUUCUUCUGACAAGUAGCUACCUGAGAGAAAUCAAGAUCCCCAUAAAACUGUCCUGCCUUGCUGUGCAAGCAUUCUGACGGGUUCUUCUCAGCUGAGUAAGCUCCACGCAAGGAGUGGAUGAACUCUCCUCGCAUCCACUCCCAUGUUAGAUUCCAGUGGUCUAACCGUCCCAAUGGACUAUCAUUGUCUAUAGUAACCUGUUCAAAACAUAUAAACCCAAUACUUUAUGUAUAUAUGAAUCUCUCAAGGUUAUAUUGGUAGAACUGAUGUAAUAAAUUGCCUGCGCCAUGUAGUUGCUUGUGUAGGCUUGAAGAACAUCAUAUAUUAUAUUCAAGUCUCCAUGUCGUCUAGGCGUGAACUUGGUUUUGGCUUUUUUCUUAGCUUUAAACUUAGGGUUCCUCUUACAACAAACUUGCAUUGUACCACCUGACUCAAAAACCAGACCGGAAAAGUAAGAAAACAGUCACAAAAGUAGUUUCUUGCAUAACAAGUAACUUAACAAUUUUAUGAGUUAAGGUUUUAUUUACCUUUUGAAGUAGCAGCAGGGCAUUGCCAUCCAUCAUUAACAAGCUUGAUCGAUUUCGGAAGUGGCGUAGCCGUACCUCUACCACCGAAAAGCGUUCCUGUUAUCUCGAUAUUCGUUGAGAUCUUAGUGUAGUCACCAGCUGUUUCUAUCGAGGUUUUUAGAUCUGUAUUAGGAGAACCAAUGAACGUUGUCCCAUUACUUGCAUCGUAAGGAAAGUCACCAUCCGAUGAGACAGCUCCCGUAGCAGAAACAAUUAUCUCUCUGUGACGAUACCCUACGAACAUUUCCCAACCUUUGACCUCUUCUAUCCCCGUGUUCACGAUCAUAGCCGUUGCCUUGAACGACCAGGCUUGAGCCGUGGCGUUUUUGGUGCGUGGAUAUAGCUUUUCGCGGCCGCCGGAGUUAUAUGACAUGUAAACUCCAUUGCAACGGGCAAGACCUGGCGGAGGAGUGUCUGUUUUCGUGGCAUCUUCGCCGUAGUCUUGAGCACGAGAUAAUGUCGGAAACAGAAGAAUGAUUAGAGGUAAUACAAGGAGAAGUAGGUUUGAAUGAAGGUAACGUAUCUUCAUCUCUACCGUGUUACCAAGUUUCUUAGGACGCAAGAAAGAGAAAGGAGAGAUGAUCAAGAAGCUUAAGCGAAUUAGAGAGGCAGAGCAUAACUGUUUCUCUUCCUCUAGUUUUUUUCCCUGCUUCUCCGGAGAAAACAGAGAUAAAACAAAAGGAGAAUACUAAUAUCACAAAAAAAAAAUGUCAAUUCUGAUUGAACCGGAUCUGACCAAAGUGUAUCAAAACCUCAACUUAAACCGAAACAGUUAGAAAGCAAAAUACAUUUGAAGUUUAAAAAUCUUUCAAUCCAAAACCACCAAUGCUUUGAUUUCAUUUAUGUUUUUGUUUACAAUGUCAAAUGGAAUGGAUCAAACGGGGAUUCUCUUACCGGUUAAGCUUAGUUCUCACUUAACCAUUUUGUUUUCCGUAAUCUUAUUAAAAAGAUAAGCAACCAUGAUCUCAGACAAGAACUUUUCAUGUGAGUACAAAAACUGGUAACACAUUAAUUGAACAAAGUGAGACAUCAGUAUCUUUCUCUAUACAUGUAACUGAUCAGCAUGGACGAGCAGGCAGGAGAGAAUGUAUAUUUUGUUUGCAUGUGGCUGGACGAAAUUGGUUCUGGACAACAUUCUCUAAGAUGAAACAUACUUUUGACUUAACCGUGGCUGCGAAAAUUUGAUCACAGCUACAUAAGUCAAAAACAUUUUCCAUCUUGAAAAUGUUGUCCUGAGCAAAACUCGUUGUUUAAGGCAAGCAAAUCUCAUGAGAGAUCGCUUAAAACAUGAUUCGAAGAGUAACCUUUUUUUAAGAUGGAAGAGACAGGAGAGAGCUUUAAAAUCUAUGUUCAUAAAGUGAAUAGUAUAACAAGGCUGAGUUUAUGCACUGCCACUGAUGGAUUCUCGUCCACGUUUCUGUAAAGUUUACACGCAUCAAUUCAACAGCUUAAGACUUUGAAGAAUCGUUGAAGCACACAUCACUGGCAGGCAUGGAUGAUGCAUGAAGCAUUAGAGCAAGAUGGUGGUGUUGAAGUAUAUAAAAAGAGUCGAAAGAUGUUUCAGAGUACGUUCACUCAUUUAAGAGACAUUGAAGUUUGGUCAUUAUCAAAUUGAAUCUCUCCUCCCACCUACCAUAACCAUUAUUAUGGAUACAUAAUAAAUACACCCAUUAUCUUACCAACCACUAUCUCGUAUGUAUUUUUCUACUUGUUACAACUUUAAACCCAUGGAAUAUGUAAAAGAUACUGUAUAAUAGAUUUUCAUGAACUGCAUAUAGAUGUAAGGAUCUUAUACUAGUGAAAUCAGAACAAGACCUAUGUAUGACCAAACCACUAAGGGCUUUUUCUUACUCUUGUUUUUCUGACAAAAGGAUUUUACACGAGAAUCUGUGAAUGGGUGAACUAAGAAACUGAGAUCUCUUCCAUGCCGCUUAUUUCUCCAGUUAGCUGAUCUUGUACUUUGGGCUCCAAGUCGAUGAACUGGUUCGACUUGCUCGCUAGAUGUGAGAUGCUUACUCUUCCUUGACGCUUGAUGUAAUCGGCAACAGCAUUCAUCUCUUCCAUUGAUAUGUAAAUGUAUUUUCCUCUAUCGUCCAUAACACCAGAGAGCCGUCCUGAAUAAAAGUGAGGAGGCUUUUUGAUACGAGUGAGGCUAUACGACCACCUAUCUUAUAUCAGUACAGUCGCAGGGCCUAUAAGGGAAAACAGGGGGAGACAGUUAAGGGCCCAAGUGAGGGCGUGAUGAAGUAAAAGAUCUAGAAGAUGGGGGAAUAAUGGAUAACAGCAGAGCGAUGCAGUUGUUGGUCACGAAUAGAGCAUGAGUACGUGAUCAGCCAGUAGUAUAAGAAUAAGGAGAAGACGUAGGUAAAAGGCAUCAGUUGUAUAAUCAGGGUUUUCAUGGAAGAGAGGAGAUACUCCUAAGAAAAACUCGAUUGUACUUAUCUCUUUUCAUCAAUAAAAACGUCAUUUCUCUUAUUUGGGUUUUUUUUUACAAGUUCGAUACAUCAAAAGUGUAUCAAAUUGGUAUCAGAGCCCUCGAAUCUGUGAAAAUGCCACCGAAGAAAUCUGACAUGGAUCUUACCUUGGAGCAGAUGCAGCAGCAGCUGAGCCGUCUUCCGCUCUUGGAGCAAGGGAAGAGUCNNNNNNNNNNNNNNNNNNNNNNNNNNNNNNNNNNNNNNNNNNNNNNNNNNNNNNNNNNNNNNNNNNNNNNNNNNNNNNNNNNNNNNNNNNNNNNNNNNNNNNNNNNNCCGAUCUUGGAGCAAGGGAUGAGUCGUAUGGAGACGAUGGAACAGUCGCUGAACGUGAUGCAGCAACAGCUUGCGGUCAUGUUCAGUCGAUGGGAGAUCGACCAGCAGGAGAAGGAAGAGGCGCAGAAGAAGCUUCGUGAGGCGGAGAAAGGAAAAGCGCAUCAGACCGAUGACUCUUUUCCGGAACCGGCAAGCGGGAGCAGACCCACUUUCGACGGUGACCGUAGGAGCCAAAUGAUGAUGCCAACUCCUAUGGGUCCUCGAUCGGAGGGGUUUUUUCACCAGAGCCAAGGCUCGAGCCAGUGGGAGGGGACACAAGCAUGGCGACAUGCGGCUCUCGCUAGGCGUCUGGAUCUACCUUCGUUUUCGGAAGAGGAGGCUGAGAGUUGGGUGUUGCGUGUGGAGGAAUUUUUCGAGCUGGGAGACAUGACGGAGGACGAGAAGUUUCGCGCGGUGCGGAUGUGUUUCACCGGCGACGCUUUACUGUGGUUCCGGUGGGAGCGCAAUCGAAACCCAUUCCGGAACUGGGCUCAGUUGAAACAUCGGGUGCUCGAGCAGUAUUCCAUGGUGCUCGAUGUUUCUUCCGGGGAGCGGCUGUAGACCCUCCGUCAAGAGGGAACGAUUAAGGAAUACAACCGGGAUUUUAUUGGUCUAGCUUCAAACGCGCAGGAACUUUCAGAUCCGGUUCUGGAGUUGGCGUAUUCGAUCGGGUUGAAGAUGAAGAUCCGGGCUGGUAUGAAAAUGUUUGAUCCCCGGAACCUUCAACAAAUGAUGAGAACGGCGAUUAAAGUGGAGGAAUGGUCCGGUGAUUCGGAGACGGUGGGCUCGAAAUCGGCAAAACCCACUUUUGGGGCCCAACCUACUAAGCCCAAUACCACCUCUACUUCACCGACUAAGCCCAAGCCCAACACUUCGACUCCUGCGUCUACAACGAUUCCAAAAGGGGCUGGAGCUAGGGUUACAACGGCUCAUGGUCGAUUGAAACCUCCGUUUCGCCGUUUGACACCGGCAGAGGUGGAAAAGUGGAAGGCUGAGGGCCUGUGCUACAAGUGUGAUGAGAAGUUUCACCCUAAUCACCCUUGUCAGCAAGCCCAGCUAACGGUACUCGUUCUUCACGCAAAUGGGGUGGAAGAGGAAUUGUCGGAGGAGCCUCGAGAGAUUGCGGUGGAGGCAGAUGAGGUGGAGGCGAUGGUUGUCGAGAUCUCCAUCAACUCGGUGGUGGGUUUCACAUCUCCUCGCACAAUGAAGUUGCGGGCCACUUUGUUCGGAGAGGAUGUCAUCGUCUUGAUCGAUAGCGGCGCGUCACAUAACUUCGUCUCGGAGAAGCUGAUUCAGAAAUUGGGAUUACGACCAAGCGCAACAGCGGCCUACGGGGUGUUGGUGGCUGGUGGCGUGAAAGUGACGGGCAAGGGAGUUCUUAAUGACGUCGAACUGAAGUUACCAUCUUGUACGAUCACCACCAGCUUCUUACCUUUAGAGUUGGGAGUAGCUGACGUGAUUCUCGGGGUACAGUGGUUGGACACCUUGGGCGAAAUGCGCGUGAAUUGGAGGUCGCAGUGUAUGAAGAUUUGGCUCAAUAAUGAGUGGGUGAUGAUAAGGGAAGAUUUGAGCUUACAUUCGGAAGCAGUGUCGUUCAAAUCUCUUUGGAAAGCAAUGGGGAAGGAUGAUGAAGCUCUCAUUGUUGAGUAUGGAGGCAUUCAGAAGAAUGAAGUAGGUCUUGCGGUGGCAGCAGACGGCGACUGGGCCGAGUUGUUAGGCCAAUAUGCGGGGGCGUUUGCCGAGCCAACGGAGAUACCUCCUUCUAGAGGCAAAGAGCAUAGCAUCACACUUGAGGAAGGGGCUAGACCGGUGAGUGUUAGACCAUUCCGCUAUCCUCAGGUCCAAAAAGCAGAGAUCGAACGGCAGAUAGCUUCGAUGCUGGCAGAUAAUCCAAGAGAGUGGAAGCCCAUUUUCGAGUCCGGUUCUCUUGGUCAAGAAGAAGGACGGUAGCUGGAGAUUCUGUGUCGACUGCCGAGCCUUGAACCGAGUAACCGUUGCUGACAAAUACCCCAUUCCGAUGAUCGACCAACUGUUAGACGAGUUACAUGGAGCGAGAGUGUUCUCCAAGUUGGAUCUGCGUUCGGGGUAUCAUCAAAUAUUGGUGCGACAAGAGGAUGUGCCCAAGACGGCUUUUCGCACUCAUGAUGGGCAUUAUGAGUGGACUCUCCAAUGCGCCGGCGACAUUUCAGUCCUUAAUGAACAAGGUCUUUCGUCCUCAUUUGCGCCAGUUUGUUCUCAUCUUCUUUGACGACAUUCUCGUAUACAGCAAAGACGAGAUCACACAUCGCGAGCACUUGAAGGCGGUGUUACAAAUACUGGAGGAGAAGAAGUUGUACGCAAAUCUUAAAAAGUGUCAGUUUGGGAGCUCUCAGGUGGAAUACCUUGGCCACAUCAUAUCGGGCCAAGGCGUGGCGGUUGAUAAUGAGAAGAUUAAAGCCAUGUUGGAAUGGCCAGAGCCCAAGAAUAUUAAGGCAUUACGAGGAUUCUUGGGGCUUACUGGCUAUUAUAGGAAGUUUGUGCCACUAUGGAAGCAUUGCGCGACCGCUUACCUGUCUGUUGAGGAAGGAUCAGUUUGGUUGGGGAACUGAGGCAAGAGGGGCGUUCCAAGCUCUACAGAAGGCAAUGACUACGGUUCCGGUUCUAGCCAUGCCCAACUUCGACAUUCCUUUUGUCGUGGAGACAGACGCAUCCGGUUACGGGUUGGGGGCGAUGCUUAUGCAGAAUCAUCAACCGAUAGCCUUCUAUAGCCAAGCUCUCACUGAACGGCAGCAGCAUAAGUCAAUCUACGAAAGGGAGCUGAUGGCAAUUGUGUUUGCGGUUCAGAAGUGGCGACACUACUUAAUUGGGAGGAAGUUUACGGUGCGUACUGAUCAGAAGAGCCUGCGGUUUUUGUUGGAGCAACGCGAGGUGAACAUGGAGUAUCAGAAGUGGUUGACUAAACUGCUUGGGUUUGAUUUUGAGAUAGUCUAUAAACCCGGCCUGGAAAGUAAAGCGGGAGAUGCUCUAUCACGCAUCGUGGAGGUUAAGGAGUUGUAAGCGGUUUCAGUGACUACAGUUCUUCAGCUGGAGGAGAUUGCUAGUGCGGUUGAUAAGGACCCUGAACUGCAGAAGUUGAUUUCUGAGUUGAAAGUCAAUCCUAGUACACAUCCAGACUUCAUGAUGGUACAGGGCCGACUCCUACGUCAGGGCAAGAUGGUUGUUCCCCGAGCUUCUCCUCUGAUUGGAGUGAUUAUGUCAGAGUAUCAUAGCGGCAAGAUUGGGGGCCAUGGAGGCAUUUUAAAGACUCAACGGCGCAUAUCAGAGUUGUUUUUCUGGUUUGGGAUGCUCACUCAUAUUCGUCGUUACGUAGCCGCGUGUCAGGUGUGCCAGAGACAGAAGUACUCUACCUUGGCUCCAGGGGGAUUGCUCCAACCUCUACCUAUUCCGGAGCAGGUUUGGGAGGAUAUUUCGAUGGAUUUUGUGGAGGGUCUUCCUCGUUCUCGCGGUUGGAACACAGUGAUGGUAGUGGUUGAUCGUUUGACGAAGUAUAGCCACUUUGUGGGGCUCAGUCACCCGUUUACAGCGACGGAUGUGGCACUGAUUUUCAUACAGGAGAUAGUAAAGCUGCACGGGUUCCCUCGAACGAUCGUCUCCGACCGAGAUAAGGUGUUCACAAGUAUGUUUUGGAAACAGCUUUUCAGGUUGUCGGGAACACGCCUCUGUUUCAGCACCGCGUAUCACCCUCAAUCUGAUGGUCAAACCGAGGUGACUAACCAAGGGAUGGAGACCUAUCUGCGUUGCUUUGCCAGUGAGAAACCGAAGACUUGGUCUACCUAUUUGGCUUGGGUGGAGUUGAGUUACAACUCUGCGUACCAUUCCUCACUCAAAAUGACUCCGUUUCGAGCAUUGUACGGGCGAGAUCCGCCUACUUGGAUCAAGUAUGAAACAGGUUCCACAACAAAUGCGGAAUUGGAGGGUCAGUUAGUGGAGAGAGAUGCAGCCUUACAGCUACUGAAGGAACAUCUUCAUCGUGCUCAACAAAUGAUGAAGCUGCGGGCUGACACACAUCGCAGGGAGGUCGAGUUCGAAGUGGGAGAUAAGGUCUUUGUGAAGUUGAGGCUAUACAGACAGAGAACGUUGGCUAGAAGACUGAAUGAGAAGCUAGCUGCACGUUUCAAUGGGCCAUUUGAGACCGAGAGCCGAAUGGGGAAGGUAGCUUACAAGCUUAAGUUACCAAAUGACGCGCAGAUCCAUCCCACGUUUCACGUUUCACAGUUGAAGAAGACGAUAGGGGAGGUUACUGAAGUAUUGCCACUACCCACACAACUCAAUAGUGAGGGAGAGUUGGUUGUGGAACCGGAGGGGUUUGUGUCAACAAGGGUCAAUGGAGGAACAUGACAAGACGAGAUUUUGGUGAAAUGGAAGGGUUUACCAAUUCAUGAGUGCAUUUGGGAGUGGGUGUCUGCAAUAAAGAAACGCUUUCCGAGCUUUGACCUCGAGGACAAGGUCAAUUUCAUUGGGGAUGGUAUUAAUACGAGUGAGGCUAUACGACCACCUAUCUUAUAUCAGUACAGUCGCAGGGCCCAUAAGGGAAAACAUGGGGAGACAGUUAAGGGCCCAAGUGAGGGCGUGAUGAAAUAAAAGAUCUAGUAGAUGGGGGAAUAAUGGAUAAUGGCAGAGCGAUGAGUCAUAGACAAGGCACGUGCAGUUGUUGGUCACGAAUAGAGCAUGAGUACGUGAUCAGCCAGUAGUAUAAGAAUAAGGAGAAGACGUAGGUAUCACUUUUCAGAUCUUAAAAGUCCCAUUACGGUUUCGCAUGAGUAGCUACCGUACGAAUCCUAGUUCAAUGGUUGGAUAGAGAGAAAAUUUACCAAUGCUCUCCAAAGAGGCGAUCCUAUUGAUGCAUUCCUACACCAACAAACAAUUGAAUCAGAUUCAGACUUAGAACAAUGACAAAAUGUAUUCAUAUUUGCUUCAUAGAAGAUGUAGCCAGCAGAAACCUGAGUUCGUAGAUUAAAUUCUGCAGCGAGAUCUUCAAGUGGAACACAUUUCUGUUUCUGCAAUCACAUAACAAAUCAAAAGGAAAAGCUACUUUUCCUGCACAUUGAUAAGGGAUGAGACAACACUUGUAUAUAUACAUCAUCAUUAAGUGUGUUUCUGUUGGCAGAAUAACGAUUAUAAUGGGAGGUGGGAAAGUGUUUGAUUAUUCAAGAUAUACCUUUAUGUAUUCAACAAAUUCUGAAAGCAAAUCUUGGUUUCCACCCUGUACUUCCUCUAUAGUACCUUCAGCGUCAACUGAGAACUCCCCUUUCCAUUUGUCAAACUCUAACGCAGCAGCCUCUUCUUCCUUGGCUUGUCGUGCUUUUUCUUCUUCUUCCUACAUAACAGCCAAGUUCAGUAUUUACUAGAGCAGGACGCCUAAACAGAAGAGAAUUGGAGAUGAAAUAAUUGACCCACCAGCUUCCGCUCCUCUGCCUCGCGCUCCUCAUCUUUCUUCCUCCGCAUCUCUGCAUACCAAUCUUGUUUUGUACUCCUUGACUCACGUGCAGCUUCUUCAGCCUUUACCAGAACAUAUGAAGAGAAUUUUGAUCAGGAAAGACUUGCCACGUACUAUUCUGAUCCAAGGGUAAAUGCUCUAUCCUUGAGCAACAAUCUAAGACUUUCACAGUUGGGACUGUAACUGGUGAAACGAUAUUCCUAUAAUUUCCUAUACUUAGUACUUGUAGAACAUUAGAAGAAUUCAUGGCGACAGAGACUGUUUAGGCACCUGUCUUUGUUCUUCUCGUUCUUGACGCUUCUUCUCCUUCUUCUUAGAUGCUCUGGCUUGAUUUCCAAUGGCUUCACCUUCUUCUUCAUCUUCACUCCCACUGAUGUUUUCUGUUUUCAAAUGUACCCAAAUAAAUAAUCCAAGCCCAGUAGUUCAUUUGUUUUCAGACCCUCCCUAAUCAUAAGCUAGCUUUAAAGCAAGAUGAAUAACAGGUUUCUAGUUCUCUCAGGCUUGACAGUAAACUCUAACCAAUAACACACGGUUGUGGUCACCAGCUAUAAAAGUAAUCAGAAACUUGAUAUUCCAUUCAUCUGAAAGCCAGGUCAUUAUUUUUCAGACCCUCCCUAGCUUUGCAGCAAGAUGAAUAACAAAUUCUCCAAGGCUUGACAGUAAACUCUAACCAAUAACACACGGCUGUUGUCAACAGCUAUAAAAGUAUCAGAAACUUGAUAUAGAUUAUCAUCUGAAAACCAUGUCUUUUAUUUGAUAGUUGAUACUGUCUUUAUACUUGGAAAACAAAACUCAACACUUGACACUUAACAACGUUAAAGAGACACAGAAGCUGUAAAGUACGAACCUUGAACGUUAGAUGCUGAGGAGGAGCUAGCACCAGCAGAAGCUGCGGGUCUCCGACGCAUUCUACCCCCACCACCAGUCCCACGUACCACGUUUUCACGUGCCUGAACCUUUAGGCAACCCCAAAACAGAGGAAUUACGUAACAAUCCAUUUCGCAACAAUGACAAAAAAAAAAAUUGAGAAGUUACCUGCGGCGGUUCUGCAUCUUCCUCACGUGAUCUAGCAUCUACCCGACGUUUCCAUAAGAACAAAGGAAUCACUGCAGCUAUGAGGAUCAUCGACACUAUCAAAGCGAAUAUCUCCUCCAUCUCUUACCUGCGAUCGAAAUUUAACCCAAAAAAGGGAAUUUGAAACAGUUUUGAGAAAAAUCAAAAUAUAAUAACGAAGCGAUCGACUCAGAUCGUUCCACAAUCUAACCUAAUUUUCAUAGUUUAACCUAAAGCGUCUUGCUCGAGGAUUGCAGAGCUCCCUCCACCUUGACUCGCAAGAGAAACGAUCGACAGGGUUAGUUUCGUAACUGUACACGACUCCCAGAAUCCUCUAUACGAGUCAGAGUCUUUGGUUUUUUUCUCUGUAUAAUAUGACUUGUUUAGUUUCAUGGUUUGUUAUUAAGAAAUUUGCUAUACGGAUCCAAGAGAUCUAUCUUGGUAAGAAAGAUAAUCAGAGAAGAGGCCCAUAUGAAGAGAAUUUUGAUCAGGAAAGACUUGCCACGUACUAUUCUGAUCCAAGGGUAAAUGCUCUAUCCUUGAGCAACAAUCUAAGACUUUCACAGUUGGGACUGUAACUGGUGAAACGAUAUUCCUAUAAUUUCCUAUACUUAGUACUUGUAGAACAUUAGAAGAAUUCAUGGCGACAGAGACUGUUUAGGCACCUGUCUUUGUUCUUCUCGUUCUUGACGCUUCUUCUCCUUCUUCUUAGAUGCUCUGGCUUGAUUUCCAAUGGCUUCACCUUCUUCUUCAUCUUCACUCCCACUGAUGUUUUCUGUUUUCAAAUGUACCCAAAUAAAUAAUCCAAGCCCAGUAGUUCAUUUGUUUUCAGACCCUCCCUAAUCAUAAGCUAGCUUUAAAGCAAGAUGAAUAACAGGUUUCUAGUUCUCUCAGGCUUGACAGUAAACUCUAACCAAUAACACACGGUUGUGGUCACCAGCUAUAAAAGUAAUCAGAAACUUGAUAUUCCAUUCAUCUGAAAGCCAGGUCAUUAUUUUUCAGACCCUCCCUAGCUUUGCAGCAAGAUGAAUAACAAAUUCUCCAAGGCUUGACAGUAAACUCUAACCAAUAACACACGGCUGUUGUCAACAGCUAUAAAAGUAUCAGAAACUUGAUAUAGAUUAUCAUCUGAAAACCAUGUCUUUUAUUUGAUAGUUGAUACUGUCUUUAUACUUGGAAAACAAAACUCAACACUUGACACUUAACAACGUUAAAGAGACACAGAAGCUGUAAAGUACGAACCUUGAACGUUAGAUGCUGAGGAGGAGCUAGCACCAGCAGAAGCUGCGGGUCUCCGACGCAUUCUACCCCCACCACCAGUCCCACGUACCACGUUUUCACGUGCCUGAACCUUUAGGCAACCCCAAAACAGAGGAAUUACGUAACAAUCCAUUUCGCAACAAUGACAAAAAAAAAAAUUGAGAAGUUACCUGCGGCGGUUCUGCAUCUUCCUCACGUGAUCUAGCAUCUACCCGACGUUUCCAUAAGAACAAAGGAAUCACUGCAGCUAUGAGGAUCAUCGACACUAUCAAAGCGAAUAUCUCCUCCAUCUCUUACCUGCGAUCGAAAUUUAACCCAAAAAAGGGAAUUUGAAACAGUUUUGAGAAAAAUCAAAAUAUAAUAACGAAGCGAUCGACUCAGAUCGUUCCACAAUCUAACCUAAUUUUCAUAGUUUAACCUAAAGCGUCUUGCUCGAGGAUUGCAGAGCUCCCUCCACCUUGACUCGCAAGAGAAACGAUCGACAGGGUUAGUUUCGUAACUGUACACGACUCCCAGAAUCCUCUAUACGAGUCAGAGUCUUUGGUUUUUUUCUCUGUAUAAUAUGACUUGUUUAGUUUCAUGGUUUGUUAUUAAGAAAUUUGCUAUACGGAUCCAAGAGAUCUAUCUUGGUAAGAAAGAUAAUCAGAGAAGAGGCCAAGUUAACGAGAAAUUCUUAACAUUCUCAUAUUAAAGAAGUGGCAAAGCCAAAGUACAUAAGAUGGUAGUCUCUUAGUAUCAUACCAAAGGUGAAUAGAGAGAAAACAGCAACAAGAGAAUCAAAGAUGAAAGUUGAAGAAAUGUUUUGGAAAGGGAGGAUAACAGUAAUGAUUCACUAGAGCAGAAUGAAGCAAACGGCCUAGGGAAACUGCAACACAAGCAGCUCAGAAACCAUGUAUCUUGAUGUUGUCCUUCUUCACAAGGCCAGCCUGUUGCAAGAGAAAAAGUAAAAGAAAAUGAGAUAAUGCAACAAUGUUUUUAUGUUAGCUUUGUUCGUGAUAUUACCUGGACUAGGAACGUGGAGACGUUCUUCCUCUGGUCGCCUUGAAGCUGAAUAACCUACAAAUUUUCACAGUAGCACAAUUAAAGAGAGAGCACACAUACAAAAGCUAAAAUUCUUAAGCCAAGUCUUUAACUGUCUGUUUGCAUUAUUUGAAUGAUACUACACCAACUGUUAAAAACAGUAGUUGAUGAUAUACCACGGAGCUUCAAAACACGCACCUGUCCGAGUUCAGAGUCUUGAACCACAGUUCCGUUGCAACAAAACUCCUUCUUGAGGUCCUUAAGUAUCUUGCUGUAACUAUACUCUUUCUUCAGCCCCUGGACCGUUGUCAAGCUUUUCCUACCAUUGCGCUGCUGCACACGGAUGUGGACGUACUCCUUUGUUCCCGCACCUGAGUCCUCAGCAUUAGCAUCAGCAAACGGGUCUGCAGAAAAAUCAAAAAGAAACUCAUUAGCCCUUAUCAAAUCCAACAUGAGAAACAUUUAACAAAAUCAUAUGAGCCAGAUAUGCAGAGGUAUUUCAAUCAACAAUGGAUACAAUUGGAGCUUACCGAAGGCAGUAGGGACCUGGGAAUCAAGUUCAGACAUGAAACUUUGUUGAUCUGGUGGGCAAACUACAGAGAAACUGAGACCUGAGAAAUAAUACCAACAUCACAUAAGAAUUUGACAAACACAAAGAGAAGGGCAACAACACACAGUAUAACUAGGGAUAAAAUAAACAUAACACGAUAACAAAUCAAUAAAACACACAAUUCUAGUACGAGCCACAUUCAAUUGGAGAUUACUGAUAAUCAAAUGGGAAACUAAAGAUUAUCAUCACCAACUGAAGAUACGAGAUGAGCAAAAUACCAUCUGAUCAUAUCCCAGACACGAUUCAGUCAAAUUACCCAAACAAUGUAAAGAGGAAACAUCAAUCCAUCAAAAGACUACGUUUUUUUCUUUUUCAAAUUCAGCUACAAUUAUAAUAGAUCAUAAGCAAAAGCUCGCGUCCGAUCUUCAGACGGAAAAAAAAAAAAAAACGAACCAGAAACGCAAUAAAUUUCACCUCGAAAUUAUGGAAAUCAAGGAAAUUACAAGAUGUAAUCUGCGAUCAGCUAAAGAAAGAAGACAAAACGUGGAUAGAAGAAGGGCAAUUCUACCUGAUUCGAGGAGUAGAGUUUCGAGGAUCUGAUUAUCGGGAGAAGAGAAGAGAGAAUGAAACCCUAGAUUCGGAUAAAGUGCAACUUAUGUUUCGGUGGAGGAGAGGAAGACGUAGUCUCAAAUUAUAUUUUCAAGGUGGACUUGGGCUUUGUACUUAACCCCUUGGUGGGCUUGUAAUUGGACUUCACACGUAUCCACUUGGUAGAUUUGAUUUGUCCACUACACCAGCUCCAAUUCCAUCAGAUAUGUGAGAAGAUAAUACUAAAGUCGGUGAUUAUCCUUUGUUAAAUAAUAGUGAUUGUCCAGUUUGGCACACGUGGGGCAACAACGCCUAUCCUUCUCAUGUUGCAGAUGUCAUUUUUAUAAUGAGACACAGUAUACGUGUCUUUUUACUUCUCUACUAUAAAUACCUCUUCCCCUUUGUAUUUGUAUUAAGGGGAAAAUAAUAAAGACUCUCAAUUCUCUACUCUCUCGUUGUUAUACAAAACAUAAACAUACAUAUAUAAUUUAUAGAUACAUCUGAGUUAGUAGUUUACAACACGUUAUCAGCAUGAAGUUCUGACUAACUGAGGUUUAUCAAUCCGAAAAUUUUUAAACCAGUCGAAGUAAUGUUUAAAUUUAUGUGUUUUAAUAUACUUAAUUUAUUUAAAUUUUAUUAUUGUUCCGGAGUGAGAGGCUAGGUCUUUUCUGUUUAUUUUCGGGAUGAUAGGCGUUGCCUUCCCCGACUGAUCGUUAUGGUAAGCUAUGCCUUCACGAUCAGAGAAACACGUGGUAGACGUUGCCUCCGUGAAUAAAAAAAAAAUCUAACAAUACUAAAAGGAACAUAUCAAGCCUUCUUAAGCUGUCCACGUCGGAUUGGAAAUUCAGGCCAAUCAGAAACUGACUUUAUGCCACGUCACUUAUCUUCUGGGUCUGAACCGGGCCAAGAUUUAUGUAUCUGAGUCGAUGUGGCCCACUUCCAUACGAAUCCAUCGCUUGGCAAAGCGCGACUCUCCAGACUCCACUUCAUCUUCACCGUUUUUAGAUCGAAAAUUAUGUUGUAUCUGAAAAUCACAGUUACGUUGGAGUUAAGUCGACCCACUCUUUCACAUUAAUAACCUUCAUUACUCCUCCCUUACAAGUUAGAGAUGUUAGCGUUCUGACUCCCAUUGUUCUUAGCUUUAUAUAAACUCCUUUAUAGAAUCUCAUUUACUACCUUUACAAAAUCAUUUCCUCUUCAUGUCAACUAUAGCCUAUUCAAUCGCCCACAAGAACAUACCUUUAGGGUUUCCAUUUCAAUUAAAGCACAAACCGAACGUUUUCACGCGAGAGAGAACGCAGAACUCGGUGACCCUAUCAAACCUAUCCUUUGUUUCGUCUUCGAAUCGAUCUGAUAUAUUCAUCCAAGUCGUGGAUCUCAAGCCUAUCCAAUCUAUAUACGUAAGAUUUUAACUUUUAACUCUGCAUCAGUAUUCAUCCUCCAUUGAUACCAUUUCUGGGUUCAAUAAUUUCGUCAACAUAUUGGAUUGUAGUUUCACCAUCGUCUAUGAUUCCAUGGUAUAGAUCUCGGUUUACAUGUUCUUAUUGUGUUUACAGGUUAGUGAGAAUGAUGGAAAGACGAAAGUUUCAUGCUGGCACUUGCGGAUGACUAAGAUCACAACAAUGAAAAAUUAAAAUCUGGAGAGCCGGAGCUGAGAUCCUCUGAUCCUCAAGGUGUGGAUGCGGAGAAGCCUGUUGUUCUCACUGAUGAGCCUUUGAGGGAGGCCUCUCCUGCAACCGAUGUUAACCUGGUUUAGAGGAAGUGGUGGUGGAUGGUGAGAAGUCUAAUGUCGAGAAGUGGGGCCAAGAGUUGCAGAAUUGUGAAAACAUCCUUCCCUGGAUAAGGUUCACAUCUAACAAUACCCUUCAAAACUAAAUUUGCUAAGCCCCAAGAUCGAGAUCAUACAUUGGAGUUGUCAAGAACAUGUAAGCUGAUACGUACGGAUGUAUACUAUGCAGGGUAAUUAUUUUGGUUGGGUCCAAGUUCUUCUUCUCAAUGUGUUGUAUGUUUAAAAUGAUUUCACUACUAUCUCUAGGAUCAUCUUUCCAACUGUUCGAUCCUGUGAUAUUGUGCAGCAUGUGAAACCAGAGGAAGGGAACCAAUAUAAUGGUAUUUGGUUCUAUCUUUUUUGCUUCAUCAUUUUUUUUAAUAAAGACAUUUUAGCUUGAGCAUGUCAUAUUUUGGACUCCUAUCAGGAUAUAUGCUCCAGAACCAUUUGAUGUUCGAAGGAUAUUAUAUUCAGACAUUCUCUCAAAUGAACUGGAAGUCACCGUUACAAUAGAUGAUCCAGUUGAUCCUGGUUGGUUUUACAAAAACUAUCCACGAUUCAAAUUUGAAGUGGCAGUAAGGUGAAUGAUGGGCUGGCUUAUCGAACUGCAGAUUCUUUCUUGGAAUCCCGAGUAGCGUCUUUGAUUCGAAAUUCAAACAGUGAAUUCAGAGUAUGUUCAUCUGUUUUUUUUUUCAGGGAAAGGGUUACAUUGAGUUUAUUCCACUAAGCUGAACAUUUAAAACUCCUUUUCAGGUGGUUAUAUUACAGAUGAAUGAACAAGACUGCAUCCUGAUCUCAUGUCUUUACCCUUGGAAGACAAGAAUAAAAUUAUCUCUAGGAUGGAUUACAAAGGCAAGAAUAAGUUGGUUGUGCGGAUCUCUGUUUCAGCGGAAUGGAUAGCCUCCCCAAUAACCAGCCCAUUGAAGUUACAGGUAAAUACCUAAUCUCCUGCAUAUUUCUCUCAGGAAAAAAGAAAAUUAGAAGCAUCCAGUAGCGUUUAUUAUCUUUUAGGUUAUAAUAAUUAUUUUGUAGCCAAGGAGUAUGAAUAUUCAAACCAUAUUUAACCAUAAAUUGGUUUUGGUGGCAAUUCUACUCAUUCACCAUAGAAAGUUGCAAAGCUACAUUAUAAUUCAAAAUCUUUCAUAUAAGAACUACCGAUAAACGUUGCAUAAUUUAUAUUAUUUAAGUUUUAUGCACGUUUUGAAAGACUAAAUAACACCAUGUCAUUCUUAUAAUUAUUUACGUUUUUCACUACGUUGAGAUUGUGAUUCUUCAUGCUAUUUCACCAAAAAAAAAAUAACUUUUUGGACAUUCUAUGAAACUGUUUUACAAUUGUAUAUGUUUUUUGAUAUGCACCCACUUUUUGGACAUGCUAUUUCACAAAAAAAAAACUCUUUGGAUAUUCUCAAUAGUUGUGAGGUCUUAAAUUAAAUUAUUCAGGGGAGGAUCAGGUAACUUUCAUAUAGGUAUUGAUUCCUAACUUUAAUUUAGCUUAUCAUUGAACCAUCUAUAAUUGAGUAGCACAUGAGUCCAUGCUUAUGCAGUACCUUAGUAUUGGCGUUGCAGUUGCUUUCUUCACCAUCUAUAAUCAUGAACAUAUUGAAUCAUCCUUUGUUUACUGAAAUUACUUGAGACUAUAGCCAUAACGAGUCCAUUUACCUAGAGUAGCUAACUCUAUUUGAAACUAAGUUUUCUCAUGGUCACUAUUAACAGGAGUUCGUAAAAGUAUAAAAGUGUCAAAAUCUGCUUGGCACAUCUAUUUGUGGUUUAAUGUUGUGGAGAGCUUGCGUUCACGAAAAAAACUCUUCAAAGGAGGAUGAAGACAAAGAGGCUAUGAAGACGAGCACACGACCCUUUUGAAUCCUCAUCACUAAAUUGUUCGUUGUUGUUUUUGUUGUCUUAAAUGGAAGACUUUAAAAAAAAAAAACCAUUAUGCCAAAAUAAAGUUAAAAUAAGUUUCUCAAAAAAUUAAGUUAAAAUCAGUAUAAAAUGACUAACAAAAAGUACAUACAAGAAAUUAAUUUAAUAUCUAGGUUAGUGGUUUGAAAUUAACAUAUAUUAUUUUAAUUAAAUAUUAAAAUAUAAUAAGAUUCCAUUAUUUAGUAAAAUAUUAGAAAAAAUAUCCAAAUCAUUUAAAACAAAAUGGAAAUAAAUUUCUAAAGAAUCAAAAUUAAAAACUAUUCAAAAGGUACUAAAUUGAUAUUUAGAAUGAUAUUAUGUAAAUCAACAUACAAAUUUAACUACCACGAAGAAACAAAUUAAAUCUUAAAAGUUAUAAAAUUCUUAAAAAUCAUAUCUGCCAAUAUAAAAUAGAAAUCAUCAUAAAUUUAUUUUUUAUUAAAACUAUAAGAUGAAAAAUUAUGAAUUUAAUUAGUUAUCUAUAGCUUUUGAUUACGCUCGAUAAGUCGCAUUACAAAGACUUUUUAAUUGUUACUUCUAGGCUAUCAAUAUACUGUUAGAUUUGUUCAUCGUUUAUUUGCAAUGUUUGACAAAACAAAUUUGUGUAAAAAUAAGUUUAGGUUAGAGAAUUACCAGUAGGUUCAUUUUGAGAAGUCUUUACAAUUUUUGAAAAAUUUCUAAUUUGCUUCUCGCUAUUCCAAAUCCAUUUUAAGUUGUUUAAUAACAAAUUUAAGAAUAAUGGAAAUAUGUUUCAACUCUAACAUACAAACAAUCUUGCAUGGUUAUAAUUUUUUUAGCCAAUACCAAUGCCUGAUAUAUCUGCAUAUAUGUAAUUUAAUCUAUUCCAAAUAUUUUUAUGUAAUAUUUAAACAUGAAAUCAUUAAUACGGAAUCUCCUAAAAGUUUCACAUUUUUAAAAUAAAUAAUUAUUUACAAAAUAAUUAAUAUCAAUGAAAUUUUAACACAGAAAUGAUUACACAUUUAUGAAAAUAUAUAUAUUUAUAUGAAAUGAAUUUAUUUACCUAUUCUUCAAAAGUAUAAUUUGAAAAAAAAACCUUUCAGAUGAUUCAUGAACAAAUAUAUGAUAUACAUAAAUUAAUAAAAUUUGAAUAUUUUAUAAAAUAUAAAUUAUUUUAAUUUUAAUAAAGUUUUAAACGAUUACUAAAAGAUUAAUAGAAAAUUUAAAUAUGGUUACAUAUAAAAUAUAUAUUAAAUAGAAAUUAGUGAUAUUCCUAACAAAAAUUUUAAUUUCUUCAAACUCUUUCACUCUAAUUUAUCAAAUUUUAUAUAAAAAAAAUGAUAUAAUAUAAACCCAAAAAUAAACUUAAUUUACUUUAAAGCUUAUAACUUAAUUUCUUUUAAACUCUAAGCUUUGAAUUAUAUUUAACAUUAAAAUUAUAGACAUUUAAUAGACAAAUAAACCGCGCGUAGCGCGGUAAAAUCUCUAGUAAAGAUUAAAAAUGGCAGACUAAGUCUCCUCGGACCUUGAAAUAAGUAAAAGUCAAAAUGGUAUACCAUGUCUCCUCGGACUUUGAAAAAUGAUUAAUAUGGUAGUCUAAGACUCCUCAGAUCAUGUGGUAGGCUAAGCCUCCCUAGAGUAGCUAACUCUAUUUGAAACUAAGUUUUCUCAUGGUCACUAUUAACAGGAGUUCGUAAAAGUAUAAAAGUGUCAAAAUCUGCUUGGCACAUCUAUUUGUGGUUUAAUGUUGUGGAGAGCUUGCGUUCACGAAAAAAACUCUUCAAAGGAGGAUGAAGACAAAGAGGCUAUGAAGACGAGCACACGACCCUUUUGAAUCCUCAUCACUAAAUUGUUCGUUGUUGUUUUUGUUGUCUUAAAUGGAAGACUUUAAAAAAAAAAAACCAUUAUGCCAAAAUAAAGUUAAAAUAAGUUUCUCAAAAAAUUAAGUUAAAAUCAGUAUAAAAUGACUAACAAAAAGUACAUACAAGAAAUUAAUUUAAUAUCUAGGUUAGUGGUUUGAAAUUAACAUAUAUUAUUUUAAUUAAAUAUUAAAAUAUAAUAAGAUUCCAUUAUUUAGUAAAAUAUUAGAAAAAAUAUCCAAAUCAUUUAAAACAAAAUGGAAAUAAAUUUCUAAAGAAUCAAAAUUAAAAACUAUUCAAAAGGUACUAAAUUGAUAUUUAGAAUGAUAUUAUGUAAAUCAACAUACAAAUUUAACUACCACGAAGAAACAAAUUAAAUCUUAAAAGUUAUAAAAUUCUUAAAAAUCAUAUCUGCCAAUAUAAAAUAGAAAUCAUCAUAAAUUUAUUUUUUAUUAAAACUAUAAGAUGAAAAAUUAUGAAUUUAAUUAGUUAUCUAUAGCUUUUGAUUACGCUCGAUAAGUCGCAUUACAAAGACUUUUUAAUUGUUACUUCUAGGCUAUCAAUAUACUGUUAGAUUUGUUCAUCGUUUAUUUGCAAUGUUUGACAAAACAAAUUUGUGUAAAAAUAAGUUUAGGUUAGAGAAUUACCAGUAGGUUCAUUUUGAGAAGUCUUUACAAUUUUUGAAAAAUUUCUAAUUUGCUUCUCGCUAUUCCAAAUCCAUUUUAAGUUGUUUAAUAACAAAUUUAAGAAUAAUGGAAAUAUGUUUCAACUCUAACAUACAAACAAUCUUGCAUGGUUAUAAUUUUUUUAGCCAAUACCAAUGCCUGAUAUAUCUGCAUAUAUGUAAUUUAAUCUAUUCCAAAUAUUUUUAUGUAAUAUUUAAACAUGAAAUCAUUAAUACGGAAUCUCCUAAAAGUUUCACAUUUUUAAAAUAAAUAAUUAUUUACAAAAUAAUUAAUAUCAAUGAAAUUUUAACACAGAAAUGAUUACACAUUUAUGAAAAUAUAUAUAUUUAUAUGAAAUGAAUUUAUUUACCUAUUCUUCAAAAGUAUAAUUUGAAAAAAAAACCUUUCAGAUGAUUCAUGAACAAAUAUAUGAUAUACAUAAAUUAAUAAAAUUUGAAUAUUUUAUAAAAUAUAAAUUAUUUUAAUUUUAAUAAAGUUUUAAACGAUUACUAAAAGAUUAAUAGAAAAUUUAAAUAUGGUUACAUAUAAAAUAUAUAUUAAAUAGAAAUUAGUGAUAUUCCUAACAAAAAUUUUAAUUUCUUCAAACUCUUUCACUCUAAUUUAUCAAAUUUUAUAUAAAAAAAAUGAUAUAAUAUAAACCCAAAAAUAAACUUAAUUUACUUUAAAGCUUAUAACUUAAUUUCUUUUAAACUCUAAGCUUUGAAUUAUAUUUAACAUUAAAAUUAUAGACAUUUAAUAGACAAAUAAACCGCGCGUAGCGCGGUAAAAUCUCUAGUAAAGAUUAAAAAUGGCAGACUAAGUCUCCUCGGACCUUGAAAUAAGUAAAAGUCAAAAUGGUAUACCAUGUCUCCUCGGACUUUGAAAAAUGAUUAAUAUGGUAGUCUAAGACUCCUCAGAUCAUGUGGUAGGCUAAGCCUCCAAUUUUAUUUAUGCUCUUUAAAUUUUUGCAAUUUAAAUUUAUGCCUUUAGUUUCUGCAUUUCAAUUUCCGUCUUUAUAUAUUAUUAUUCUAUGAAUUCGGUUAUUAUAUCAAAUUUGACAAAUCUCAAAAUAAAUGCCCUUGAUAUUACGGGAAAUAGUUAUAUGACCUGGGCAGCGGGUGCAAAGAUGCACCUGAGAAAAAAUGAGCUUUGAGAAAUCAUCGAUAAGUUGAAACUAUAUCGGAUGAGAAAAAGAUAAAGCCAUGAUAAUUUACACCACUUUAAUGAUGGUUUAUAAGAUGAGGUGUAUCAUGAGAAAGAUCUAGAAGAUCUUUGAAUAAUCAAAUCCUUGAAAGAAAGGAUUCACCAAAUUGUUGGAGUUGAUGUAAAUCCUCCGUGAGAAUUGAAAAGAAAAGAAACUCAUGAUACUAAACCAUCAAAUUGGUCCUUCUUGAAAAGGACAAGGAUGUGGAUGCGGUUGAAACCGCUAUCGUGGUCGUGGAAGAGGAUGAGGAAGAAGAUUCCAUCCCUAUGAUAAUAAUGGAAAUUUCCACGAAAAAUGAAAGUGGUCGGGUGAUAAAAGGCAAACAGAAAAAGUUUGCUAUAGAUACGGCCAGAAAAAAAUUGGGUACGUUGUUUUCGUACGCCAAAUAUUUAGCCGAUCUGUAUCGAGAUUCAAAAAGAAAAAGAGAAAGGAAGUGAAAUAAACUUCAUCUCUUAUGAGCCUGGACCAUCUUUUCAUAGCUUGAAUACUCAUCUUGAUGAUUCAGAUUUUCUGGUUGGUCCAGAAAAUGAAAAUAAAAUAUCGAUGUGAUAUAAAAAUUAUCUUCCUGAAUAAGAUUUUGAGAUUCAGGAUAGAGAUAGAUGUACUUGGCAGAUGUUGGGUCAUCGUACAUGACUACUAAAGGUAACAAAUAUUUCUCCUCUCUCAAAAUAAGUAAGUAUAAUAUCUAUUACUAUAAAAUUUAUUAUUAGCUCUAGAGGAGCUUAUGAUGAAAAGACAUGCAUAAGAAAAGGAUGGCAAAAGUAUAAAUGAGUGGUAAACCUGAAGUUUACUGAUAUAUAGCCAUCUCCAAUAAUGUUAUCCACAUUAUUGUGAAAUGUUGAAAAACCAGAAGUUUUUCACAUAUAGUAUGUCAAAAAAAUAAAGGAAACCAUCAUGGUGAUGAAUCAUCAAACAAGUUCACUAGAUGUGAUUUCUUUAAGCAGACCCCAAAUUAAGAUCUCACUCUAAGGGAUUUGAAACAUAAUUCAUCCCAAAUGGGAAAACUGAAUAUAUUAUUGGUUCUAGAGUGGGAUUCAGUACGAGAUUUUAGACAUGGAGUGUCAUCAUCUCGAGGGAGAGAAUUAAAAAAUCCUAGUAAGUGGAACAUUGAAAAAAUUAUGUUCGCUCUCGAAAAAGAACUUGAUAAAGUAAAUUCGAAUAAGAUGAUCCCCAUGAUCAGGUGUAAACAUGCAGUUGUGCAUGUAAUAAAGACAUAUACAAUCCAGAGGGAUAAAGUAUAUGGAUAAUUAGAAAUAUGCUCGCAAGUUUGCUAGAAGCAUAUGAUAAGCUGAUGGAAUGAGAUAUGUGAAAUGUAUUACAAUGAAAAGUAGGAUAAUCCAUUUACAAAAUGUCUGCUAGACAUUUUGAUUAAAUAAUGAUAUCUCAUAUUCCAGCUGAAAAUGCUCCAAUAAGAAAAUAGUGUCCUAAACGGACGAUAUAUGAGCCUAUGGCACACUAGAGACGUGAUAGACCACUUUGGUUCCAAAGAGUCCUCGAAAAAGAGCAAAAAUAUAAAUAGAGGAUGAAUCUCAUGAUGAGACCAUUGAUAUGGUUAAUAUAAUAGUCAGGUACCUGGGUAAAUCAUUGAUGAUGAUAAAGAGAUCUCGAUUAACCAUAUCAGUACGAAUAAAAAGAUGGAACCAAAGAGAAAAUAGAUUGUCGACAAUAAAUAAAAAAGCGCUAUAUAAAUAAGGAUUAUGAAUCUACCUCUAUGUAUGAGGGUAGAGUGAAUUGAUUGGCCAUCAAUUCGAUAUAAAGUUCGUUAGAAAAACGAGAUAUUUUUGGACUAAAAGUCCAAGGUAUAUAUUUCUCCAGAAAAUGAAAUGAAAGAUGACCUUGAGGUAUGAAAAACGGCUUGUUCCAAGGUCACUGGAGUAAAUUUAAAAUAGAUGCAAUAUAUUGAAAUGUCUGGGAGGACAAAAACGACUUGAGUUGCAUCUUGAUAUUUAGAAGUCCCUGGAGAGCUAAAGAUGCUCUCGGAAUGUAUAAAACUUUGGAAGAGUUAGAACAAGCCGUAUAUAAGGUAUAUUGAACCGGUAACUGGUGAUAUGUUUACGGCAUGAUUUGCCGAUUGCCAUUUUAAUGAGGAUGAAUUUCUAGCGUUAGGGAGAGGAAUUUGAGAAAUUCCUAAAGAGAUUACAUGGUGUACAUAAUCGUUGUUACACCUUUGUCCCCCUACGGAUCAAAGAGAGCUGGAAGUUCAGAAAAUUGUGCAUUUGCAAACCAGUUACCAGAAGAUACGACAUGAUAUACCCGCUGAAAAUGUUCCAUCAAGAGUUGAUGUUCCUAUUGUUGUGUAUCAGUGGGUAUUCGUGAGAAAAGUAACACGAUAUAAAACCUGAUUAGUAGAAAAACGAGAUAUUUUUGGACUAAAAGUCCAAGGUAUAUAUUUCUCCAGAAAAUGAAAUGAAAGAUGACCUUGAGGUAUGAAAAACGGCUUGUUCCAAGGUCACUGGAGUAAAUUUAAAAUAGAUGCAAUAUAUUGAAAUGUCUGGGAGGACAAAAACGACUUGAGUUGCAUCUUGAUAUUUAGAAGUCCCUGGAGAGCUAAAGAUGCUCUCGGAAUGUAUAAAACUUUGGAAGAGUUAGAACAAGCCGUAUAUAAGGUAUAUUGAACCGGUAACUGGUGAUAUGUUUACGGCAUGAUUUGCCGAUUGCCAUUUUAAUGAGGAUGAAUUUCUAGCGUUAGGGAGAGGAAUUUGAGAAAUUCCUAAAGAGAUUACAUGGUGUACAUAAUCGUUGUUACACCUUUGUCCCCCUACGGAUCAAAGAGAGCUGGAAGUUCAGAAAAUUGUGCAUUUGCAAACCAGUUACCAGAAGAUACGACAUGAUAUACCCGCUGAAAAUGUUCCAUCAAGAGUUGAUGUUCCUAAAAAACAAAGUGAUGGUAACAAAAUAAAUGAACCUAGGGUUCAGUUAAAGAAGGGGAGACUAGCGGGUUCUAGAGAUAAAAAUCUCCGAAAGAAAUUGGUUGAGAAAAGUUGCAAGGUUCCUGAAGAACCUGAUACUGAAAAAUGUCUGAAAGAAGACAUAAGUGGAAAGGUUCAAAGAGAACCUGAUACUGAAAGAUGUCUGAAAGAAGGAUUAGUUGCCCAAAGAUUUUCUCAGAGACCGGAAAUUGAUUUUGAGGAAACGUAUUCCCCGGUAAUGGAUGCAAUUAUGUUUAGAUUUUUGAUGAGCCUAACGGCAUCUAAAAAUCUUGAGAUGCAUCUCAUGGACGUUGUGACUGCGUAUUUGUAUGGAUCGUUGGAUAACGAUAUAUAUAUGAAACUCCCUAAGGGAUUGAAAAUGCCAGGGGCAUUGAAAGAAAAAUCCAGGGAGAUUUGUUCGGUCAAGUUACAGCAAUCACUUUACGGAUUAAAGCAAUCCGGACGCAUGUGGUACAAUCGCUUAAGUGAAUAUCUUUUGAGUAAAGGAUAUGUAAUAAUGCGAUAUGUCCAUGCGUUUUUAUAAAGAAAUUGUCAUUUGACUUUGUGAUCAUUGUUGUAUAUGUAGAUGACCUAAACAUAAUUGGAACUCAAAAGGAGGUUGAUGAUGCUUGAACUUAUAUGAAAGAGGAGUUCGAAAUGAAAGAUCUCGGAGAGACAAAGUUUUGUCUUGGGCUCCAGAUAGAGCAUCUCCGAGAAAGAAUAAUUGUGCAUCAAUCAAAUCAUACGAAAAGGUUAUUGAAACGCUUUUGUAUGAAUAAAGCGACUCCUUUGAGUACUCCAAUGGUAAAUAGAUCUCUCGAUGUUGAAAGAGAUGUUUAAAAUAUCCUGGUAAGAUCUUAUAUAAAUAAGUACUUUGGAGAUGCUAAUGGUAAUAAAGCAUAUAUGAGCUUAUAUAUCUUGCGAGUUGUAUUUGAUUAAAUAUACUUUUAGACACUAAUGUCUUUGCGAGAUAUAGCUCAUUUCCUAUUUACGGAAAUUAGAACGGCGUCGAGAACCUAUCUGUUCUCUCCAAGGUACGUAUUGAUUUAGGAGUAAUUUAUCCUAGAAACCCCGAGUUUGGUAUGUUUUGCAGAUACAUGAUAUUUAUAAAGUCGAACACAAACCGGCUAUGUUUCUACAAUUGGUGGAACCGCGAUCUCUUGACGGUCCCAGAAACAAACUCUGGUUGCGACAUCUUUGAUUCAUGCAUAAACUAUUGCGCUUCACGAAGUAUGUCGAGAAUGUGUGUGGCUUCGGUCAAUGAGUCACCACAUACGAGAAUCAAGCGGAAUAGUUAACGAGAAAGAUCCGACGAAAAUAUUUGAAGAUGAUUCGGCUUGUGUCGCUCAACUCAAAGAAGACUACAUUAAGAGUGACAAGACAAAGCACAUCCCUCCAAGAUUUUUCUCGUACAUAAGGGAGCUCGAGAAAAAUAAAGAAAUGGACAUCAAGUAUGUACGGUCAUGCGACAAUCCGGCUGACUUGUUCACAAAAGCCCUUCCCACUACAACAUUCCGAAAACACGUUUAUGGUAUCGGAAUGCGGCAUUUGCGUGACCUCUGACGAGAAAGCUAUGUCCACUAUUUUUAGGGGGAGAUUACGGUAGUGUACUCUUUUUUCCUAGUCAUGGUUUUUGUCCCAAUGAGUUUUUCCAUGACAAGGUUUUUAACGAGACACUACGUAAUACAAAAAAGAUAAUCAAGAGGGAGUCCUAGAAGAUAAUACUAAAGUUGGUGAUUAUCCUUUGUUAAAUAAUAGUGAUUGUCCAGCUUGGUACACGUGGGGCAACAACACCUAUCCUUCUCAUGUUGCAGAUGUCAUUUUUAUAAUGAGACACAGUAUACGUGUCUUCUUAUAGCAUGAUAAGUUCUUAGAGCAUCAUUAUUGGUGGGAUGAAGAAAGAGAGAAAGAUAGUCCUUUGUUUUAUUUUUUUUUUAUUUUUUUUGGUCGUUGGAGAGUAAGGGACAACCCUUAAUUUGGGGCUUUUCCCUUCUCUUUCUUCCUCGGUUCCCACCCCUCUCCUCUAAAGGAUGCUGUAAGGGAUUUCCAAUAAUGAUGCUCUUAGGAUAGGGUUCUUAGCGGAAUAUAAGAACCCGUCUCUUAACUUUUAACUAAGAACCGGCUCUUAAAUAAGAGAUUUAAGAACCAGUUCUUAAUUUUUUUACUAUUUAAGAACCGGUUCUUAGUUUUUUUAGUUAAAAAUUAAGAGACGGGUUCUUAUAUUCCACUAAGAACUCUAUCCUAAGAAUUCUCCGUUAAUCAUGGUCUACUUCUCUACUAUAAAUAUCUCUUCCCCUUUGUAUUUGUAUUAAGGGGAAAAUAAUAAAGACUCUCAAUUCUCUACUCUCUCGUUGUUAUACAAAACAUAAACAUAUAUAUAUAAUAUAUAGAUACAUCCGAGCUAGUAGUUUACAACAAGAUAUUCUUCUUUUUUUUUCUUCAUCGGAUACAUAUUCUCCGAUCGAUAUUAUGGGAUUUAAUAAGUUGACUGACUUUAUGUCUUAACGAUCCCGAAUUACAUGGUUACGUGUUCUCACACUUUCUUUUACGAGUGUUUAUAACCUCGUGCUUAAACUUUAAAUUUUAGUUUACCAUGUAAUUGAUUAUGAUCAGUGCCAUUGUGUGAUUCUUUUUUCUUAAAUGUCUUAACUUGAAUUAACUAAAUGCUUAAAAGGAAAUUCGUUUUUUAUAAAAAAAUAUACAAAAUGUCAGAAUAUGAACUACACAUCAUACAUGCAUGGUUGCAUGGCAUGUAGACGCGGAAACUUGUCACUCCUCCACAUUUGAGAUUCCAACACCUAAUCGCUACAAAAACCUUAUAGAUUCUCCCUUUCUCACAAACAAACACAUUCAUGCAAUGUUACACGUGAUCUCCAUGCAGAACAUCUUUCACGCCUAUAAAUACCAACCAACACUCCACUUCCCUCUUCACUCAAACGAAAACAAGCAAAAAACAUACACACAAAUAGCAAAUGGCCAACAAGCUCUUUCUCGUCUCGGCGACUCUCGCCCUCUUCUUCCUUCUCACCAAUGCCUCCAUCUACCGAACGGUCGUAGAAGUCGAGGAAGAUGAUGCCACAAACCCAGCCGGCCCAUUUCGGAUUCCGAAAUGUAGGAAGGAGUUUCAGCAAGCACAACACCUAAGAGCUUGCCAGCAAUGGCUCCACAAGCAGGCAAUGCAGUCCGGUAGUGGUCCAAGCUGGACCCUCGACGGUGAGUUUGAUUUUGAAGACGACAUGGAGAACCCUCAGAGCCCACAGCAGAGGCCACCGCUACUCCAGCAGUGCUGCAACGAGCUCCACCAGGAAGAGCCACUUUGUGUUUGCCCAACCUUGAAAGGAGCAUCCAAAGCCGUUAAACAACAGGUUCGACAACAGCAAGGACAGCAGGGACAGCAGCUGCAGCAAGUAAUUAGUCGUAUCUACCAGACUGCUACGCACUUACCUAAAGUUUGCAACAUCCCUCAAGUUAGCGUUUGUCCCUUCCAGAAGACCAUGCCUGGACCCUCCUACUAGAUUCCAAACGAAACCCUCGAGUGUAUGAAUGUGGUUGUCGGUAUAUGUCAACGCCACACUUCAUCGCGUAAUAUGUAAGGUCUUAUCUAGGAUGUUUGAGGCUAUGUAAUUAGCACUACUCCAUAAUAAAAGAGGNNNNNNNNNNNNNNNNNNNNNNNNNNNNNNNNNNNNNNNNNNNNNNNNNNNNNNNNNNNNNNNNNNNNNAAAAAAUAUUUUGAUAAGCGAAAAAUUAAAAUCAUGUAAUUAUAAACAGUUUUAAGUGAUAUAAAUUAAAAUAUAACAAAAUUGAAUUGUUUUCAACAUAGAUGAGUGUAGGUAGUGAAUCAUGGUAUUCUUUGGUCUAGGGUUUGACAACAUAUGUUGUAGUAUUGUAUGUAUACUUAGGGUUAGAUUUUGGAAAGCUUGAAUGUUUUUUUGAAAAAUUAAUUUUUUACCUAUGCAUGUUUAUUUUUGUGUAUAGUAAAUACUUUUGAAGUUUAAUUUGGUUUUAUGAAGUGUUUAGUUAGUUAAUUAAGUUUAGGGGUAAUGUUUAUGAUCUAGACUACUUACAUUUCAGUCGUAUGGUGAAGAAAUUAAAACAGACGACUUACAUGUAAGUCGUCCAAAUAUUUCCGCCUAAAAUUUUUUUAAAAAUUAUUUUCCCGCUUAAAUAAUAUAAACCAGACGACUUACUUGUAAGUCGUCUAGAAAGUGUUCUAUUUUAGUUUCUCACUAAAAAUAUUUUAAUUUCCCGCUAAAAAUAUUAAAACCUUCUGGACGACUUACAAGUAAGUCGUCUGAAUCAAACAUAUUUAACCUAAUUGAAUUUUUUGUCUCCCUAUAUAAAGAAAAAUUUACACAUUUUCUCUCCUCCUCUCAAAUGGCUGCAACAAAAAUGUAAUGUUCAUCACUCUAAAAGUCUUCAACCUCUCUCUAAUCUUUUUGACUUGAAAACACCAAACUUUAUAUGAAUUUUUCAGUUUUGUCUCAUGUCUUUCUUAAUAAUCUAUCUUUUUUGCAGGUUUUUAAUCAGAUGGUACUCAUCUUCCACUCAUUUAAAGGUAGAUCUAUUAAUUUUAGAUAUAUAUUUUUGUGUGUUCUAUAAAGGUAGAUUUAUCUAAUCUUCCACUCAUUUUCUCUAUUUUUAAGUCAUUUGAACGUUUUUGGAUAUGCAGGUUUUUCAGAUCUGGAUUUGAUAUGCAGGUUUUUCAGAUCUGGAAGACUUCUAUAAUGUUCUUGAUCGAUCACCGGUUUUUGAUGGUAUAUUACAAAGUCGAGCUCCAAAAGUUAAUUACAUUGUCAACGGACAUGAGUACCAUUUGGCUUACUAUCUCACAGAUGAUAUUUAUCCAAAAUGGGUUACUUUUGUCCAAUCUAUUCCACUCCCGCAAGGUCUGAAAGCAUCCUUAUUCGCUACACAUCAAGAAGCUGUAUGUAAAGAUGUCGAGCGUGCUUUUUGGGUCUUACAAGCUCGAUUUGCCAUAGUAAAAAAUCCAGCUCUUUUGUGGGAUAAAAUAAAAAUUGGAAAGAUAAUGAGAGCAUGUAUCAUUCUACAUAAUAUGAUCGUAGAAGACGAACGAGAUGAGUACACUCAGUUUGAUGUAUCAGUUUUCGCACAACCAGAAUCAAACCGAAGUUCACAAGUGGAUUUCACGUAUUCUACAGAUAUGCCUUCAAAACUCGGCAAUAUGAUGAGCAUUCGGAAUCGAGUUCGUGAUAAUACAAUACAUCAACAAUUGAAAGCGGAUUUGGUUGAGCAUAUAUGACAAAAAUUUGGAACAAUCAAGAUUUCAACUAAUCGGUUUUUUCUCGUUUACGAUUUGUAUUUGUAUUUUUAAUAUGCUUUUAUGUCAUUUUUAUUAAGAAUUUUAAUGUAUGAUUUUAUUUUUAAUCAUUCUAUUUAAAAAUGAAUUAUUUAAGAACCCCUUGGGGUUCUCCCAUUGGGAGAGGAAUACAUAAUUUCCUCAAACAAAGGUUCUUUAACUACUCAAAUCACUUUAUUAAAUAUUAAUUUACUCCUAAAAACCCAUUAGAGGUUCUAAUGGAUGGACUUGCUCUUAACGAUCCCGAAUUACAUAGUUAUGUGUUCUCACACUUUCUCUUACAAGUGUUUUUAACCGCUUGCUUAAACUUUAAAUUUUAGUUUACCAUGUAAUUAAUUAUGAUCAGUGCCAUUGUGUGAUUCCUUUUUCUUAAAUAUCUUAACUUGAAUUAACUAAAUGUUUAAAAGGAAAUUCGUUUUUUAUAAAAAAUAUACAAAAUGUCAGAAUAUGAACUACACAUCAUACAUGCAUGGUUGCAUGGCAUGUAGACGCGGAAACUUGUCACUCCUCCACAUUUGAGAUUCCAACACCUAAUCGCUACAAAAACCUUAUAGAUUCUCCCUUUCUCACAAACAAACAAACACAUUCAUGCAAUGUUACACGUGAUCUCCAUGCAGAACAUCUUUCACGCCUAUAAAUACCAACCAACACUCCACUUCCCUCUUCACUCAAACGAAAACAAGCAAAAAACAUACACACAAAUAGCAAAUGGCCAACAAGCUCUUUCUCGUCUCGGCGACUCUCGCCCUCUUCUUCCUUCUCACCAAUGCCUCCAUCUACCGAACGGUCGUAGAAGUCGAGGAAGAUGAUGCCACAAACCCAGCCGGUCCAUUUAGGAUUCCGAAAUGUAGGAAGGAGUUUCAGCAAGCACAACACCUAAGAGCUUGCCAGCAAUGGCUCCACAAGCAGGCAAUGCAGUCCGGUAGUGGUCCAAGCUGGACCCUCGAUGGUGAGUUUGAUUUUGAAGACGACAUGGAGAACCCUCAGAGCCCACAGCAGAGGCCACCGCUACUCCAGCAGUGCUGCAACGAGCUCCACCAGGAAGAGCCACUUUGUGUUUGCCCAACCUUGAAAGGAGCAUCCAAAGCCGUUAAACAACAGGUUCGACAACAGCAAGGACAGCAGGGACAGCAGCUGCAGCAAGUAAUUAGUCGUAUCUACCAGACUGCUACGCACUUACCUAAAGUUUGCAACAUCCCUCAAGUUAGCGUUUGUCCCUUCCAGAAGACCAUGCCUGGACCCUCCUACUAGAUUCCAAACGAAACCCUCGAGUGUAUGAAUGUGGUUGUCGGUAUAUGUCAACGCCACACUUCAUCGCGUAAUAUGUAAGGUCUUAUCUAGGAUGUUUGAGGCUAUGUAAUUAGCACUACUCCAUAAUAAAAGAGGAUUUUAGUGUUUUAUUCGGUGUGCAUGCUCUCUAAGUGGUUCAAGAUUUUAGUUUUCAAGCAAAUUCCAAUCAAAAUUGUGCGUUACUUACAUCGGCUGUUUAACGGCGUGCAAAACACCGAUCGAACUGAUCUACGAGGGCAUAUGCCAUCGUUCAAUCUCUGACCAAGUCUCUUACAAUAAAUUAAUGAAUAAUAAUACUAAUUAAGCAAAAAGAGAGAGAAGUGAACGAUCAGCUCUUCAGACCACCUCCAGGACCCCUAAUGGGUACUGAAAAUUAAAUUAGUGUUUAAUUUAGUGAUUUGAAAGGUUUAGAACCUCUAUUAAUCUAUUUAAUUUUUUCAUCUUCUAUUGGUAGAACUUCAUUGAGGUACUUAAAAAAUAAUUUAUUUUUUUUAAAGUUGAAUGAUUUGAAAGACCAUGAUACAUAAAAUUUUCAGGGGAAUUUGUCAAAACUAACCCACAACUUAAUUUUAAUCCCAAACAUAUACUCAAACUUGAAUCAAAUGCAAAGCUAAUAUAAAAGCCUUGUGAAAUUACAGCUCAACCACUUUUUCUAAGUCAUUUUUACGAAUAUAGCCCUAGUAAAUCGUCUGAGUCGUCUGAGAUGUUGGAAGUCGUCUGGACGACUUCAAAUUAAGUCUUCUGGUGUAGUUGAUCUUAAAAAUAACUUUUAAAUUUUUUAAAAAAUAUUUUGAUAAGCGAAAAAUUAAAAUCAUCUAAUUAUAAACAGUUUUAAGUGAUAUAAAUUAAAAUAUAACAAAAUUGAAUUGUUUUCAACAUAGAUGAGUGUAGGUAGUGAAUCAUGGUAUUCUUUGGUCUAGGGUUUGACAACAUAUGUUGUAGUAUUGUAUGUAUACUUAGGGUUAGAUUUUGGAAAGCUUGAAUGUUUUUUUGAAAAAUUAAUUUUUUACCUAUGCAUGUUUAUUUUUGUGUAUAGUAAAUACUUUUGAAGUUUAAUUUGGUUUUAUGAAGUGUUUAGUUAGUUAAUUAAGUUUAGGGGUAAUGUUUAUGAUCUAGACUACUUACAUUUCAGUCGUAUGGUGAAGAAAUUAAAACAGACGACUUACAUGUAAGUCGUCCAAAUAUUUCCGCCUAAAAUUUUUUUAAAAAUUAUUUUCCCGCUUAAAUAAUAUAAACCAGACGACUUACUUGUAAGUCGUCUAGAAAGUGUUCUAUUUUAGUUUCUCACUAAAAAUAUUUUAAUUUCCCGCUAAAAAUAUUAAAACCUUCUGGACGACUUACAAGUAAGUCGUCUGAAUCAAACAUAUUUAACCUAAUUGAAUUUUUUGUCUCCCUAUAUAAAGAAAAAUUUACACAUUUUCUCUCCUCCUCUCAAAUGGCUGCAACAAAAAUGUAAUGUUCAUCACUCUAAAAGUCUUCAACCUCUCUCUAAUCUUUUUGACUUGAAAACACCAAACUUUAUAUGAAUUUUUCAGUUUUGUCUCAUGUCUUUCUUAAUAAUCUAUCUUUUUUGCAGGUUUUUAAUCAGAUGGUACUCAUCUUCCACUCAUUUAAAGGUAGAUCUAUUAGUUUUAGAUAUGUAUUUUUGUGUGUUCUAUAAAUGUAGAUUUAUCUAAUCUUCCACUCAUUUUCUCUAUUUUUAAGUCAUUUGAACGUUUUUGGAUAUGCAGGUUUUUCAGAUCUGGAUUUGAUAUGCAGGUUUUUCAGAUCUGGAAGACUUCUGGGACGACUUACCUGUUAGUCGUCUGGAAGUCGUCUGGAAGUCGUCUGGACUUCUUGGAAGUCUUCUGACAAAGUCGUCUGGACUUCCAGGAAGUCGUCUGGACUUCGACGAAGUCGUCUGGACUUCCAGGAAGUCGUCUGGACUUCCAGGAAGUCGUCUGGACUUCCAGGAAGUCGUCUGGACUUCCAGGAAGUCGUCUGGACUUCCAGGAAGUCGUCUGGACUUCCAGGAAGUCGUCUGGACUUCCAGGAAGUCGUCUGGACUUCCAGGAAGUCGUCUGGACUUCAUGGAAGUCUUCUGACGAAGUCUCCCUUUCAUAAUAGAUCUGAGCGUUUUGGUAAGUUCUUAUGUCUGAUUUUUCUUCAUUUGGUAACUUCUUGUUGUAUAAAGUUCUUACUUUUUUCCCAAACUAAAACUCUCCAAACCCACUCUAAUCUCUUUGACUUGAAAACACCAAACUUUAUAUGAAUUUUCCAGUUUUGUCUCAUGUCUUUCUUACUAAUCUAUCUUUUUUGCAGGUUUUUAAUUAGAUGGUACUCAUCUUCCACUAAUUUAAAGGUAGAUCUAUUAUUUUUAGAUAUGUAUUUUUGUGUGUUCUGUAAAGGUAGAUUUAUCUAAUCUUUCACUCAUUUUUUCUGUUUUUAAGCCAUUUGAACGUUUUUGGAUAUGCAGGUUUUUCAGAUCUGGAUUUGAUAUGCAGGUUUUUCAGAUCUGGAAGACUUCUGGGACGACUUACCUGUUAGUCGUCUAAAAUAUAAUGCACUAGACGACUUCCAGGAAGUCUUCCAGACGACUUCCAUUUCAGUCGUCUAGACUUCCUAAAAGUCGUCUAGACUUCCUGGAAGUCAUCUGGAAGUCGUCUGGACUUUCUGGAAGUCUUCUGACAAAGUCUUCUUCCAUAUCAAGUGGAGUCCAAGCUUGUCUUUGUAGAGGAAUGAUCUAUAAUAGUUUUGUUUGUGGUCUGUUUUGUGAAUUGCAUGUCUACUCUUUUAGUUGUGAAUUUUUUGUAAAAUCAGUAAUAAUGUUUUCCAAGAUGUAUUAAAUGUGCUAACAAUGUGUUUACACAUUUACAAAUCAAUGAAAUAAUAAACUUCAGUAGCCUUUUUUUAUCAAUAAUAAACAAAUCAAUGAAAUAAUAAACUUCAGUAGCCCGUCUUCCGCUGAUCCUCUCACCAUUUCUUGCGCAUAUAACAAUGCUCUGUAUGAAGUGGUGUAAUCAAGUGUCAUGCCAAACAUGUUCUUCAUUGCAUCUUUGAUAUGCUGCGGAUUCAACCCAUCAAUGAUUCCAACACGAUCUAUGAAAAGUCGACCAAUGUACUUCGGAGUACAGCGUUUCCGCUGAGCGAUUCUGUCUGGAAUGGAACAUGUAUGAGUUGCCACAUACUUGGUUACCCGAAACGUUUUAGUCCCAUGUUUCACACUUGCUCGGACCUUCCAUUGACAACCACUAACAUGAUAUGUUGCCACAAAGAGAGUUUUCGUUGACUUGAAUAUUCUGAAGGAGAACCUACGCCUCACCGCUGUCAACCGCAACUCUGAAAGCAGUGCAUCCUUACUAGCAAAACUCUGGUUGACAUAGAUUCUGUCUACAGAUGAUCCUUCUCCUUCACAACCAUAUGCCCAAAACAGAUUUCAUCAUCUUCUUCCUCAUCCUCGUCUUUAACCAUUCCAUACUCACUAUAAUCAUCAGCAUCAGCGACAACAGGGAUGUCAGCAUCCUCUUCCCCAUCAUGAUCCUCAGCUUCAUGCCCCUCCUCAGCUUCAUCCCCCUCCUCAGCUUCAUGCCCCUCUUCAGCUUCAUCCCCCUCCUCAGCUUCAUCCCCCUCCUCAGCCUCAUCUCCCACAUGAUCUUCAUCCCUUUUCUCUGAAACCGUUCUCAUCUUGCUAAAGCUUGAUACACAAAGACGUACUUCAUGCAUUUUAGUUAUCUCGAGCAAGUUCUGAACUUGUAUAUCACUUGUAACAUGAAUAGGAGGAAGGUCUGGAGCCAUCUGUUGUAAUGAGUAGGUUAACUCCACAGACUCUAUGAAACUUCAAUCUAAGUACUCAUGAUGACUAAACUAUACGUCGUCUGGUCAACGCAGAGGUUAUUUUUGCAAUUGACUUUGAAAUCUGUUAUUUCAGACGACUGAAAAAUAAGUCGUCUACUUUUGUUUGGUUUAAAGAAAAAACUCCAAAAAAGCUAGACGACUUACAUUUCAGUCGUCAUGGGUUAGUUUUGCAUUUGACUGGAUUAUUUCAGAAGUUUUACUUUCCUGGACGACUUAGAUUUCAGUCGUCUCGUGAAAAUUAAAAUAAUAAUAUUUUUUUUAAAACUAGACGACUUACAAUUAAGUCGUCAUAUGUUAGUUUUGCAAUUGAAAAAGAAAACUUCAAUAUUUAAUUAUAUAUAGAUGACUUACAAUUCCGUCGUCCGUCAGACGACUUACGUGUAAGUCGUCCAGGAUUUACGAGGUUUGACCAGAAUCUCGGAAUAAAAUCCUGGCUGAAUUGUAAGUCGUCUGGGUAUGAUUAAAUAUUGAAGUUUUUUUUUCAAUUGCAAAACUAACCUAUGACGACUUAAUUGUAAGUCGUCUAGUGUUAAUAAAAUAUUGAUAUUUCAAUUUUCACCAGACGACUGAAAUGUAAGUCGUCCGGGAAAGUCAAACUUCUGAAAUAUUCUAGUCAAAUGCAAAACUAACUUAUGACGUCUGAAAUGUAACUGUGUUUGACUUUAAGUUGUAGGUCAAUUCUGCCAAAAGCCUAAAUUUUUAUUAAAAAUGACAUAAAAGCAUAUUAAAAAUGCAAAUACAAACCGUAAACGAGAAAAACAGAUUAGUUGAAAUCUUGAUUUGUUCCACUUUAGUCGUCUGAGAAAACCGAUUUCAAAGUCAAUUGCAAAAAUAACCUCUGCGUUGACCAGACGACUUCAAACUUGAUUCUGAAUGCUCAUCAUAUUGCCGAGAUUUGAAGGCAUAUCUGUAGAAAACGAGAAAUCCACUUCUGAACUUCGGUUUGAAUCCGAAUUUUUGAAAAUUGAAAUAUCAAACUGAGUGUAUCCAUCUCGUUCGUCUUUUACGAUCAUAUUAUGUAGAAUGAUACAUGCUCUCAUUAUCUUUCCAAUUUUUAUUUUAUCCCACAAAAGAGGUGGAUUUUUUACUAUGGCAAAUCGAGCUUGCAUGACCCCAAAACCUGAAAUUGGUUGUUCAUGAUGGUUGGGGUAUUGAUGACAAUGGCAAUAUUGUAAUUACUUGAAGAUGAUGAGGGUGAGAGAGUAAAAAUGUUAUUUUCGAAAAGAAAAAAAAUUGAUGGCAUUUUCGUAAAUUAUAUGAACUUGUGGGGUGAAUAGGGCAAAACCAAUUUCCAAAAAAAAGGAGGUUAGUUCUGUGUUUGACUUUAAGUUGUAGGUCAAUUCUGCCAAAAGCCUAAAUUUUUAUUAAAAAUGACAUAAAAGCAUAUUAAAAAUGCAAAUACAAACCGUAAACGAGAAAAACAGAUUAGUUGAAAUCUUGAUUUGUUCCAAAUUUUUGCCAUAUAUUCUCAACCAAAUCCGCUUUCAAUCGUUGAUGUAUUGUUCUAUCACAAACUUGAUUCUGAAUGCUCAUCAUAUUGCCGAGAUUUGAAGGCAUAUCUGUAGAAAACGAGAAAUCCACUUCUGAACUUCGGUUUGAAUCCGAAUUUUUGAAAAUUGAAAUAUCAAACUGAGUGUAUCCAUCUCGUUCGUCUUUUACGAUCAUAUUAUGUAGAAUGAUACAUGCUCUCAUUAUCUUUCCAAUUUUUAUUUUAUCCCACAAAAGAGGUGGAUUUUUUACUAUGGCAAAUCGAGCUUGCAUGACCCCAAAACCUCGCUCGACAUCUUUACGUACAGCUUCUUAAAGUGUAGCGAAUAAAGAUGCUUUUGGACCUUGCGGAAGUGGAAUAGAUUGGACAAAAGUAACCCAUUUUGGAUAAAUAUCAUAUGUGAGAUAGUAAGCCAUUUGGUACUCGUGUCCGUUGACAGUGUAGUUAACUUUCGGAGCUCGACCUUGUAAUAUAUCAUCAAAAACUGGUGAUUGAUCAAGAACAUUGAUAUCGUUUAAUGUGCCUAGAGGUCCGAAAAACGCGUGUCAUAUCCAGAGGUCUUGUGAAGCUACAACCUCUAGAACAAUUGUUGGCUUUCCUGAUCCACGUGUAUAUUGUCUUUUCCAUGCGGUUGGACAAUUCUUCCACUCCCAAUGCAUACAAUCAAUGCUUCCUAUCAUCCCGGGAAAUCCGCGUAGCUCUCCAAUAUCGAGUAGUCGUUGAAGAUCUUCUGGAGUGGGUCUUCUUAGAUACUCAUCUCCAAAUAAAUUUAUGAUUCCUUGAACAAAAUGUUCUAAGCAUAAAAGCGCGGUAGUCUCACCAAGUCAGAGGUAUUCGUCGACCGCAUCAGCUGGGCAACCAUAUGCCAUCAUACGAAUUGCUGCCAUUUUCUUUUGUAACGGAGAGAGACCGAACCUUCUAGUAGCAUCUCCUCUUUGUUGAAAGUAUGAUAUUUCAGCGGAGAGUCGAUCAACAAUACGCCUGAACAAGGAUUUGUUCAUUCGAAAACAGCAUUGAAACAUGUGCGAAGGAUAUGUUGCAUCUUCACUAAAAUAAUCGUUCCAUAACUGCAUGUGUCCUUGUUCUCGUUGUCUUUCAAUGUAUGCUCGUUUAUUUUUUGGCGUUGAUGUUUCUUGACGAUCUUCAUAACGAGUGAGAAGAUUUUCAAAUUGUUGAUCGAAAAUUUGGUCCAAUCUCUCCUCCAUCAUAUCUUCGUAAUUAUUAUUAGAAGAAGAAGCCAUUUAGAAGAGAAAUGGUAAAUGAAUUUUUUUUUUUUUUGUAUAAAAGAAAUGUUGGAUGUUGUUUUCUUGUACGAUGGAAAGAGAAGGGAGGUAAACAAAUAAAAGAGCUUCAAACUUGUUCUUCUACACUCAGAAAAAAAAGAAACAAAGGAAAUAUUUUUUUUUAAUAUGGUAUAAGAGAAAUGUUUGAUGUUGUUUUCUUGUACAAUGGAAAGAGAAGAGGGGUAAACAAAUAAAAGAGGUUCAAACUUGUUCUUCUACACUCGGAAAGAAAAGAAGCAAAGGAAAAUUUUUUUUUAAUGGUAGAAGAGAAAUGUUCUUUUACACUCGGAGGAAACACAACUUAGAAAGGAAACACAAGUUGCUUUACAACUUGCAAACCAGCUAUGCAGCACGUUGGUUUUCUUGUACUGUCUUCUUGUCUUUACAAGUCACAUGUUCCUGUCUUCUUGUUCUGUCAAUGCACUGGAUGAUCCACAUGCUACUUUAUGUCACACGCUCUUCUUGUCUUCUUUAUGUCACAUGCUAUUGUCGCUUUACCUGCACAAGCACGAGACAAGUCUCAGUACAACACGAGAGAACAACACACACGUCUCAGUACAAUACACGAGAGCAACAGAAGAACACACACAAUUUCAUUAAUAUGUCACAUGCUAAUACAAACUCGACAUCAAGCAUAAAGCAACGAGAGAGAGCAAAAGAAGAACACACACAAUUUCAUGCUAAUACAGACUCCAUUAACUAACAGACUCGACACAAACAUCAUAAAGACACAAACAACAUACAUACUUGGCAAUUUCAACACAAAAAUCAUAAGACUCAAACUAACAUAUCAUUAAUAAGCUUGUUUUUUAAGGCAAUUUCGAGUUCAGUUAAUGGUUCAGUCUUGGCAAUGAGGCUAUCAAGCAAUUUUUGCUUGUUAAGAGUUUCCUUCAAAGCAAAAUCCGCUUGCCUAAUCUCCCAGAUGCUCUGAAAUUCCCUCCUCUCCUUCUCUUCCUCUUCCAAAGUAGCUUGCUUCCUCACUGGUUUUUUUCCUUUUGCCUUUGCUGCUUAAACCCCAACUGGCCGACCCAUAGCUUCCUCUCCAUGGCCAUCUUGCACAGAGGAUGAUGAUUGUGUCGUCUGGGCAUCCAACUUCCUUCUUUUAGACUAAACUUUAUCCUUAGUAGAAGAAGCUCCACUCCAUUCCUGAUCAUAACGAAGUUCCAACCAUGCAUGCUCCAUUGUGAACUUCUUCUUGUAAUCAUCAAAGUAAAUCUCGUGAGCCAUUUUCAAGACGUCAUUCUCGUUCUGUCCACUCGAUCUCUGUUUCGUUGCAGCUUCAUAGCACCCAACAAACUUACACACGGCUUCAUUGAUUUUCCCCCACCUUGAUUUACAGUUGUUGUCUCUCUGGGCUGCAAACCAUCGAGCUUGGGACUUGCAGUAUAGUAAGCAGCAAUUCGUUUCCAAAACGUACUUGCUUUCUGCUCAUUCUCAACCACUGCAUCCUUGGAAGUGUUCAACCAAGCACUUAUCAGCACACCAUCUUCUGUUGGUGACCAUUUAUGCCUCUCUUUACGGUCAGACACAGUCUCUGCGUCUUCAUUGCCAUCUUCAUUCCAUUAUGAACAGAAAACAGAGGCAUCAGACGCAGAGACAGACUGAUAAGGCUCACGAGGGACAGACUAAUAAGGCUCAUGAGGGACAGACGCAGAGACUGACUCAUUCCAUUGAGUGUUUGGUUGUUGACUGGUCAAGAAGUUUUGAAAGCUAUAUUGUUGAAUAUAAGGAUCCAUACGAGUUUUGGAGAAGAGGUUUUGAAAGCUAAAAAGAAAGAACAAAAUAGAAGGAAAUAGUUUUGGAGAAGUAAAUAAAUUUGGAGUCAUGGUUUAUAGUUGUUAAAGUUUUUUGUUGUUGAAGUUUUAAUGGAAAGUUUUAAUGGCAAGUUUAAAGUUUGAAGUUGGAGAAGUUUUAAGUUGUUAAAGUUUUAAUGACAAGAGAAUCAAUAUCCCUUUAUUAUUAUUUGAGGAGCAUUAUAGAUAAUUAACUUUUAGUUCAUGUGUUAUUUUCAAAAUUGUCAUUUCCUGCGUGGCAGCACCAUAAACCCUCUCACAUCUUAUAUUCAAAAAUCAUUUGUUAACUAGAUUAAUUACAAUAAUUGUCAUUGCUUGCCAUUGAUCAUUUGAUUAUAAUUUUACUAAUAUACUGUAAGCUUCUUCAUUACAAUGACUAACAAAACAUUGACGUCCAUGUUUAAUGCGUUUUCAUUAUAAUUCAAACUUACGGGCGUAUAGUCAUUUAUUCCCAGAUCCGGUCCACAAAGUUAAUUAUAUAUGAGAUAACGAUUUUGUAGAUGGUAUAAUCCGAUACAUAUAUAACUAAAAUAAGUAUAAUUUAUAACACGUGUAUGUGGACCAUCUAUAAUGAUUCGGAUUAUACCAUUAUGUGCAUAUGUAUCGGAUUUAAUGUAACAAAAUAUUACCGUUAAAAUUAUAAUCUCUUCACAAUGUUAGCAGAACUCUAACAUAUGUUAUAAAUUAUACUUAUUAUAGUUAAUAUUUAAAUAGAGUGAGACAAAAAUAUAUGCACACGUUUUUACAAGUAUUCAUCAUAUAGCAUUUUAUAAUAUGUUAGACAUUAUAUAUAUAAAUGUGAUAUAAGUAUAAUGCCUAACUAUAGUCUAAUUCAAAAAAAUGUCUAACUAUAGUGUCUACAAAUUAAUUUCGUUUAAGGACUUAUCGUAACAAGGGGAUGUCUAACUAUUACGAAAUCACGAUGGCCCAUAUAACUCCGUUUAAGGACUUAUCAUAAUUGUAAUUGUAAACCAUGAUUAAUGAUUGCUACGAAAUCACGACGUCUAACUAUUAAUAUUAAAAAGAAACAUGAUUUGCAAUAACUUUGUUCAAAUCUGGGUGAAAGUUAAAAAGACACUUCUAAUAACGUUGCAAUAUAUAUGAUAUAUAUGAAAGUUGAAAGGAAACUUCUAAUAAUUUUAGUUGUUCUAUCUCUUAAUGAAACGUGAUUUGCAAGGACAACCGUAAUUAAUGAUUGUUAAAAGGAAACUUCUAAUAACUUUGAUAUAUUUUUAAAUUACGAAUUUGGUAACGUUUUGGUAAUAAUACUUGAAUCAAAUCCGCCAUUAUUUUUUAUAAAAUUUUGGUAAUAAUAGGGAGUCGAUUAUGGUUACAAAAUUUUGUCAACUAUUAAUAUGUUGUAUAUAAGGAAGUUAUAUUGUGGAUUCAAAUUAUUCGAAUCAAUUAACAAUCGUGAAUUUUAUUUAUUUUGUUCAAUUGUAAUUUAUAAAAGGAAGUUCGAUUAUAGUGUCUACAAAAUUUAGGUAAGUUACGAUUACCAUUGGAGCCCAAGUUAUGUGAAAUUAAAUACAGUAGAACAUCUAUAAAUUAAUAAUGUUGAGAUUUUGAAAUUUAAUUAAUUUAUAGAGAUAUUAAUGUACAAAAGUUUCCUUAUUUAGAUUUUUUAUUUUAAGAUAUAUUUAUUCUAAGAUAAAAAAAAAUAUUUGAUUUUAGUGUAUAAACAUUAAUUAUUAUUUUUUGAAAAUUCACAUUUAUAUUAAUUUUAUUAUAUUAUUUGGUGUAUAUAAUAUAUAUCGCAUAGAAGUUAAAUGUGCUUUUAGAUAUAAUAUUACUAAAUCUCAUCAAAAUUUAUUAAGUGUUAAGAAAAUAUAAAGAUAAUUCUAUUGUGAAUAUAAAACAAACAAUAUAAUAGUAGGUUCUUACUUAUAUAAAAUAUGUAUAUAUAGAAAUUAUUAAUUUAUAAUUUUAAUGGGACCAUAUAUUUACAUAGAAUUUUCUAAAAAAUUAUUAUCUUAUUAUUUUAUCUAUUGUGUCAAAUUUUGAACCGACCCAAGUUGGGAUCGGCAAAAUUUAUUAAUUUAUAGAGAUUAUUAAUUUAUUGAGUAUUAAUUUAUAGAGGUUCUAGAGUAUGUAAUAAUAUAUUUAAUUACAGUGUAUCAUUAAUCACAUGGGCGCUGCCUUCUUAAUAUAAAUAUAUGUUCUCUAAAAUUCAUCGACUCACCACACACUUCUUCUCGACUUCCUAAUUAUCAAAACAUUCUCUGGAGCAAACAAAUGGUUGGCUUUAACUCCGUUUCAGAAAGUGGUAUAUCAGUUCGUUUAGUGAAUUUUUUAAGUAUGUAUGUUUUGUUCGGUAAACUAAUUCUUAGUUAUUUCUCUCUAUAGGAUUGCAAACCAGAAGUUCUGAAGACCCUUUAUCAGUUUUUUAUUUGUUUCCUUGUAAUUUGUUUCUUUCGUAUUUUAUUUUUCUAUUACUUAUGUUUUAAAUAUUAUAAUCAUAAUUUUAUUUAUGAAAUCAAUAAUUAUAUUUCCUAUGUUUUGUUUUGUCUUAAAUUCAUAAUAAAUUAAUAAAAGUUAUUGCAUACUAUUAUAUAUUUUUUACAUAAAAUAUAUCUAAUUUACACAUAACCAACUACAAAAAACAAUCUUUUUCAAAAAAAAAACAAUAUUUUUCAAAAAAAACACUUAAGAUUACAUUAUAUUCACACUUUCGUUCCAUAUAUAUCAUUAGAUCUAAUAUUUUUGUCUAUAACUUUAAAAUUUCUAAUAUCUGUAAAAUUAUUUAAAAAAAUUUCUUUUGAUCAUUCACUCCGCGUAUGGCGUGGGUUAUCACUUAGUGUAUACGCUAAAACAACCACGCAACCUAAAUAUCAAAACUAAAGUUCAUUUAAUUCUCAACCAUUUUCUAAAUCACGUAAUCAAUAUCAUGCUCACCAUUAAAAGCAAAUCUACUUAGACAGAAAAUCUACCUUACCUCUUCUUAACUCUGAAAUUAAAAGACAUAAGCUUUGAUGACCAUGAAUCCAUUGCCUUUCUUCCACAACCAACAAAGAAAGUAAAAUUAAAAGUUAUUCUCUGUAAAGAAAUAAAAUGAGUCAAAUUACACAGUAAGAGUAAUGUGACAAAUAUCAUAUGAUAUCGGCGAUGACUUUGGCGAAAGCGAUUUUUAGGGUUCCAAGAUGAUUUUUUCACGGUGGCGAGUUAUGGAUCGGCGACGGAUCCGAGAGGGUGGAGAGAGGGCUUUAUGCUAUAGGGAAGCUGAGGAGGAGUCUCGGGUUAGUGAGGGAUUUUGUGGGUUUAAUCGAUCUCGGGAGAUCUGGUUAGGUGAUUUGAGGGGUUGCGAUAAUCUCUUACAAGGAUUGGACUUGGUAAUCUUCAUUUUACGAGGAGGAGAGGCUACAAGGGAUGAGGAGGACAGGGAAACUUUUGGUACUAGAUCGGGAUUUGGAUUGAUGGUCAUUUUCCGGAGUGGUUUGCGGUUCCUAGGUUGGAAGAGAGGAGAUAGGGGUGGAUCGGGUAGGAAGGGUCCUGUGCUGCUGAUCACGUAUUCUUGGAUGACAAGGAGUUUUCAAACUUUCACUAUAUUAUUCCCAACUCAAGGCUUAAUAAAGGACACAAGCAGAAGUGAGCAGGUUCUCAUUGCUGCUUUUGGAAGGGUAGUGUUCUACUUUGCUUGGACACGAGAUAGCUUUACAAUCAGGUUUUACUAUUUAUAUGCACUGUUUGCUUGGCAUGAUGCUUAUUGGUAUGAGGAUAUAAGAAAAGUGUUUCAAGCUCGAGGAUGGUAUCUUGCGUCUUUAAGUUCGGUGAUAUUGGUUUCAUUAGACAAGAAUAUGGAGAGGAGCCAGUUCGGCCAAGUGACAAUGGUCACUGUAAUGGGUGUGGGGUCUGCUUUGAAUGACAUGGGGUUAAUGCGAUGGUCUCAGGGUGCUAAUGAGGAGGAUUUUUUCUUAUCUCAUGAUUGGGUUAAAAGGCUUAUGUGUCUUAGUGGUUCCGUACAUUUUGUUUUCAUAUUUUUAAUUUUUUGGGUAAUGUUUACUAAUGCAGUUUUACUUGGAUGUUUUGGACUUUAUGGGAGCCAAAUAUGGUAUGCUUGGGUUUUAAAAGGGUGCUUACUAAUUUGUAGUUUGCUUGGGGGUUGGAAUGCAUGGAAUAAAUUUGUUGACUUUGGUGUUUGGAUUUGUUUCAAAUCGUUGCAACGAAGGGAUCAGAAUUUUUUACUUAUGCAAUUUGAUGUUCAUGGGAGGGAAAUAAAGGAGUUGGUACAUAUGUGUUUUGUUGGUUUUGGGAUGUGGCUCGGGACAGAGCAGAACGCUUUGGCUGCACGGACUCGAGGCCUGCGGCUGGUCUCUUUAAACCAGUUGCAGAGAGUUUCUUUGGAGAGGCUUAAAGUGCUCGUUUUGGGAACAUACAGUUCAGUCAUUGUUAUUGGUUCAGGAGCUUCCACAGACUUAUAUAUGUCGUACGUGAAGCGUGUGAUUUAUCUGUUUGGUUUCUUUAUUAUAGUUUAUAUGUUUGGUUUCUCUAUUAUGGUUUUUAUUGGACCCAAUUUAAAGGGUGAGGUUGAGCUGGACAUAAUGUAUAGACUUGGAAUGGAGCAAGGGUCUAUUUUUUUCAUAUUGAAGCUGUUUACUAUGACGGUUAAUUUGGGAGUUCGGUGGAUUAUUGCUUCUUGGUGGUUGGGAUUUCAGGGUAUCAUCAAACCUAAUUUCGCUAAACUCUUGGGAGUUUUUAUUUAUAACUUUAAAUGAGAGUGCUUAGUUGGAAUUGUAGAGGUAUGGGAAGCAAGUGGACUAUGAGCUAUCUAAGAGAGAUAUGGUAUAAACAUAAACCGGAUUUUUUAUUUUUAUCUGAAACAAAACAAGACUCAAAAUUUGUUCAAGAUUUCCAAGCACAUAUUGGAUUUGAUAAUUUGUUCACGGUUGAUCCAUUGGGAAGGAGUGGUGGUUUAGCGCUUUUUUACAACAAUGAUUCUCAGGUCCAAGUCUUAUAUUCUAGUAAUAGAAUGAUCGAUGUGGAAGCGGUGACCCACGGAAAGACGGUUUAUCUUACGUUUGUGUAUGGUGAUCCUGUUCCAAAAUUAAGAGAACAAGUGUGGGAACGUUUGACGAGAUAUGGACUUGCGCGUUCAGAACCCUGGUUCAUCAUUGGGGAUUUAAAUGAGAUUACUGGAAAUCAUGAAAAGGAUGGAGGAUCACUGAGGAGUGCGGAUUCUUUUAUUCCUUUUAAUAAUAUGAUAAGGAAUACUGGGUUAUUGGAAUUUCCGGCACGGGGAAAUAAAAUGUCAUGGCAAGGGAGAAGGGGAAAAGGAAAAGGGGCAGUUACGGUAAGAUGUCGUCUAGAUCGAGCUUUAGCAAAUGAGGAGUGGCAUACUUUGUUUCCAUGUUCUUUUACAGAAUACUUAGGGAUGGUGGCUUCUGAUCAUCGCCCAGUUGUGGCUUAUCUGAAUGAUAAAGUCACUAGGAGAAAAGGGCAAUUUCGGUUUGAUAAAAGAUGGAUUGCACAAGAAGGUCUUUUGGAAUCAAUUACAAUGGGCUGGUCAGAUUAUAGUGCAACAAGGGAAACUGGGAUAGUGGAAAAAAUUAGUAAUUGUCGACAUGAAAUUGCUAAAUGGCGGAAAAAUAAUCCUCCUUAUGGGAAGGACAAAAUUAAUGAGUUACAAAAAGCUCUUGAAGAGGUACAAACAGAUAAUUCUAGAUCUCAAGAGGAUAUUAUCGAGGUCUCAAAGAAGUUGCAAGAUGCAUAUAAAGAUGAAGAGGAGUAUUGGCACCAAAAGAGUAGGAAUACGUGGUAUACAUCUGGGGAUCUCAAUACAAAAUUCUAUCAUGCUUUGACUAAGCAACGACGGGUACGUAAUCGGAUUGUGGGUUUAUAUGAUGCUUUGGGAAAUUGGAUUACGGAAGAUAUGGGUGUGGAAAAAGUGGCAGUGGACUAUUUCGAAGAGCUUUUCACUACCACUUCUCCAACGGAGUUUGAUGACUUUCUCACAGAGGUAUCACCAGGUAUUACUCCUCAAAUGAACCAACGUCUGUUAAGAGUAGCAUCAGAGGAUGAGGUCAGAGAAGCCCUUUUUAUGAUGCAUCCAGAGAAGGCACCAGGACCGGAUGGUAUGACAGCUCUUUUCUUUCAACACUCCUGGCAUAUUAUUAAGAAGGACUUGGUGGACAUGGUGAAUAAUUUUUUGGUUACUGGAACAUUGGAUCCGAGGUUAAAUAUUACUAAUAUUUGUAUGAUUCCAAAAACGGAGAGGCCUACAAGGAUGACAGAACUGAGGCCGAUUAGUCUGUGUAAUGUUGGGUAUAAAAUUAUUUCGAAGGUUCUGUGUCAGAGAUUGAAGAUAUGUCUACCUUCUCUUAUUUCAGAAACUCAGUCAGCUUUUGUGCCAGGAAGGUUAAUCUCUGAUAAUAUUCUUAUUGCUCAGGAAAUGUUUCAUGGAUUACGGACGAACAAGGCGUGCAAAGGAAAAUAUAUGGCAAUUAAAACGGACAUGAGUAAAGCUUAUGAUAGAGUGGAAUGGGAUUUUAUAAAGGCUCUCCUACAGAAGAUGGGUUUUGAUUUUCAUUGGAUUACAUUAAUGAUGGAGUGUAUAUCAUCGGUUCAAUAUCGGGUCCUACUUAAUGGACAGCCACGGGGACUUAUCGUUCCACAUAGGGGUUUACGACAAGGGGAUCCUUUAUCACCUUAUUUAUUUAUCCUGUGUACUGAGGCUCUAAUUGCAAAUAUUAAAAAGGCGGAAAGAAGGAAACUUUUGACGGGAAUGAAGGUAGCUAGAGCAUGUCCAUCGAUAUCUCAUCUGCUUUUUGCGGAUGAUAGUCUUUUUUUCUGUAAAGCUUUGAAAGAGGAAUGCCAUACUAUCCUUAGGAUCUUAAAGGAAUAUGAGGUUGUAUCAGGUCAGCUUAUAAACUUUGAUAAGUCCUCUAUCCAAUUCGGGCACAAUAUUGAGGAAUCAACUAGACAGGACUUAAGAGAUAUAUUGGGAAUUCAGAAUCUUGGAGGUAUGGGAUCUUAUCUAGGUCUUCCAGAAAAUUUGGGAGGAUCCAAGAUACAGGUUUUUAGCUUUGUGCAGGACCGGCUAAAUAAUAGGGUUAAUGGUUGGACUUUUAAGUUCUUCACAAAGGGAGGAAAAGAAGUGAUUAUUAAAUCUGUGGUAACGGCAUUACCAAACCAUGUGAUGUCUGUUUACCGUUUACCUAAGGCAACAACUAAAAAACUGACGACCGCGGUCGCACAAUUCUGGUGGAGCCCAGGGGGAAGGACAAGAGGUAUGCACUGGAAAUCAUGGGAUAAAGUGUGUCUUGAUAAGGAAGCUGGGGGCUUAGGUUUCAAGGAUAUUACAGAUUUUAAUACAGCAAUGCUUGGUAAACAGUUGUGGCGCUUGAUCGAGAAGCCAAAUACAUUAUUUUCCCGGGUUUUUAAGGGACGGUAUUACAGGAAUGCAUCACCCCUGGAACCGAUUCGCUCUUAUUCUCCGUCAUAUGGUUGGCGGAGUAUAGUUUCUGCUAGAUCUCUGGUAAGCAAAGGACUAAUCAAAAGGGUGGGAUCAGGAUCAUCUAUAUCUGUAUGGAACGAUCCAUGGCUCCCAACCACUCGCCCGAGACCAGCAAAUAAAAAUCAACAUAUUUUCGAUCCAAACCUCACAGUGGAUUCUCUUAUUGACUCUACUUCGCGGACAUGGAAUUCGCAUGCACUCAGGGCUAUGAUAGAUCCCCAGGAUGUAAAAAUUAUAGAAAGUAUACCACUGAGUAAAACCCAGAUGGUGGACAGGGAUGGAUGGCAUUUCACAAACAAUGGGAAGUAUACGGUUAAAUCAGGAUAUCAGAUCGAACGGGUUUAUCCAGACAGGGAAAGACCACCUUUAAAGUUUGGACCCACGGUUGAUGCUUUGAAGGCUUUCUGCUGGAAAAUACGGUGCCCCCCAAAGUUAAAACAUUUCUUAUGGCAAUUGGUUACAGGUUGUAUAGCAGUCAAGAAGAAUCUGAAAGCGAGAGGAAUACAAGGUGACACCUGCUGUGCACGUUGCGGAGCGGAGGAGGAAUCGAUCAAUCAUGUGUUUUUUGAAUGUCCUCCUGCACUUCAGGUUUGGGCUCUCUCCAAGAUACCAUCAAAUCCAACUAUGUUCCCAACGAGUUCCCUUUUUACAAAUAUGGAUCAUCUCUUCUGGAGAGUCUCUCCCCCGAUGGAGGACCAUCAAUUUGCAUGGAUACUUUGGUAUAUUUGGAAAGGAAGGAACAAUAAAGUGUUCAGUAAUAUGGACAUGGAUCCAAGAGACACGCUCAAAUUAGCAGAAACAGAGUCAACACUUUGGGCUAAUGCACAUGUAUUGACCGAGACCAGGAUAGGGUCCCAUGUUGAGGUUACGACUCUCCCAUCAAUUCCGGGGAGAUGGUGUUUUACAGAUGGUUCUUGGAAGGAGAAUGAAGUUUUCUCUGGGCAAGGUUGGCUAAGUACUUUAGAAGGCUUUGAUGGGUUGUUAGGAGCAAGGAAUGUCCGAGCUUGUCUAUCCCCUCUACAUGCGGAGAUAGAAGCACUACUUUGGGCAAUGGAAUGUAUGAAAAAUUUACGCCAGUUUCAGGUUACAUUUGCAACGGAUUGUUCUAAGUUGGUGAAGAUGGUUUCGGAACCAGAAGAAUGGCCCGCAUUUGCAAGUUAUUUGGAAGAUAUUAAGUCCCUGAAAGAGGUUUUCACACGUUCGGAGAUUAUCUAUGUACCAAGGAUGCAAAAUUCAAGAGCGGAUAGCCUAGCACGCAGUGCCAGGAAACAACCGUUGUUUGUCGUUCACAUGGAUCAAAAUCUACCGGAGUGGUUUACAGAGUCAGUAUGAGUCUGUAUUUGAUGACAAAAAAAAAAACGUAAAAUUUUAUAUUUUCAUAGAGUUUUUUUUAAAAAAAAAAAAAAAAAAAAAAAAAAGAAAUAAAAUGAUCAAAUAUAUAUAAAAAAUUAUCGAUAAUAUAUACAAAUUAUAUACAAAUAAGCUUAUCAUGCGCAUGGUGCAAGUUUUAUCCUAGUUACAUAUCGAAUGAGACGCAUUUAAUUUUGACCAUGACUAUAUAUAUCAACUUUAACUCAAUAUUUCUGAUUAAGCUCCCAAUAUAUAUUUUCAACUACCUCCAGAGUAUAUAGACUCUCAUCCCACUUAAUGAAUGUUUUUAUUUUAUUUUAUGAAGUUAAGUUUUUACCUUCUUUUUUAAAAAAAUAUCGUUCAUAAGAUGUCACGCCAGGACAUGAACUACACAUGCGUCACACAUAGCAUGCAGAUGCGGACGAUUGUUUUUGUUCGUCAUUUGUCAAUCACUUCAAACACCUAAGAGCUUCUCUUUCACAGAACACACACACACACACACAAUCAUAUGCAUGCAUUAUUACACGUGAUCGCCAUGCAAAUCUCAUUUCUCACCUAUAAAUUAACUCCUCAGCUUCACUCUUUACUCACACCAAAACUCAUCAUUACAAACAAGGUUAAACACAUACACAAAUGGCGAACAAGCUCUUCCUCGUCUCGGCAACUCUCGCCUUCUUCUUCCUUCUCACCAAUGCCUCCGUCUACAGGACGGUUGUGGAAGUCGACGAAGAUGAUGCCACAAACCCAGGCGGCCCAUUUAGGAUUCCAAAGUGUAGGAAGGAGUUUCAGCAAGCACAACACCUAAGAGCUUGCCAACAAUGGCUCCACAAGCAGGCAAUGCAGUCCGGUAGUGGUCCUAGCUUGGCCCUCGCCGGUGAGUUUGAUUUUGAAGACGACAUGGAGAACCCCCAGGGCUCACAGCAGAGGCCGCCACUACUCCAGCAGUGCUGCAACGAGCUCCACCAGGAAGAGCCACUUUGCGUUUGUCCAACCUUGAAAGGAGCAUCCAAAGCAGUUAAAUCCCGGGUUCAACAACAGGGACAAAUGCAGGGACAACAGCAGCAGCAAAUAGUGGGCCGUAUCUACCAGACCGCUAAGCACUUACCUAGAGUUUGCAACAUCCCGCAAGUUAGCGUUUGUCCCUUCCAGAAGACCACCCCUGGGCCCUACUACUAGAUUCCAACGAAACCCUCGAGAGUGUAUAUACCACGGUGAUGAGUGUGGUCGUUGAUGUAUGUUAACACUAAAAAGUCAUCGUGUGUGUUUUAUAAAUAAUGUACGUUAAAAUGUUCGAGGCUAAUGUAAUAAGAACUACUCCGUUGACGGUAAUAAAAGAGAAGUUUUUUUUAUACUGUUGCUCCAUCCUAAAAAGUGAUAAUUAACGACAGAUACGCCCAAAAAAACAAAUUAAUAUACUCACAAUGAAUCAGUAGUCUAAUGAACAUGUUAGACUAAAUGUCUAAUUAAGCCGUUUUUGCCAAAAAAAAAAGGGUUCAAAUCGUCCAUUGGGAUCAAACAAUGACUCAAUCAGGUUUGAUCAGAUACUCGAAAUCCUUUUUGAUCGCAUUCUCAUGAAUCCACUGUAAUAUAACGAUUUCCUAUGUUGUAAAGCCUCUUUAGUAGAAAAAUAACGAUAAGCAGCAAUAUAAAUGUAUUUCAGUUUAAGAUUAGCACUACAAGAAAUUUGGGUUUUAAUAGCAGACUAGUAUAGCAUUUUUUUCGAUUGUGCUAUUGUUGACAUACCUCUUACUUUUAGAUAGCGUUUGUGAAAAUGCAAAUACUAUCUUUGGUUGGUCCGAUUUUAGGAGGAACCCCUAUCCCGGAGCCAAUCCCCUAUUGGUCCUGCGUAAAUGUUUUUUCUAAACCUAGUAUACAUAGCAUUUUCAGUUUUGAAACGCAAUGCAUAAUUAAAAUAAUUGAUUUUUCCUUUCACCCUUGUUUCGCUUUCCUACUCACUAUAUUUUAUUUGCCUCCAAAAACCUUAACACUAAAUUUAAACCCUAAAGUUUUAACACAAUCCCUAAACUCUAAAUAAACUUUAAAUUCUAAAAUUUUAACAUUAAAUCUUAAAUUUAACUUCAUAUCUUAAAUAUAAACUAAAAAAUUACUAUUUUCAAAAGUUAAUCUCAAAUCUUAAAUCAAUACUCCAAACCCUUAACCCUCAAACCCUAUACUCAAAACUUUAUUCUAAACUCCAAACUUUAAAUCUAAAUUCAUAUCAAACUUUUCUAAAAUUUAAUACACUACAAUUUUUAACUACAUGCUAGUCUUAACUUAUAUAUAUAUAUAUAUGUGUAUUUUGCAAAUCUUGAAUUUUGGAGUUUAGGGUAUGUUUAGAGUUAAGAUCUAAAUUUAAAUCUGAAAAAAUUCAAGUUUUUAGAACUAUGUACAUAUCUACUUUAAAUGAAUUAAACAUAGAAUUUUAAUCAAACUUAUAAUAAACAUUAAAAUUAAAGAAAGAUUAGAAACAAAAAAAAUCUGUCGAUGUACAACAAGAUAUAGAACCAAAAUACUACCAAAAUAAACUUUACUGUCCAAAGUGAAAAUAAAGUAAAACAACUAAAAGAAAAAAUUCCUAUUGGUUAGUUCAUAAGCACAAGGAUUGAGCUUUUCACCGUCAGAUGACGGGAUCCUCAUCCAAUGGACCAAAAUUAUUUUUUUAUUCAGUUCUGGAAUUUUUUGAGCAAACAGAUCUCAUAUCUUUCGACACAUUCUCUUAGACAACUUCAUCUCCUCAUCUCUUUCUCCUUAGGCUUUAUUCACUACUAGCCCCCUCAUUCUCUUUGCCAAUCUCUGCUCCAUUUCUCUCUACCCUCGCGAGAUCUCUGCUCCAUGACUCAUCUUCUCUCCCUUUGUCGAUUUAUCUUUUCUUCAUCUUCUUCUCUCUUAUCAAGAAUACUAGAUCUAGAAGCAGAGGCUAAGCAUCGAUGUUUCUCACGAUACUGACAAAUCUCAUUCCGCCGCGAGACGCGGCUGAGGUGGUCGACGACUCCGACACUCGCGGUACUCUCUCUCUCUCUCUCUCUCUCUCUCUAUGUUGAAUAUGACUUUUUUGUUUGUUAAGGUGGUCGCGAGCAGAGAUGGUGGUGCGGCGGGUGAGGACUGGAAGAUGAAGAAGACAACGAAGUGCAUGGAUUGAUGCGACAACGAAGCGCAUGGAAGAACACAACGACGAAGGUGGUGGUGCGAUGGGUGAGGAUUGGAAGAUGAAGACUACAACGAAGGUGGUUGUGCGGCGGAGUUUAGUUAGUAAUUAGGUUAAAGCUUAGUUUAGCUUUUGGUUUAUUAUUUAAUUAGAUUUAUUUUUAUAUUUUUGUAAUCCAAUUUAAUUAUAAAUCAAUUUAAGUAAUAAAGAAAUUUUAAAUCUAUGAAUUAAUUUUAAUUAUGUUUUUAUUUUUAAAUAAUUUACUAAAAAUAAAUAUAAAAUAAAUAAUUUUAAUAUAAAUAAUAACAAAAAACAAACACUAUUAAAAAAUGUUUAAUUGCAUACAAAAAAAUGCUAUAAUAUAUGACAAUAAGAUAGCAUCACGAAAAACCGCUAUCUAAUGUGCUUGACCUACUAUGACGGACGAUGAUACAGCGCUUCAUAAACCGCUAUCGUAUCAUUAGAUAGCGUUUUUCGCCCGCUAAGAAAAACUUUUUUUCUUGUAGUGAUAUAGUUGUUUUCAUCACAGCAUAGCAUGAUAAAAAAUGAUCACUUAACAAAUAUAAUGAUUUUGUUUAUCUAAUGCUUGUCUAUUCAAGAUUUAGAACAUUAAUGUGAUGUUUUGUCCACACAUUGAUAACGCAGACACACUUAAGGUUAACUAGAGAUUGAUCCGCACAUCUGCGCGGAUAUUGAUUCUUACAUUUUUAUACAUUGAUAUUUAUUUUUCAUAAUUAAUGUUAUAUAUUUUACAUGGGUCUUAAUAUAACUAAUUGUAUUCAAAUGAUCUAGACCGAAUAGGGUAAUAUUGUUAUUUUUGGUACAAAUAUCCUAAUCGAUUUCAGAUACAUUUGUAAUUUAGAUAUUUUUAGGUUUAUAUACAUCAUUACCAAACUCAUCCAUACCGAGAAGAACCCAACUCAAAAUCCACACAUAAAUUUAUAAUCAAGUGGGACCUAAUUUCAAAAAAAAGCGAUACCCGAAAAGAACAGCCCGUACUUAAUUGGAUAGCCAAUGUUCAUGCGUUACUGAUUUUAUAAACUAAUAAAAAUGACUCUAACUGAUUUUAUAAACUAAUAAAAAUGAUUAUUUCUAUGUGUUUGGUUAAAUUAAGUGAAAUAGAAAGAGUUUUUUAUUUAGUAAAAUAAUUAUAUGGAUUGAAAAAUUAAGUGAUAAAAAAUGUAAUACAUUUUUAUUACAUUGAUUUAAGUUAUUAUUUUAUUCAUAAAAACAUGUCUUUGAAUUAUUUUUUGGCUUCGUAAUUUUCCACCGAUUGAAACUAAAAUAAAUAAAUAAAUUUUAAUAAAACAAACUAAACCGAAAGUUUAAACAUAUGAAAAACUCAGUUAUUUUACAUUUUUGAUUUUAUAAUUGGCACAAAAUUAAUAUUAAUUAACUAAUAAAUAAAAAUCUGCUAUAUUAUUAUUAUGGUAAUAUAAUUAAUGAUGUGAUGUAUUGAUAAGAUAAUAUAAUUAAUGAAAUUGUUAAACUGAGUGAAAUAUGGAAAGACAAUUAAUGUAAUUAUAUUAAUGAAACUAAUAAAAAGACAUUAUACUUCUUUUUUAUACUAUUAUCCAUGUUUUCAAAAAAUUCUUAUUUAUAAUGAUAUUCAUGUUUUCAAACAAUAUCAAAUAGAUACUUCAAUUUUAAUAAUAACUAGAUCUUGAUCCGUGCGUCCGUACGGGUGUUUGCUUUAAUUUGUAAGAACAUUAUAAAAUUCAUAACUAUUUUAAAAAUUAUGGUAUCGUUAUAUAUUAAAGUUUGACUAUUAUUGUAUUUGUAAUAUGAAUAAAGGAAUACUAAUACAUUCAUAUAUUAAUAUUUUUGUUUCAUUGUUUAUUUGAUAUUAUAACCCAAAUAUUAUAGUUAUUUAUAGUAUUGUAUAUUUAAUUCUAUUUCGGUGGUCCAUAAAAAAAUUAGAAAGAAUGUUUACUCAAUCUAUUAGAUCCUUCGUAUUGUAUUUUUUUAUAUAUAUAUUGAAAACAAUUUUAUAAUGGUUGUUGAAAAAUAAAUUUGUAAAAAUUAAAUUUUGAAUACAUGUAUAUUUUUGAAUCAAUUUUUGUUUUGAAUUUUGUUUAAUGAUUAAUUUAGAAAAAUAUGUUUUUAGUUAAUUAGAUUCGAUCAGUUGCACAAAAAAAAGUAAUUAGAUUGAGUCAUUUUUGAAAUCUGGUCGAAACAGAUAAUUUAUAAAAAUAUAAUGGACAUCAAUUUUUUUAAUAACAUAAACCCAUUAUUUUUUUUAAUAUACUGUUAUUCAUAUUUUCACACAACAUUAUAUUUCUUUUUAAUUAUGUUAUUCUUGUUUCCAAGCAUUUCCAAAGGUACUUCUACUUUAAUAAGAUAAAAGAUAUAAUAUUGCAAAAAUAUGUUGUUAUUUAUUUUUUCAUGUCACUAUUAAAUAUAAUAUAUGUCUCAUCAUAUAAUUAAUCGUGUUUUUUACCUACCAUCAUAUAAGUAAUCAUAUAAUUAAUAGUAUUUUAUAUGUAUCAUCAUAUAAAUAAUUAUAAAUAUUAUAUUUUUAAAACUUAAUAUGAAAUAUAAAAAUCAUAAUUUACGUUGGUGAUUGAAAUUGCUUUGUAUUGAAUUUUUCUUAAAUAAUUUAAAACAUUUUUAUAAUGGUUAUAAAAAACAUUUUAGUAAAAUAAAUUUUUGAGUAUAUGUAUAUUUUUGAAUCAAUUUUUGAGAUAAAUUAAUUUUAAAUUAAUAUUUUGAUUUGAAAUAUGUCUAUAAAAUUUAAAUUUUGUUUUAUGAUUAUUUUAGACAAAAAUAUUUUUAAGUAAUUAGAUUGGGCUAGCCAUUUUCGUAUAUUUUAAAGCUGACUCAUAUAUAUUGUUUUCAUAAUAUAAUGAAUUCCCAAUUUUUCUUGAUAACGUAAGCCCUUUACUUUUUUUCUUUAAUAUAUUGUUAUUCAUGUUUCCAAACAACACUAUAUAUUUUUUUAACUUCUAUCUUCUUUUUUUGUCAUCAACGUAUAUACAUACUCAUACAGACUCUGUGAACCAAGCCGGGAGAUGUUGAUCCAUGUGAACGACGAAAGACGGUUGCUUUCUGACACUACGUGCUAGGCUAUCCGCCUUUGUAUUUUGCGUUCUUGGUACAUGGACAAUCUCUGAUCGGAGAAAACUUUCUUUCAGGAAUUUAAUAUCUUCUAAAUAACUUGCAAAAUCUGGUCAUUUUUCUGAUUCCAAAACCAUCUUCACCAAUUGAGAACAAUCCAUUGCAAACGUAACCUGAAAUUGACGUAAAUUCCUCAUACAUUCCAUUGCCUAGAGUAGUGCUUCCAUCUCCGCAUAGAGAGGAGAUAGACUAGCCCGAACAUUCCUCGCCCUCAUCUGCCCAUCAAAACCUUCUAAAGUACUGAACCAACCAUGUCCGGAGAAAACGUCUUUCUCUUUUCAGGAACCAUCUGUGAAACACCAUCUACCUGGAAUUAACGGUAAUGACUAACCUCUACCUGUGAUACUAUCCUCUGUUUCUUUGCUAUAUGCGCUUCAGUCCAAAGUGUGGACUAUGUUUCUGCUAAUUUUAAAUUCUAUCUAUGUUACCAAACAAAAACUUAAAGUACUUCUACUUUAAUAAGAUAGAUAUAAUAUAGAUAUAAGUUAUAUAAAGAUUAAGCACCAACAUUAAGUCAAGUAGUGACCACGUUUAGGUUUCAAGACAACUUCUUCUCUUGUUUCUGGCCUUGGAGGAGAAAAUCACAUCCAAGACUCAAGCGAUAAUUCAACCGCACCGCAGUACCUGCAAAAUAUGUAGAGUUAUUCUUGGGUUCACCCUCAAGAGGUUCACCAACUAAUAGGAUUUCAUUAUUUUAAAUUCGAUAUUUUUUAGAAAAGAAAACAAAAUAUUAUCAGGUUAUAUUAUAUUUUUAAAAUAAAAAAUAGUAGUUACAGAAAAAAAAUUUAAAAAAAUAUUUUUGACGUCGUCAGCAAAACAUUAAACCCUAAAUUCUAAUCCCUAAACUCUAAAUCCGAAACUCUAAACCCUUGGAUAAAUUAUAAACUCUAAAUCAAAAACAAUAAACACUAAAACCCUAAACCAUAAAUCCUAAACCCUAAACCUUUGAGCGUUUUAGUGUUUAAUAUUUUUGAUUUAGAGUUUAGGAUUUAUCCAAGGGUUUAAGAUUUACCCAAGGGUUUAGGUUUUAGGAUUUGGGGUUUAAGGAUUAGGAUUUAGUUUUUUCUUGACGAUGUUAAAAGUAUUUUUUUUGUAAUUACUACUAUUUUUAAUUUAUUUUUUAUUUUAAAUAUAUAAUAUAACCUGAUAAUACUUUGUUUCUUUUAAUAAAAGAUAUCGAAUUUGAAAUAACACAAUCCUAUUGGUUGGUGAACCUAGAGGUUCGCCCUAGGGGGCGAACCCAAGAAUAAGUCAAAUAUGUAUAUAGACUUUCGUCCCAUUUUAAACCAACUUAAUAAGGGUUUUCUAUUUUAUGAAGUAAUUUUUUACUAGAGGUGGGUAUUUGGAUAUCCGUUCGGGUUUGAUUUUGUAUUUAUUCGAGUUUUAAAUUUUUGGAGUUAGAAAGUUAAACUUCACUCGGGUAUUUAUACAUUUUGGUUUGAAUUUAUAUAAGAUUUUUGCGGGUUUGGUUCCGGUUCAGUAUCCAUUUAAAUUACUUUAAUAAAAUAAAAAAUAUAUACUUAAAAAUUCUAAAAGUCCAAAAAUAAAAUAACAUAUAGCAUAUAAGUUUGAAUAGUUUAUGUCUUAAUAUCUAAAUUAAAAUAAAAUUGUUUUGUUAUUGACAUUUGGAAGGAAAAAUUGUUACGUAUUUUGAGUACUUUUGGUAUUUUGAAUAUAUUUUAGCCAUUUUGGAUUUUGGCUGCUUGUAUAUAUUUCUAGGUAUUUUAGACACUUUCAAAAAUGUAUAGUUUUAGAUAUUAGAUUUAAAAAAUUAAUGUAUUUAGAUAAAUAAUAUAUAUUUGGAUAUUUUUGGAUACCUAAAAUAUUUCAGUUCAGAUAAGUUUGGUUUCGAGUUCUUCAAAUACCAAAAUUUUGACUUCAUCUGGAUAUUUAAUCAGAUUCGGUUCAGGUAUAGUAUUACUUUUCAGAUAAAUUUCGAUUCAGUUCUUCGGGUCUGGGCAUUUUGCCCAGCACUAGUUUUUACCUUCCUUUUUAAAAUAAUCGUUCAUAAGAUAUCAUGCGAGGACAUGAGCUACACAUAACAUGCAGAUGCGGAUGACUGUUUUUGUUCGUCACUUGUCACUCACUUCACAGCGAUACACACACAUGCAUGCAUUAUUACACGUGAUCGCCAUGCAAAUCUCCAUUCUCACCUAUAAAUUACGUCCUCAGCUUCACACUUUACUCAAAUCAAAAUCAUCAUAAUUACAAACAAGGUUAAAAACAUACACAAAUGGCGAACAAGCUCUUCCUCGUCUCGGCAACUCUCGCCUUCUUCUUCCUUCUCACCAAUGCCUCCGUCUACAGGACGGUUGUGGAAGUCGACGAAGAUGAUGCCACAAACCCAGCCGGUCCAUUUAGGAUUCCAAAAUGUAGGAAGGAGUUUCAGCAAGCACAACACCUAAGAGCUUGCCAGCAAUGGCUCCACAAGCAGGCAAUGCAGUCUGGUAGUGGUCCAAGCUGGACCCUCGACGGUGAAUUUGAUUUUGAAGACGACAUGGAGAACCCCCAGGGCCCACAACAGAGGCCCCCGCUACUCCAGCAGUGCUGCAACGAGCUCCAUCAGGAAGAGCCACUUUGCGUUUGCCCAACCUUGAAAGGAGCAUCCAAAGCCGUUAAACAACAGGUUCGACAACAGGGACAACAGCAGGGACAGCAGGGACAGCAGCUGCAGCAAGUAAUUAGCCGUAUCUACCAGACCGCUACGCACUUACCUAGAGUUUGCAACAUCCCGCAAGUUAGCAUUUGUCCCUUCCAGAAGACCACGCCUGGGCCCUACUACUAGAUUCCAAACGAAAUCCUCGGGAAUGUAUAUACCGCGGUGAUGAAUGUGGUUGUUGAUGUAUGUUAACACUUCAUAGUCAUGGUGUGUGUUCCAUAAAUAAUGUACGUUAAAAUGUUCGAGGCUAAUGUAAUAAGAACUACUCCGUUGACGGUAAUAAAAGAGAAGUUUUUUUAUACUGUUGCUACUUCAUAAAAAGUGAUAAUUAACGACAGAUACGACCCAAAGAAAAACAAAUUAAUCUUAUCCAAAAUGAAGCAGUUGUCUAAUGAACAUAUGAUAGACUAAAAGUCUUAUUAAGCCUUCAAGACCAACUAUAAACUAUCAUCUAUUGGGAUCAAACAAUGACUCAAAUCUGGUUUGAUCAGAUACUCAAACUCUUUUUGAUCGCAGUCUCAUGUAUCCACUAUAAUAUAACGAUUUCCUAUGUUUUAAAGCCUCUUUAGUAGAAAAACAACGUUGAGCAGUAAUAUAAAUGUAUUCAGUUUAAGACUAAAUGGUGUCAUCACAGCCAUAGUACAUGAUAGAAACGGAUCACUUAACAAAUAUAGUAUGAUUUUUGAUUAAAAACAAUAAAACAAAAACAAAAACAUAUAUAGUAUGAUUAAUGUAAUAUUGUUUAUCUAAUGCUUGUCUAUUCAAGAUUUCAGAACAUAAUAUAUGAUUUUGUCCACACAGACAAAACAGACACACUUAAGGUUAAUACAAGUUAUAUACAGAUUAAGCACCAACAUCAAGUCAAGUAGUAACCACGUUUAGGGUAUCAACAUAACUUCUUCUCUCUUGUUUUUGGAUUUGGAGGAGAAAAUCUCAUCCAAGACUAAGACGAUUAUCCAACGGCCUGUUGUUAACUUGACGGUGUGCAGUUCCAAUCUCACAAGCAUUCACUCUUGCUGCGAAUCUGAGGGAGCACAAAGACUCACCAGUCGAGGAAGGUUCCGGUGUGAUGUUAACAAACAUUAGCGUCUUCGAGUCGCCACCUAAGCAAGGCUGAUAACAGAAUUCGACAAAAUAUCAUUUCUGUUCGAACAUAUGAUAAGAUGGUGAAAUGAUCAUGUAAUUUUGUUUCUUUACCUGAAGAAGAUAAGUGAGCUUCGAGUUUCUGAAGGGUACGUGAUCUUCUUUCUUGGCUAAGGCGAAUAUGACAUCGCCUAGAGACGAUAAACUCUUGUUGAUUGCCUGAACAAGAAGAAAAGAAUCAUUAUUCAUGAGGUGCCUCUAAAGAAUGUGUUGUGUUAUUCAUUUUCUUAAGAUAUUUACUUGAGUUUCUUUUAGUCUAUCACCGGUUGAUCCACUCUUAGAUAAACGCUCACUACCGGCAAGAUCAAUCAAGUUCAAGACACCUUGUACUUGUUGUUCUGUGCUCUGUAAGAAAAAAAAAAAAAAAAAAAGAAAAAGGAUUUGGUUUAGGUGAAACCUCUCAUGUUGUUCUAGUAAGAAACUCAAUUAGUACCUCGUUAAAACCAGUGAUUCUUAAGGUGAAAACGAAAUGGCUUCUAGAUGAUUGCUCAUUCAUCGCUGUCUUCCCUACAGACCUGUACAGAAUUUAAAGAAACAGUUUGCAUCAUUAGCAGCUUCACUCAAAGAUGAACAAUUCUUCAAAACAGAUACUUGCCUGUUCCGAGCUGCAUGAUCUAAGAGAAAGGAAACCUCUCUGCUGCUUCUAACAUCAACAACAGUAAGUUCCACAACAUGUGUGUUCCCACUAGCAUCAUGUUUGAUUGCAUACUUCUGAGGAGAAACGCCAUUGUCUGCUCUCACAGCUUCCUUGUUUGUUGACAAGAGAUCUCUAAUUGUUUCGUUGUAUAUUUCCAACAUAGACACCUAUCAUAUAAACACAUAACAGAAUCAAUAUGUACACUAUCUAUCUCUAAGUCCCUAGGAGAUUUGUUACCUGCAACUCAUACUUCCAACCCUGUGAUCGAAGAGACUGCCUCGUUUGAAAUAUUUGCUCCAAACAUCGAGGAAUCAGUCCUUUUUCCUCAGGGUUCCCUGGCCUGCCCAUCAUUGUAUAUGUUUUUCCAGAUCCCGUUUGUCCAUAUGCGAAAAUGCAAACCUGAAAAUGUUUUAAUAUCAGCCUCAGUCCAAGAAUAUACAAUGAAACAUAGCAUUAUUAUUAUUUUUAUUAUUAUUCUGUAGCUUGAUUAACUUGUUUGACAGUAUAUGAAAAUGAGCAGAUAGAGAAUAUAUAAGUACCUUGUAACCAUCAAGAGCACUCUGAACAAGCUGAGAAAUCUCUACAAAGAUAUCUUCUUGUGAUGCAUUAGGUACAAAAACCUUAUCAAAUGUGAAACAAUGCUUUUGUCCUGUCCAUAGCAGAACAUCAAAUGAGUCUCUUUCUUCUUUUGUUAUUUCAAGAAUCAAAUUUUAUCAUUACCAUUUUGCAUCAAGUCAAUGCCACGACCAAGUGCUUCCAGAGAUGUAGGGUAGGAAAUGGUUUUGGCCUCCUCACUAGAAUUCUCACCCGUUAAUAGAGGUCUAACCCUACAGAAUACGCGUAUGUUUCCCUUCAGCUCCUGCAACAUUUAAAUGUUUUCAGAAUCAGCCAAGUUAACUCAACAUUACACACAAGGGAAAUGGACAAAAUUUUUAACCUGUAUGGUAUUGUGCAACUUCUUCCGUAGCUUUUCUCCUUCGAUGAGUUUAAGUUCAGCUUUUUCUAAGCGAGCUUUCAGCUCCAUAAUGCUUUCCUUUUGCUCUUCAAACUCGUUCAUUUUCUCAAAGGUUGACAAAUCCGCAACCUAACCAAACAUGAACAAAUACGAAAUAAGAAUGUAAAACAUUUUCAUAUAAAUAUUCAUUUAAAUGUGUUGAACUCAAGAAUGUGAUGAGACCUGCAGUUUCCUCUCAGAAGCUGCUAAUUGAUCUUGUAGCUCUUGUAGCUCCUUAUUUUGAGAAGAACACUUACUCUAUAGAAAACGAGAACACAUAAUCAUUUAGAUACUUUUUUGGAACAUACAGGAGUGCAGUCAAGGAUGAAAAUAAACCUCAAGCUCAUUUAUGGUUCCUUUGAAGUCAUUUUGCUUGGUCGCUUCAGCUUGCAGAUUUUUAACUUCUGUAAUAUGGCGGUCACGGUCAUCCUUGACCUGCUGAAUCUCCACCUUGAGACUAACAAUUUCGUUCACCAAUUCAUCUUUUUGCUUCAUGAUAUCUUCUUGAGACACCUAAGGAAAAACAAGACACACACAGGUCAUACCAUGAUCUAACAAAGAGCUUUCUCUCUUUGAUUGAAUAAACUGCAGAUUCAAAUCACCUUUGAGGCAGCAAGCUGAUCCUGCAGUGCUUUGAACUGACCCUUUAAGUUGCCAAUGUUUUCUACAAUGCCGGUCCGUUCUUUCUCUCCUCGCUUUAUAGUUUCAUGGGCUUCAUCAAGAUCACCUUGGAUCUUGCUAUUGUAUAGUUGCAAGCUGGAGUUAUACUCUUGCAAGAGUUUGUACAUGUCAUUCACAGCUUGAAUCUGAAACACAGAAGAAAAAAAACAUUCAGUGUCAGCUAUAACAAACCAUUUCUCAAUUCGAAACUUUCAGAGAUUCCUCACCCUUUGGUUAGCUGUUUGAAGGUCUCCUUGCGUUUUCCCCAGCUCUUCUGUGAGAGCAGCUUGCAACUUCUCAACCGCAAGUCUUGCUUCUUUCUCUUUUUCAAGCGAACCAGUUGCAGCCUUAACAAGAACAAAACCAACUUAGAAAACCACAAAAGACGAACUUUUAACCAGAAUCUAGACAUUUCUUACCAAUUUCUCAGCUUGUUCUUUGGCAAGUUGCACCUGAACAGAAGAAAAAUUCUUCCUCAGCUCAUGGAUAACCAAGUUCAGCUCUACUUCCUUCUCUUUCAAACUAACCUCUGCAAGCAAAUGCAUUCACGUUAAGUUUUCUUUUUUUUUGUUAAAUCCCAAAUGUCCAUAAUAAGAACCAGCUCUGUAACACACCCAAGUCUGCACAAUGCUUCUCGUUCAACCCCAUAGCGUUCUUCAACUUCUCUUGCUCAAACGCAUAGUCUAACUCAAGCUCUUGAAACCAUCGAAUGCAAAGCCUAAGCCUUUUCACAUAGUCCAUAGUAUUCUCGCAUCUCUCCUGCAAAACCAAGCAUAACACUUAUAGAUUAAGCAACUAACAAUGUCGAGACUAAACUACAAAAAAAGGAAAACUCUUUUGAUAGAUAGACUUGUUCUAGUAAAAUUGCAUGAAACUGAGAGAUCUAAGAAAGAGAGAGAGAGAGAGAGAGACCUUGUAGUUGUACUUGCUCUUGUACUUGAUUCGCUCAUGAAGAAAGAGCGUCAACGUCUUCUCUGGUGAACUCAACGGGACCAUACUCAGAUCCUUCAGUGCUCGUCAGAUCUCUAGCUCCCGGAAACGAUUGCCGGAUUCUUCCACCGUUGGUCAUCUCCCCAAACAUUUUUUAUUUAUUUAUUUUCAGAGACUUGAGCUAAGAAAACAAACACUAUCAGUGAAUAACAAGCUAUAAUAAAGACUGAAGCUUUCGGUAAAUGGUAGACAAAUUCCAGAUUUUUAGAGUUUUUUUUCAGAGAAGAACAUGCAGACAGAGAUUAGAAAGGAAAGAGAAAGACCUUUUGUUGUAAUAAUGGGUUAAGCUUUAAGUUGUCGUAAGUCACCGUUCUGUUGUUCCCCCGUCGCUCUCGCCGGUGGCUACUUCUAUUUCUGUUGUUGUUUGGAGAGAGAGAGAGAGUGUGAUGAAUGUGGGGCCGUUGAUUGGAUCUUAAUUCACCGAGCUUAUGCGAUCACAUCCGUUGCUUUAUUUAUUGCUUUUUAACAUUUUUUACGAAAUAAAUAUUGAAUAUUUUAAUUUAAAUCGUAGAGAAAAUUUAAUUGAUUUUGUUUUUAAUUGGAGGAGGUAAAGCAAAUUUAUUUUUUUGUGAACUUGUCUCUUCGAAAAACUCGGAAAAGGUCAAGCGGAUCCAUUGUAUUUGUAUGUUUUUCCCCUAUUCCCAAGUGUUAUAUUCCAGUUUUUAAGAGUCCUUUUCUAUGAAAAUCUGCUAGUUUAAAAAAAUAAAAGUUGGUAUUGAUGAAUUCAAUGUAUUAACCACUAACUAACGUUAUGUAAUUCAGCUGCAACUAGAUAACUCUUGGAAUUUCAGAUAUGAGUAGAUAUUGCACUUAUUAGUUCAUGUACAACGUGUAUAGGUGACAACUCUAAAUCUAAUAUUAUCGGUUCAUUUGGAUGAAAGAAUCUAACGUUUCUUGAGCUAUAGAUUUUAUUACAUAGUAGUAGUUGGAAAAGUUAUAAUUUCGUCAAAAGAAAAGUUAAAAAGUUAUGCUAUAUAGUACGUACGCACAACAAGAAGUCUUCAUUCUUUUUUAUAUAGCAUAAAAGUUUGAUAUUUUAAUUGGUUAAUACUUAAUACCACUACUUUACAGGAAAAAUUCACAGAGUGAAACAUGAAUGUGACAUCAAUAAACGAUUAUGAAGAAAAGCUAACAGCAGGUGUCGGUAAAAUACUAUACGUCGGCAACAUGGCGUUUCAGACGACAGAUUCCUUUCAGAAAAGUUGAUUAUUUUAGAUUUACCUGAAUUACCCUUUUCUUUGAUCCAAAACUACAAGGCUUGUUCACGCUCAUGGGCCUGGAGGUUAUGGGCCAAACUGUCCAGUUACAUAAUUUUCUCUUUUUUUUGGAAAACAAUUUCUCAGUUUUAGUAUAAUACGGUGAAAACCAUCCAGAGUAUUGAAAUGUGUCUAUAACUACAUGAUAUAUAUGAUAAUAUAUGUCACAUGUACAAAGUAAAUAAAUAUAUGGUGCCAACAUCCCAAUUGGUUUUAAUUGAAUUUAAUGAAACAUUUUGGAGUCAAUUCGUAAUUAAGAAACUUAACUCCGAUUAAGGCAAAACCCGAGCCAACUCCUUCACCCGCGACUCGUGUCUUGUUACUUCUCUUGUUUCAAUCCCCAAUUUCGAAGAUUAGGGUUCAUAUCUGGAAAAUAAGAUCUAUUUCAAACAGAGAGAGAAAGAGAGAUGGAAUUGGGUGGCGGAUCCAACAAUAGGCGACGAAGCAAGGCAAUUGCAGGCAGUGUGCUUUCUUUUUGUGGGCUACCGGCAAAGAUAUCUCAAGCUUGGACUGACAAAAAUCCGGGUCAAAGGUUCUAUGGAUGUGAACGAUACAAGGUACAACAAUUGUGCUUUCUGAUAUGUUGAAUUAAAGUGUUCCUUACUAAAUUCUUAAUUUCGUUUUCGUUAGCGGAAAGGUGAAUGCAAUUUUUUUCAGUGGUUUGAUUAGGAAGAAGCUUUUGGAUGGCAAAAAUAAGCUUUGAUUGAAGUGAGAAACCAAAUUCGCAAGAAGGACAAGAUUAUUGCGGAACUGAAAGUGACAAUUUCUGAGCUUCGAAGUGAUUUGGUCAAGAAAGAAGAGGCAGAAAAAGACAUCAUUAACAGCUUUCUUAAGCGAUAAAUCUUUCUUAUUAUGAUGCUUUAGACAUGUAUUGUCCUUAUAAAUCUUUGUAAUGGUUUGAACAUCUUUGUAAUGCUUUGAACAUCAAGUGGUAUUUCAUUAAAAAUAGAGUUUCAUCUCAUUAGUUUUAAACAUUCAUCAUACAUAAACAUUCAAAAAAGGCGAUUCAUCAUAAAUAAACAUUCAAAAUAAAGACAUAUCUGAGUAAUGCCGUAGAAGUUCAAAAAAGACAUAGCAUAGACAAAUUAAGCUUGUGUAGCAGGUGGUGCAGUUGAGGAAACGUCCUCAAUUGCUUGUUCCUGAGCUGCUUGUUCCAUGUUGAGGCGCCUACGCUUUCUGCUUUCUUCAGACUGCAAGAAAAUUGAAUAAAUCAAACACAACAAAGACAAAAGAUUGACAAUUUCAAAUGAAAUAUACCUCAAGAGGACACUUCCUUGAGUUGUGGCCUUCACCACCACAUAGACCACAAUGACCUAUUCUUCCUUUUCGAUCAACUUUGGUCGCAUUUUUCUUGGGAGAUUCAUUCAUUCCUUUGAUCCUUGCCUUCCCUUUUGGUCUUCCAGGAGGUCUCUUGUAUGGCGGUGCUUCAAUACGGUCUGCACCAGAUUUCUUCUAAAACUUUGGGCCAUUGACAGGACUCAACCCAUUCAUGUACAGACCUUGCCACUUCGAUGUCAGAUAAUAAUCUGAAAUAAAAUCUUCAACCUCGAGACCGUUCUCACGGAUAACAGAUACAACAUGGCGACAUGGAAUUCCAGAUAAGUCCCAUUUCCUACAAGCGUAGCUACGAGAUGGCAAAUUCACACUGUAACCAUUUUCAAAUUCAACACACUCAUAAUCACCACUUGUGCUAGGCAAAGAAUAACAAUGCUUAGCUUCAUCACAAUACUUUUCAACCUCCUUUCUCGCCUUCUUUGUAACGAGACCCGUCUCAUUUUUCGCUGUCUUACAUCUAGUAGCUAUCCGCUGCAUUGCAUCUCUUCUAAUCAACUCAAGCAUCUGAAUGAAAGGCUUCUUUCUUGCUAUCUUCGAAGUUCUAUUGAAAGACGCAGUGAAGUUGUUGUGUGUAUCAGAACAACACGAACCUAUCCGGAAAAAAGCCCUGCACCAAGUAGAAAGAUCCUUCUUCAAAAGCUCGUCAGCUGCUAAUGGAUCAAACUGUUUGAAAACAUCCAAACUCUUCUCAUAGUAUGCCUCAUUGUAGCUACAUGCAAUACGCCAGAAGAGUGGCUUCAGUGUAUCAGACUUAUGAUUCUUCUUCAGAUUAGAAUAAAUGUGCCUAGCACAAGCUCUAUGUUCAGCUCUUGGCAACUCAACUGUAACUCCAUGAAUCAAUCCCUUAUGCUGAUCUGAAAUGAUUGUCACAAGAUCACCCAUGCCUAAACCCAAAUCAAUCUUCAACCUGUGAAUAAACCAUUGCCAAUUAUCAUUGCUCUCAGAGUUGACCACAGCCCAUGCUAUUUGACAUAUCUGGUUAUUGGGAUCCCUUCCUAUUGCAAUGAGAAUCAGUCCUUGAAGAGAGCUGUGUUUGAGGAAUGUCCCAUCUAAUCCAAUAACCGGCCUGCAAUAUUCCUUCCAUGCCACACGAAUUUGGUGAAAGCAGAUAUACAUGGAGUGGAAUGCUUUCGCUCCAUUUGGUUUUGUUGUUGUAUUGAUCUUUAUUUUGCUAUCAGGAUUUGAACUGCAUUUGAAAAAAAUAAAUGAAAACAUUUAGCUUAUCAAGAACAAUAUUAAGAAACAGUUACUCAUAAGUAUAUUUAAAUAAAAAUAUUACCGUAAUAGUUCCAUCUCAUAGUCAUUUAGCCUUGCAAAAUGCUCAUUGCACUCGGCCUGUAGCUUAUCAAGAACAAUACGCCUCGCAAUCUUGGCCUGCUCGGGAGAGAUUAUGAUGUUGAACUUAUCCCUAAACUCUUCUCUAAUCAUUGGAGCACUCAUUUCAGAUUCCUUCCUGAUUUUCUCCAACAUAACUUCAGCAAUGGCAGGGCUUUUGAUGAGUUUACUUUUCCCUGUGGGAUGGCACGUAUGUGUGUUAACAUACACUUUCACCAUCCAUUUCUUGAUGGGUCUCUCUAAUGAGCAGUAUAUACGCCACACACAUCCUUUACCACCACAUUUAGCACCAAUCUUUGUCUUCUCCCAUCUGCUGAAGACUAUAUUUCUUCUCGUUUUCAGAAUAUAUUUGAUCACUUGCUUCUUGAACUCUUCACCGCUGUAAAAGGUCUGCCUAAGACUAAAAACACCAUCUAAUUCACCCCUAUUAGCCAUCCUCUCAGCUUGUUCCUCUUCAUCAUCAGAUAACUCCUCCGUGUCAGGAUAUACCUCCUCCUCGUCUGGAAUCUCCUCAUCAUAGUUCUCAUCCCUAAACAUCUCAACAUCCUCUUCAAAAUUUCUGUCAAUAUCCUCUUCUUUAUCAGAUUCAUCACUCGCUUGAUACUCAUCUUCACUCUCUCCUCCUUCAUGAUCACCAUCAGAAUUAUCAUCUUGUUGCUCAACAUCCAACUAGUCACCAUCAACAGGUUCGUUCCCAGUCACUGCAUCCACCACAACACCAUCACCAGUAAGAACAUCAGUUUCAGGUUUCUCUAUGAAGACAUCAAGCUCCUCGUACCAACGACCAUUAGAACUCAUCUUCUUUUUGGUUUUCUCGUCUCUUCAAGCAACUCCUUCUUCUCUGAUAUAUCCUCAAAUGGUAACUUGUACCACAUUCUCCCCACUCUAACUAUCUUAACAAUGAUCUUCCGAACUUCCUCAUAAGCAGCAUCACCAUUGACUUCAAACUGCUCCAAAAGACCAUCGACAUAAUUUAGCUUCCCAUCUUCAGCUUUGAACACACCCGAGUGGAAGCCGUUAAUCUUCACUGAUAUUGAAUCACUAUUAUCAAAAAAAUAUCAUUAGAACAUCGUAAAGACAUCGAUUGAUUCCAAUCAUCGAAGUAAACAAGCAAGGGUUCAAAGAUUCUUACCUCGUCGUCGCCAUAUUUCUUCUUUUAGCUCAUUCGGAUUCGAUUAGACCAAAACUCAAUCGAUUAGACCAAACCCAGUUACAAUCACUCUCUCUGACUCUGAAAUCUCUCUCAGUUUCUAUCUUCUUCGAAAUCUCCAAUUUUUUUCGGGUUGGAACCCUAAGGAAAUCGAUUUGGGGGAAAAUGGUUGUGUCGAGUCGGGUUUACGCAUUGGGUCCGGUCGGGUUUUGCCUUAAUCGGAGUUAAGUUUCUUAAUUGCGAAUUGACUCCAAAAUAUUUCAUUAAAAUCAAUUAAAACCAAUUGGGAUUUUGACACCAUAUAUUUAUUUACUUCGUACAUGUGUUGUAUUAUCAUAUACAUCGUGUAGUUAUAGAUACAUUUUAAUACUCUGAAUGGAUUUCACUGUAUUAUACUAAACAUCGUGUACUUUUUAUCGAUUCUGUUUCAGAUGCUCUCUCGCAAUGUGUCGUCACAGUUUCAUGUGAAAUCAAUGAAAAAGAAAAACGCAAAAGCUGUUUCAGAUUCUCUAAUGGUCCCGUGAGGUGGUGGUGGGCUCUCUAAAUUGCCUGUGGCAACAAUCGCAAUUUCUUAGCUCUAAGUUCUGGAAUUUCAGUCAUAGUCGUCGAGAGUUUUUGGUUAAAAUUUUCAAACUUGAUCGAAUUUUGGGGGAAGAGUCUGAUUAAAAAGCUCUAGUCUUUCCGCAAUUUAGCCACUGUUUACUCCAACGUGUAGGGGUUUGAUUAGAUAAGAAGCCUUUUGGAACGAUGCUAAGGGGAUAUCAAAACAGUAGCUGUUUAUAUCCCUGGGUGAUUUUGCUUUCAGUGUUCUCAAUAGUAACAGAGUUCAGGAAAAGACGAGAAUUUCUAUGGCGCCAAGGGACGGGUCAAUGAGCAAAUGGUAUGUACUGUUUCUGCCUUUCUUUCUAGGUUCGAAAUGCAAGCAUAUAGCUAGUUGUUCGUGCUGCUUUGGAUUAUAUACUUUUAUGUUGUCCGUGAUGAAAGUCAGAUAAAUUUCGGGCACUGAGGUUGCUGUUUUUGUACUGAUUAUUUGUUUCCUGAAAGAUUCUAGGUGUCCAUGGGGAAGUAGGUUUCAGUUAGGUAUGUGAUGUUUAUUUAUCGUUUGUCCUGCAUUUUAUUGUCUGGGGGUUUUCAGUUUGAUGUCAGUUAUAUAAUACGUUUUGCUAGAAAUUGGAUCAAUGUGGAGACAUCCACACAUCAUUUAUCAUUUCUGUCACAAUUUUCAGCUCGAGCUUCUCACUUACCUUGGUUUGUUUUUGAUGUUAUAGACCAUGUCUUUUUUUGCCUGUUCUGGAAUCUAAACCAUGGCACAGUUCUUGUUAGUAUUGUUUUUUUUUUUAUAUCUGAUUCCACCUGCAUAUGACCACUGCAUCACUAAUUAGCUGUCAGUCCAAGGCAAGGAUUAGCACAAAUAGGGAUUUAUCCGUAGACGGGUAUAUAGUUUUACAGAGUUGAGGACUCUGUUAGUAAUCCCAUGUCUAUACGUUUGUACAUCGGUUCUAUGCAUAUUUACAGGAGACUUCAUUCAGUUUUUUUUUUUUUAACUAUUCCUCUGUGAAGCUAGCUUUUUCUUUCAGUUACUAUUGUCAACAUAUACAGUCACUCAGACCUUCUGUUUUCCUCGUAAAGGUUUUAGACAUAAAAGAAGCUGAAAGGGAAGAUGAUUCUCUAUUGUGUCCUUCAAGAGAUGCCAGUCCUAAGGGAAAGCUAUUACUUUACUUCUCCAACGCCAAACAGAGGAAUUUAUGGAUGUGGAAACUUUUGAAGCCACAAUGGAAUAUAGAGAGUUUCAUAACCACUCUUGAAGCGCCUGCACACUCACUUGUAACCUGUAAGUACUCCAUUUGUUUUCUUUUUCAGAUUGAGACUCUCUGCCUAUUUUUAAUUAUUGUGUGAGAUUGGUUACAAUGAUCACAUUUGAGGGAAGAAAAUCAAAAUACGUAAUAGCAACUCUUUAACAUCAGUUCUGACCAGUUUACUGGCUACUCAAAUUUAUGUGUUUGGAACAUCUUGACGGCUCUACUGGUUCUUGUAAGAAAUCUCAAGACACAGCACACCUUUUAUCUCUUUAAGAUUGACCUUCUCUGCCUUGUUUACUUCAUAAGUUUGCUGGUGACCUUUGCAACUAAUAUAUAAUCUUAUCAUUUUAUUAUGUUGCGUGCACAGUUUGGUGGAUUGAUGUUUUCUUCACACUAACAAAAGUGUAAAAUUAGUUUUGAAUGCUUGGUAGUGAUUUAAGGAUUUUAGACGAUCAGUUGAAUAACAUCAUUUAUAAAACAAUUAGAAUCAGUCGAGUCAACGUGAGUCAAUUCUAAGCUUCUUGACUAAUUAAACAAGGAUGAUGUGAGUUUAUCCUCCUAGAAUUAGUUAAUCACUCAAUCUUAAACAAAUGAUUUUGGGUGUGAUUGGUAAACAUGUGGCGCAAGUGAGAGUAAUUAACGUUGUAGAAAGUGACCCUAGACGUAAAUGUUUCUUAAAAUAAGAGGGACAAUUUCUGCUGUAUACAGCUGUGUUCAGCUGAAAAUCUUUUCUGAAUUUUUCCUGAUUGGUAAGUAUUGAGCUUAGAGCUCUAAACUGGACGAGACCAUGUCCAUUAGCCCAUAUCCGUUUGUCCAUUUAUUAAUUGUGGACAAAGAAUGACCAUUACCAUUAAGGACCAUGUUCAUUAAGGCCCAAAUCCACUAACAUCCAUAUUUAUAUGGGCUGCCAUGGGGUCCAUUAAAGAUCAUAUAAGAAUAUUUUGAAUUUCAAUCUAUAAACCUAAAAAAAUUCAAAUAUAAAUUCAUAAGAUUAAAAUUCAUCCAUAAAUUCAUAAGUACAACAAUACAUAAGUUCAAAGAUCACACAAAUAACAUCGGUACAUAGCAUUAGUUCAUAAAUACUUAAAUAUCAUCAGUUCAUAAAUAGCAUCAUAAAUAGCAUCAUAAACACAAUACAAAUGGAUAGAACGAAACUCAAAGAAUCAAUCCAUAUCUACACAAGAACGGAUACAAACAAACUGAAUGCGUACAGAUCCUUUUAUCUUAGAAGUGACGAGAAAAAUCUUAUAAAUAUAGGAAACUCAGAUCAGUAAACUUGAACCUAUCUCAAAUCUCAUAAAACCCAAUCUCAGAUUCGCAGAUCACAAACAAAAAUCCAUCUCAGAUAAAAAAAAACCCAACUCAGAUCUCAAACAAAAUCAUCAAUAUGAACAAACCCAAAGGAUGGAAACUGACCGGAGGAGAAGAUGAGAACAGACGGAGUCACAGGAAGAAGUUGAGAACAGAUGGAGGAAGGGAGGAGAAGUGGAGAACGGCCUGAGGAUAGGAGAAGAAGUGGAGAACAUACGGAGGACAGGAGGAGAAGUGGAAAACAGACGGAGGACAAGAGGAGAACAGAGAGCUUCGUCAUCGUCGCAAUCGCCAAAAGAGACGCCGACUCGCCCAGUUUCGUGAAAAGAGAGAAAUGAAAUUUUUUUAAUUUUUCCCCAAAAUUGAAAACCCUAGAAAUUUUUCUUUAUUGGGCCGUUCAAGUCCUCAUUGCCCAAUUCCAUAAAAACCCAUAGAUAAAUUGGUUUCCAAACUCUGACCACUUAAAGCCCACCUGGAAAUAUUGACAUAAUUAGUGGAAGCUCAAAUGUAUGUGGACAUGGACGCCCAUCGGACAGCCCACCCAGUUUACAGCUCAAUUUGAGCUGAAGAUAGAAUAGAAUAUUUAAAAUAUUUACUCUAAAGUGGUUACCCAGUCACACUCUUUAUCCAAUAAACUUAAGUAUUAUAUAGUUUAGUCUGGUCAAUGGAGUCGUACAUGUCCCUUAGACUAUGAUUAUAGGGAGUGCUUAAUGUCGGUGCUUAGCAUAAUUUUGAUUAAAAAAGGAAAAAAUAAGUGUAAAGCGAAGCGGCGACGCUUAAUUGAGCGCCAGAAGCGACGACGCUUAGGGGCACGCGUCAUAAUGUCUCGACUCUAUCUCUCUCAUCUCUUUCUCUCUUUCGUGUUCUUUCUCUCCUCUCUAUCGCUCUCACGAAAGGAAGAAGGUCAAUCGCUCUAUCUCUCUCAUCUCUUUCUCUCCCGCCGGAUGAAUCAAUCGGCGAUUCCGCCUCUCCUUCUUGAUUUCUCUUCGAUGAUGACACCAUCGGAGUCUCUCUCGGUGGCUCCGCCUCAAGGUCGUGAAAUCUCGUCGAAGACUCCGAAUCUCUUUGUUGAUCUCUCGUCGACGAUGAAUCAUUGGACGUGUCGCUCGGUUCCUCUACUCGAAGCCUCUGCCUCUCUAUCUAGAUCGUCGACUCCAAUUCCAAAUCCUUCAUGCAUCUCUUAAUCGAAAGGUAAGUCAACGAUUUGUUUUUAAUUUUUAGUUAUGAAUCCUUCAUGCAUGUCUUAGAUUUGUCUUAGAUUGUGCUUGUUCUAAUUUGUUUUGGAUUUUUUUUGUGUUGUUACCGGUCUGUUGAUUCAAUCUCUUGUAUUUGUUUAAACUUCGUGAUGAAUUUAUAUGUGAUCUCUGAUUGUUUGGAUUUUUUUUUCUGACUUUGCGAGAUGGUGAUCGUUGAAGACACAUGAAGCUUCCUCAAACAAGAGAACUACAAUCGCAACACAGGUAAAUCAUAUUCCUUUGAUCUUUUCAAUUGAUUGAAAGUGUGAUAAAGGUUCUGUGAAUAGAUUGGUAGGUCGUUGUUGAGUAAUGGUUCGCUUUGAGGCUAAUUUCGAAUUGUAAUCGCUAUGAAUGUGUGUUAGAUUAGUUUGUAAUAAAUGAUUGUGUUAGAAAUGGUUCUCAUAGAGAUGAUUGUGUAUCUGUUCUGAAUUUAUUCCUUUGUAAUAAAUGGUUAGGUUAGCGUUAGUGAAUGGUUGCUAAUAAAUGGUUAGAUAAAAAUGGAGUUGAAGUGUUAUGAAUGUGUGUUAGAUAUAUGUCACCUCGUUUUGGUUGGGUGUGUUAUUAAAGACAAAGUCUUUCUUCUUCUCUUCUAUAAAUUGUUUCUUCUUCUCUUCUUCUCUUCCAUCUAUCUAAAAACAGAGUUAUUGUCUUCCUCUCUUCUUUUAAUCAACCUCGGGUAUGGAUUCUCAUCCAUAUAGGCAAACGCCAAAGUUUGUUGAACUGCUUACCAGUCAACAAAACAUUGUCUUUGGUUUGUCUGAAGAUAGUCUCAACUUAUCUUCAUCACAAGUCCCUCUUUUUGGCUCCCAACCGAGUGAAGAUUCCAACUUUGGCGACAGCACUCCUGCAGGGCAUCGAGAAAGGAGGAAAUGGACGCCAGGAGAUGACGUUCUGCUCAUCAGCUCGUGGCUUAAUACAAGCAAAGACCCUGUGGUCUCGAAUGAGCAAAAAUCCGGGGCUUUCUAGAAAAGGGUCGCAGCAUACUUCGCCGCAAGCCCUAAGGUACAAGGCUAUGAAGUCAGAGAGGCGACCCACUGCAAGAACCGUUGGCAGAAGAUCAAUGAUCUAGUCAACAAGUUUUGUGGGGCUUACGAAGCUGCGAGUAGAGAGAGAAGUAGCGGUCAAAAUGAGAAUGAUAUUCUCAAACUAGCUCAUGAGAUAUUCUUCAACAACCACCAAAAAAAAUUCAACCUUGAGCAUGCUUGGAAGGAGCUUCGAAACGAUCAGAAAUGGUGUGAGCUUUAUACUUGCAAAGCCGGUGGAAGCGGAAAGAGGAGGAAGCUUGAUGAUGGUGCGCAUUCCUCAACCUCUCAUGCGUCUGAAACCAUGAAUGAUGAAACUGAUGAAGUAGCCACUCGUCCCCCGGGUGUGAAGGCAUCAAAGGGGCUUGCUAAGAAUAAGGCAGAGACUGAGUAUCAGAGGAUGUGGAAGAUCAAGAAGGAGGAUAUGGCUAUGAGGGACAUGCUUUUGAAGAUGAAGCUGCUGGAUAACCUAUUGGCAAAAACAGAACCGUUAGCUGAGGAUGAGGCAGCGCUGAAGUCGAAGUUCAUAACUGAAUUGUUGUCUUAAUCUAAGUUUAUGCAUUUAAGUUAAUGUUUUCUAAGUCUAAUUAGUUUAAGAUCAAGUCUAAGUUGUUGUUGUCUUAUUGGAUUUAAAAACUCUCUGUUUUCUGGAACUGAAUAUGUAUGUUGUUGUUGUCUUGUUAUGGAUGAUAUAAGAACUCUCUGUUGUUUCAAUGAUUAUUAUGGCUGAUCUGUGCUUGUGUUUUAUUUGAUCAUAACACUCUCUUUGUUUUAUUUGAUCAUAACACUCAUUUUUGUAUCUUCUUUAUGUCAGGUCUUGGCUGAUAUGUGUCUUCUCUUUGCUUGUGUCACGGACGAGCAGUCAUGGAGCGUGGAAGACUGUCUUCUGUCUGCUUGUGUCACGGACGAGCUGUCAUGGAGCGUGGAAGACUGUCUUCUGUCUGCUUGUGUCACGGACGAGCUGUCAUGGAGCGUGGAAGACUGUCUUCUGUCUGCUUGUGUCACGGAUUAGAGUCUCUUGUCUCUUUUUUUUCUUGGUCACAACGUCUUCAAUGUAUUAUUUUGUCACGAGAUCUUCAAUGAUGUAUAUAAUUGUUGUAUCACAAAAUCACAUUUCUACAACACCAUCUCUUCUCUCUUCUGGUUUGUGGAAACAAUAUCAUCACUGCAAACUCUACAACACAAACAAUCUCUUCAUCUCUCAUAUAUUCACCAUCUCUCUUUUAUUCAUUCUCAACACCAAUCUCACGCAAACACUACAACACCCAUCUCUCAUUUAUUCACCAUCUCUCUUUUUAUUCACGAAGUAAUCAAUUUUUUUUCCAACGAAAAUGACAUCUUCUUCCCAUAACACUUUUGAGGGAGUAGAUGAUGAUAGUUUUGAUCAAUAUUUUGAUCAAUAUCAUGAUCAACAUUUUGAUCAAUCUUUCGAGAAUUUGACCAAUGCUUCGGGUGAUCAAGGAGAAGAAAGGAAAAGAAGGAAAAAACGAAUUCAUAUUGAAAGAAAUCGUGAAGAAGGCAAUGUCCGUUUAUGGAACGAUUAUUUCAGUGAAACUCCAACUUACCCUGAUAAUCUUUUCCGGCGUCGAUUUAGAAUGAACAGGCCAUUGUUCAUGCGUAUCGUUCUUCGACUCUCAAAUGAAGUUGAUUUCUUUCGAUAAAAGAAAGAUGCUCUCGGAAGGGCUAGUCUCUCUCCCCUUCAAAAGUGUACCGCGGCCAUUCGUCUCUUGGCAUAUGGUAGUGCGGCUGAUACAGUUUAUAUCCAGCACCGACUGUUUCAGCGCGGCGAGCUCGUUUAUCGUCUGCGCAUCAAGACCUACGGGGGUUUGGGCCACGUCAUCAUCGGCGACAUCUUGGUUGGCAGUCUGCGUUGGUGCUGCACCAGUCGCUCUCUCUGUGUUAAACAGAUGUCUUCGGUACUGCGCCGUCGAAGCUUCCACGUUCGCAGCGAGGGGGGCUAAGAUCUUUGCGAGUGCUGCGAUUUGGUCGGUCGCCGCUUUCUGGGCCGCAUCUUGUUGCGCAAGGCGCGCCAUGAUAGUUUCUAUUGAAGCGGGUUGGAGUGGUGUCGGAGUCACAGGGAAAGACGCUGGCGUUACUUCAGCGGCUUCACGAUCUUCUCCAGAGGAAGAGCCGUCGUUACUCGUCGCCAUCUUGUCGACAUUACUUUUCUAAAGGUCCCACGGUGGCGGUCAACUGUUUGAUCGGGAAACGGUACGGAACGAGAGAACGUUCAGUUUUUAGAUGUGGGUUUAAGCAAAGACGUCUUAUUAACGGUCGGAAGAGUGUUUCGUCGGUUACAAGGAAAGGAGAUGCGUGAAAAGAAAGGUACCAGAGCCUUGAAGGCUUUACCGGAGAAAUACGACAAGGCGAGAUAACAAAAGUAAAACCCUAAUCUGGGCGCCCAGUGUGUAUCAGUGAUUUCGGAUCCCUCUUACGUUUUCUUUCCUUCCCCUUUUAUAGCUGACCUCACGCUAUUCCGUGACCUAGUUUGCGUCGUCUCUGUGGGCUUUAACUCGCUGGGCCGAGAAGCCCACGCUGUCUCGUGGAGUCGUUUCCUCGGGGCGUUUAGUCGAGAAGCCCAUCGAAAGCUCUCUCACAUUACGCCGAGAGAUCGACCCUUCAAGCCGCCGCGCCGAGCCGAUGAGUCCCCGCAGGGAGGUAAACCACCCAUUAUGACGUUAAGGUGCGGGGUGUUCGUAGCAUCCAUCAACUCCCUCUGCGCUUUCCUUUUCGCUUCGAUGCACGGUUGUAAAUCGUGUUGCUUGAGCUUAACGCGUAAAUCUUCCGCUUUGGAGUUGAUCUGUUCACGUAAAUCUGCGGGUAGGGAUUGAAAGUUUGCUGCCGCCCCGUCGUGGGCGGUCUUUCUUGCUUUAGAUUCGUCAAGGGACGUCCGAAGGUCCNNNNNNNNNNNNNNNNNNNNNNNNNNNNNNNNNNNNNNNNNNNNNNNNNNNNNNNNNNNNNNNNNNNNNNNNNNNNNNNNNNNNNNNNNNNNNNNNNNNNNNNNNNNNNNNNNNNNNNNNNNNNNNNNNNNNNNNNNNNNNNNNNNNNNNNNNNNNNNNNNNNNNNNNNNNNNNNNNNNNNNNNNNNNNNNNNNNNNNNNNNNNNNNNNNNNNNNNNNNNNNNNNNNNNNNNNNNNNNNNNNNNNNNNNNNNNNNNNNNNNNNNNNNNNNNNNNNNNNNNNNNNNNNNNNNNNNNNNNNNNNNNNNNNNNNNNNNNNNNNNNNNNNNNNNNNNNNNNNNNNNNNNNNNNNNNNNNNNNNNNNNNNNNNNNNNNNNNNNNNNNNNNNNNNNNNNNNNNNNNNNNNNNNNNNNNNNNNNNNNNNNNNNNNNNNNNNNNNNNNNNNNNNNNNNNNNNNNNNNNNNNNNNNNNNNNNNNNNNNNNNNNNNNNNNNNNNNNNNNNNNNNNNNNNNNNNNNNNNNNNNNNNNNNNNNNNNNNNNNNNNNNNNNNNNNNNNNNNNNNNNNNNNNNNNNNNNNNNNNNNNNNNNNNNNNNNNNNNNNNNNNNNNNNNNNNNNNNNNNNNNNNNNNNNNNNNNNNNNNNNNNNNNNNNNNNNNNNNNNNNNNNNNNNNNNNNNNNNNNNNNNNNNNNNNNNNNNNNNNNNNNNNNNNNNNNNNNNNNNNNNNNNNNNNNNNNNNNNNNNNNNNNNNNNNNNNNNNNNNNNNNNNNNNNNNNNNNNNNNNNNNNNNNNNNNNNNNNNNNNNNNNNNNNNNNNNNNNNNNNNNNNNNNNNNNNNNNNNNNNNNNNNNNNNNNNNNNNNNNNNNNNNNNNNNNNNNNNNNNNNNNNNNNNNNNNNNNNNNNNNNNNNNNNNNNNNNNNNNNNNNNNNNNNNNNNNNNNNNNNNNNNNNNNNNNNNNNNNNNNNNNNNNNNNNNNNNNNNNNNNNNNNNNNNNNNNNNNNNNNNNNNNNNNNNNNNNNNNNNNNNNNNNNNNNNNNNNNNNNNNNNNNNNNNNNNNNNNNNNNNNNNNNNNNNNNNNNNNNNNNNNNNNNNNNNNNNNNNNNNNNNNNNNNNNNNNNNNNNNNNNNNNNNNNNNNNNNNNNNNNNNNNNNNNNNNNNNNNNNNNNNNNNNNNNNNNNNNNNNNNNNNNNNNNNNNNNNNNNNNNNNNNNNNNNNNNNNNNNNNNNNNNNNNNNNNNNNNNNNNNNNNNNNNNNNNNNNNNNNNNNNNNNNNNNNNNNNNNNNNNNNNNNNNNNNNNNNNNNNNNNNNNNNNNNNNNNNNNNNNNNNNNNNNNNNNNNNNNNNNNNNNNNNNNNNNNNNNNNNNNNNNNNNNNNNNNNNNNNNNNNNNNNNNNNNNNNNNNNNNNNNNNNNNNNNNNNNNNNNNNNNNNNNNNNNNNNNNNNNNNNNNNNNNNNNNNNNNNNNNNNNNNNNNNNNNNNNNNNNNNNNNNNNNNNNNNNNNNNNNNNNNNNNNNNNNNNNNNNNNNNNNNNNNNNNNNNNNNNNNNNNNNNNNNNNNNNNNNNNNNNNNNNNNNNNNNNNNNNNNNNNNNNNNNNNNNNNNNNNNNNNNNNNNNNNNNNNNNNNNNNNNNNNNNNNNNNNNNNNNNNNNNNNNNNNNNNNNNNNNNNNNNNNNNNNNNNNNNNNNNNNNNNNNNNNNNNNNNNNNNNNNNNNNNNNNNNNNNNNNNNNNNNNNNNNNNNNNNNNNNNNNNNNNNNNNNNNNNNNNNNNNNNNNNNNNNNNNNNNNNNNNNNNNNNNNNNNNNNNNNNNNNNNNNNNNNNNNNNNNNNNNNNNNNNNNNNNNNNNNNNNNNNNNNNNNNNNNNNNNNNNNNNNNNNNNNNNNNNNNNNNNNNNNNNNNNNNNNNNNNNNNNNNNNNNNNNNNNNNNNNNNNNNNNNNNNNNNNNNNNNNNNNNNNNNNNNNNNNNNNNNNNNNNNNNNNNNNNNNNNNNNNNNNNNNNNNNNNNNNNNNNNNNNNNNNNNNNNNNNNNNNNNNNNNNNNNNNNNNNNNNNNNNNNNNNNNNNNNNNNNNNNNNNNNNNNNNNNNNNNNNNNNNNNNNNNNNNNNNNNNNNNNNNNNNNNNNNNNNNNNNNNNNNNNNNNNNNNNNNNNNNNNNNNNNNNNNNNNNNNNNNNNNNNNNNNNNNNNNNNNNNNNNNNNNNNNNNNNNNNNNNNNNNNNNNNNNNNNNNNNNNNNNNNNNNNNNNNNNNNNNNNNNNNNNNNNNNNNNNNNNNNNNNNNNNNNNNNNNNNNNNNNNNNNNNNNNNNNNNNNNNNNNNNNNNNNNNNNNNNNNNNNNNNNNNNNNNNNNNNNNNNNNNNNNNNNNNNNNNNNNNNNNNNNNNNNNNNNNNNNNNNNNNNNNNNNNNNNNNNNNNNNNNNNNNNNNNNNNNNNNNNNNNNNNNNNNNNNNNNNNNNNNNNNNNNNNNNNNNNNNNNNNNNNNNNNNNNNNNNNNNNNNNNNNNNNNNNNNNNNNNNNNNNNNNNNNNNNNNNNNNNNNNNNNNNNNNNNNNNNNNNNNNNNNNNNNNNNNNNNNNNNNNNNNNNNNNNNNNNNNNNNNNNNNNNNNNNNNNNNNNNNNNNNNNNNNNNNNNNNNNNNNNNNNNNNNNNNNNNNNNNNNNNNNNNNNNNNNNNNNNNNNNNNNNNNNNNNNNNNNNNNNNNNNNNNNNNNNNNNNNNNNNNNNNNNNNNNNNNNNNNNNNNNNNNNNNNNNNNNNNNNNNNNNNNNNNNNNNNNNNNNNNNNNNNNNNNNNNNNNNNNNNNNNNNNNNNNNNNNNNNNNNNNNNNNNNNNNNNNNNNNNNNNNNNNNNNNNNNNNNNNNNNNNNNNNNNNNNNNNNNNNNNNNNNNNNNNNNNNNNNNNNNNNNNNNNNNNNNNNNNNNNNNNNNNNNNNNNNNNNNNNNNNNNNNNNNNNNNNNNNNNNNNNNNNNNNNNNNNNNNNNNNNNNNNNNNNNNNNNNNNNNNNNNNNNNNNNNNNNNNNNNNNNNNNNNNNNNNNNNNNNNNNNNNNNNNNNNNNNNNNNNNNNNNNNNNNNNNNNNNNNNNNNNNNNNNNNNNNNNNNNNNNNNNNNNNNNNNNNNNNNNNNNNNNNNNNNNNNNNNNNNNNNNNNNNNNNNNNNNNNNNNNNNNNNNNNNNNNNNNNNNNNNNNNNNNNNNNNNNNNNNNNNNNNNNNNNNNNNNNNNNNNNNNNNNNNNNNNNNNNNNNNNNNNNNNNNNNNNNNNNNNNNNNNNNNNNNNNNNNNNNNNNNNNNNNNNNNNNNNNNNNNNNNNNNNNNNNNNNNNNNNNNNNNNNNNNNNNNNNNNNNNNNNNNNNNNNNNNNNNNNNNNNNNNNNNNNNNNNNNNNNNNNNNNNNNNNNNNNNNNNNNNNNNNNNNNNNNNNNNNNNNNNNNNNNNNNNNNNNNNNNNNNNNNNNNNNNNNNNNNNNNNNNNNNNNNNNNNNNNNNNNNNNNNNNNNNNNNNNNNNNNNNNNNNNNNNNNNNNNNNNNNNNNNNNNNNNNNNNNNNNNNNNNNNNNNNNNNNNNNNNNNNNNNNNNNNNNNNNNNNNNNNNNNNNNNNNNNNNNNNNNNNNNNNNNNNNNNNNNNNNNNNNNNNNNNNNNNNNNNNNNNNNNNNNNNNNNNNNNNNNNNNNNNNNNNNNNNNNNNNNNNNNNNNNNNNNNNNNNNNNNNNNNNNNNNNNNNNNNNNNNNNNNNNNNNNNNNNNNNNNNNNNNNNNNNNNNNNNNNNNNNNNNNNNNNNNNNNNNNNNNNNNNNNNNNNNNNNNNNNNNNNNNNNNNNNNNNNNNNNNNNNNNNNNNNNNNNNNNNNNNNNNNNNNNNNNNNNNNNNNNNNNNNNNNNNNNNNNNNNNNNNNNNNNNNNNNNNNNNNNNNNNNNNNNNNNNNNNNNNNNNNNNNNNNNNNNNNNNNNNNNNNNNNNNNNNNNNNNNNNNNNNNNNNNNNNNNNNNNNNNNNNNNNNNNNNNNNNNNNNNNNNNNNNNNNNNNNNNNNNNNNNNNNNNNNNNNNNNNNNNNNNNNNNNNNNNNNNNNNNNNNNNNNNNNNNNNNNNNNNNNNNNNNNNNNNNNNNNNNNNNNNNNNNNNNNNNNNNNNNNNNNNNNNNNNNNNNNNNNNNNNNNNNNNNNNNNNNNNNNNNNNNNNNNNNNNNNNNNNNNNNNNNNNNNNNNNNNNNNNNNNNNNNNNNNNNNNNNNNNNNNNNNNNNNNNNNNNNNNNNNNNNNNNNNNNNNNNNNNNNNNNNNNNNNNNNNNNNNNNNNNNNNNNNNNNNNNNNNNNNNNNNNNNNNNNNNNNNNNNNNNNNNNNNNNNNNNNNNNNNNNNNNNNNNNNNNNNNNNNNNNNNNNNNNNNNNNNNNNNNNNNNNNNNNNNNNNNNNNNNNNNNNNNNNNNNNNNNNNNNNNNNNNNNNNNNNNNNNNNNNNNNNNNNNNNNNNNNNNNNNNNNNNNNNNNNNNNNNNNNNNNNNNNNNNNNNNNNNNNNNNNNNNNNNNNNNNNNNNNNNNNNNNNNNNNNNNNNNNNNNNNNNNNNNNNNNNNNNNNNNNNNNNNNNNNNNNNNNNNNNNNNNNNNNNNNNNNNNNNNNNNNNNNNNNNNNNNNNNNNNNNNNNNNNNNNNNNNNNNNNNNNNNNNNNNNNNNNNNNNNNNNNNNNNNNNNNNNNNNNNNNNNNNNNNNNNNNNNNNNNNNNNNNNNNNNNNNNNNNNNNNNNNNNNNNNNNNNNNNNNNNNNNNNNNNNNNNNNNNNNNNNNNNNNNNNNNNNNNNNNNNNNNNNNNNNNNNNNNNNNNNNNNNNNNNNNNNNNNNNNNNNNNNNNNNNNNNNNNNNNNNNNNNNNNNNNNNNNNNNNNNNNNNNNNNNNNNNNNNNNNNNNNNNNNNNNNNNNNNNNNNNNNNNNNNNNNNNNNNNNNNNNNNNNNNNNNNNNNNNNNNNNNNNNNNNNNNNNNNNNNNNNNNNNNNNNNNNNNNNNNNNNNNNNNNNNNNNNNNNNNNNNNNNNNNNNNNNNNNNNNNNNNNNNNNNNNNNNNNNNNNNNNNNNNNNNNNNNNNNNNNNNNNNNNNNNNNNNNNNNNNNNNNNNNNNNNNNNNNNNNNNNNNNNNNNNNNNNNNNNNNNNNNNNNNNNNNNNNNNNNNNNNNNNNNNNNNNNNNNNNNNNNNNNNNNNNNNNNNNNNNNNNNNNNNNNNNNNNNNNNNNNNNNNNNNNNNNNNNNNNNNNNNNNNNNNNNNNNNNNNNNNNNNNNNNNNNNNNNNNNNNNNNNNNNNNNNNNNNNNNNNNNNNNNNNNNNNNNNNNNNNNNNNNNNNNNNNNNNNNNNNNNNNNNNNNNNNNNNNNNNNNNNNNNNNNNNNNNNNNNNNNNNNNNNNNNNNNNNNNNNNNNNNNNNNNNNNNNNNNNNNNNNNNNNNNNNNNNNNNNNNNNNNNNNNNNNNNNNNNNNNNNNNNNNNNNNNNNNNNNNNNNNNNNNNNNNNNNNNNNNNNNNNNNNNNNNNNNNNNNNNNNNNNNNNNNNNNNNNNNNNNNNNNNNNNNNNNNNNNNNNNNNNNNNNNNNNNNNNNNNNNNNNNNNNNNNNNNNNNNNNNNNNNNNNNNNNNNNNNNNNNNNNNNNNNNNNNNNNNNNNNNNNNNNNNNNNNNNNNNNNNNNNNNNNNNNNNNNNNNNNNNNNNNNNNNNNNNNNNNUAAGUUACUUCCACAUAUCGACUUUUGCAAAUCUGAGAAGUAAGUUUAAGCCAAUUCAUUCAUAAAGCUUUUUAUACAGUGUGUCAGAAUAGACUAGUCAUAAAUGGAUGCAGUUUUCUUUUUGGCUUUCGAUUAUUCUAAAGUUUAACGGGUGAUUAAAUGAUUUUUUUAUCAAAGAAAACCAAAAACUCCUUAAAAAUCUACAAAACAUUGAAGGUCUAGUCUAACUAUACCGUUAGAUCAUAUAACUAUACUGAUAGAUCAAACCUCUUUGAUACUAUCAUCUCCAAAUGGUUCACUACGUGCUAUUAUUUUAAACAACAUCUAAUUUUAUUUUCUAAAAAAUGUUCAAAAAAAUUUCAGUGAUUUCAUUUUCUUGUUAGAAUUUUUAGUUUAAUUGAUUCUUAUUUUUUUAAAAAUAAUAUUAUAAGAAUCAACAAAGUUUUGUUUCAACUUCUCAAUCGUCUGUCUUAAGAAUCAACAAAACAAAUAAACAAGAACAAAAUAAAGUAAAAAUGUGUCAUUUGUUAAAAUAGAUAGGCUUUCAACCUAAAAUCAACUAGUGGUAAUUAGGUUGACAUAUUUAUUUUAUAUACUAAUUAAUGUCUCUUCCAAUUACUGAUAUGUGAGACUUUGUCACUAAUAUGCAUGGUCGAAAUGAUGGUUCUUCCUUCGGUCAAUCUUAUAAUGUUCGGAAAAAGAUUGAUAGGUCAAUUUUGGAGCGCAUCCAUGUAGAUCAAAUUAGACUGUAUAGAUCAUAGUCAUAUGAGAGAGGUGAGAGGGGGGGGGGCAGCUGUCCCACAUGAAUUAUUAGGGAAAAAUUUAUCUUCAUUGGUUUUUUGAAAAAAUUAUGAAUAAGUAUUAAAAUCCAUUUUAGUGCCCCAUGAUUUUAUAUUAAAAUUUCAUAUUGUCCCGGUGAGCCUUUUGGCUGGCUCCUCCAUUGAUCAUGGUUUGAUAUUAUGUUAAAUCAGAUGGUCUUUCACAUAAAACGAAUUAGUGAUAAAUAAAUUAGCUUAUCUAUUUUAUAUAUUAUUUAAUAUCAUUUCUAACUUCCGAUGUAGGAAAUUUUAUCAUUAAUACCAUCACUUUAAGAACAUUUAACAACAACAUCCAAUUAAAGUUGUCAACCACCUUUUUUGAAAUUGAUCAGGAGACAUCCGUUUUUGUUUCCAUGUUUUUUACUUUAUUUGACUUGAAAUCAAACCUAAAGAUCUUAUAUUUAUCGGUUUCAAAAUAAUAUUUAGAGUUUUUACACAUAUUAAAAAAAUUAAAGUUUAGUUAUUAAUGCAUAUUUUUUUGUAAUUUUAUAUUUCUUAUAUUUUUGACUAAAUUAUAUUUAUUAUAUUUCUAAAUCAAUAAAAUUUUAAGAAAUGCAAUUGAUGUUUUUGAAGUUUAUAAUUUUUUAUUAGUUGAUUAAAAAGUGUAUUGAAAAUAUAAAAAAAAUAUUUUUUAACAUAAUUUUUAAAAAACAGUCAUCUUUUUCGGGAUGAAGGUAUUAUUUGUUAAUCACAUUAUAAAAUCUAAACUUUCAUUUUUAAAUCAAAUUUACAACUAGGUAGUAACACGCGCCUUGUGCGGGAAGUGAUUAUUAGUUUCGUUAUUUUUAGUAAAAAGCAUUAAAUCUGUUUAAUCUGGCUAUUGGUUCGGUCUUAAGUUUUUUUUUCUGUUUUUAAUCUUCUAAAAUAUAACUAUUAUUUUAAAUUAAUAUUCAUUUUAGUUUAUUCGUCUAAAAUGUUUGAUUUUUUGGUUUUUUCCUGUAAAAACCAAAAAUACAUCUUAUUUGUUUGUUUUCAUGUUAUGAAUUUUAGAUAAUUGCCAUGUCGAACCAAUAGUUUCAUAUUAUAGUUUCUAAGCAGAUAAUCGUAUUAAUAGUAAUUAAAAUCUAACAAAAAUCUUAGAGAAAAUCUUAUUGAGACAAAUCGGAGUUGAGAGUGUCUUUUUUUGCCAAUUUUCCCUAUUAUCAAAUCAUUGUGAAGCUGUCACGUGUCUAUUAUAGUGUGAAUGCAUUUAUUAUAAUGCUUUUUUUUUAAUGUAUAAUGGAUUUAUUAAAGAAAAAGAAGGUUAAACCAGUAUUGGAUAGAUAUUCUUAAAGAUUCUCAAGAUAGCCUUUAGAUUUAAGGAUCAGAAUAAUUGUGCUGGCAUAAAAUCAUUAAUUUUUUAUAUUUUCUAAACAAAAACAUCAUUAAUUAUUUAUCUAACCACAAAUCAACCAAGAAUAAAAUAGAAGGUAUAUUAUUAUUGAUCAUAUAACAUUAAAUGUUAAUAAAUUUUACAUAGAAAACCGAAAACGUCAUAUAGUUUGGAAUAUACAAAUUUUUCUAAAAUGACUUAUAUUAAAAAAAAAGAGGGAGUAUUUCCCAAGCAUCAUCCAAAAAGGUACGCGGAAAGAAAACCCAUCUGAUUAUGGGGCUCUAAUCAUCGCGAGUCUAAAGUUUGUUUUUUAUCAUUUCAUUUUCGGCUGAAGAUAGAAUGCCCACCAAAGAGAGAGAGCAUCUAUAUUCUAUAUGCUCCACCGAGUCGUCUGUAUUCUUCGAACCUAGCAGAUUAGUAAAGAAGGAGACAAUCAUGAUGUCCUUUUAAUAUGUACGAGACGUUAUCCGUUGCAUCCCGCCAAUGUCGAAUUGCAUUCCAUGCGAGAAGGAAGAGCUUCUCGUCGGAGCGGCGUCCGUGGGUGAUUGUGAAAACCCUAAUCCCAAACAAGAUGUCGCCAUUUUCCCUAACACUGUCUCCCAAGACUGGCGCAUGUCUUGAAAAUUAUACUUGUUGCCAAAUGAUUAAAAUAUUAGUUCUUUUAUUUCCUUUCGAACACUAUCAUUACCAUACUUAUUAAACAGAUUUAGUUUUAAUAUUGUGUGUGAGAGACUUCUAAACAUUGAAAUGCUAUUUUUCUAAUGCAGAACUUUUAGCUUUUCUUCAAGUGCCGGGGUUCUUUGGAACAUCUGCUAUUAAACCUCUGGUAUGGAGUGUUUGUCCCCGUUCUUGGGGGAGAUUUUGCGUCCCAUGUGUGACUCAAUGUGCUCCCGGGUCGUUAAUGCCAUAAGGUUCAAAUCCAACGUCCAAGCUCUUAACAGUGUGAUGGAGAGAUUAGUUGAGCUUAAGGGCAACAUAAAUGAAGACCACAAAGAUAAACCAUUUAGACUCAAGAUAAUGGGGUGGCAAAGAAAUGCUGAGGAGGUUAUCACUAAAGCAAGGUCGAAACUUGAGGAACGGGUUUCGUGUGGUAAGUCCUUGAAAUCCAGGCUGAGCAGGAAACUCGUUACGAUUCUCAACGAAGCUAGAAUGCUCGAAAAGGAAGGUUUAGAUCUUUUAGACAUGAUAGCUGCGGCUACUGCACAUGAAAGAGUUGAACAUGUUCCGGGAGUUUCAGUACUUCAUCAAACAACGGCUUCAAAUAUGUUGGGUAAAAUUAUAGAUGGUUUGAGGAGCAGUGAGGUUCAGAAGAUUGGUAUUUGGGGUAUGGGUGGAGUAGGGAAAACGACAUUGGUGAGGACGUUGAACAAUAAGCUUCAUGAAGAGACUGCAACUCAACCAUUUGGCUUGGUGAUCUUUGCUACACCAUCCAAAGACUUUGAUCCAAGAACGGUCCAAAAGCAGAUUGCUGAGAGACUGGAUAUCGACACCAGGUUGGGAGAAACUGUAGAGAGGCUGGCAAGAAGGAUCUAUGUGAGGCUUGAGAAAGAGAACAACUUCCUUCUUAUUCUUGAUGACGUGUGGAAAGAUAUUGAUUUAGAUCUUCUGGGCAUUCCACGAACAGAAGAGAAGAAGGGUUCAAAGAUCAUUCUCACUUCCAGGUUUCUUGAAGUCUGUCGUAGUAUGAGGACAGAUCUUGAUGUUAGGGUGGAUUGCUUGUGCGAAGAAGAAGCUUGGGAACUGUUUUGCCAGAAUGCAGGAGAGGUAGCGAGAUCAGAUCUUAUUGAGCCCAUUGCAAAAGCCUUUUCACUUGAAUGUGGCGGGUUGCCCCUGGCUAUCAUAACAGUCGGGACAGCUAUGAGAGGAAAGCCAAAUGUCAUGUUGUGGGAACACGCCUUGAAUCAGCUAAGUAGAUCGGUACCUUGGAUCAAAAGCAUUGAAGAGAAGAUCUACCAGCCUUUGAAACUGAGCUACGACUUCUUGGAAGGACAAGCAAAAUCUUGUUUUCUUCUUUGUGCUUUAUUUCCUGAAGACUACUCCAUUGAGGUUACGGAGCUUGUGAUGUAUUGGAUAGCUGAAGGAUUCAUGGAGGAACAAGGUUCCCACGAGGAGUACAUGAACGAAGGAAUCACAAUUGUGGAGAGCUUAAAGGACUAGUGCCUGUUAGAAGAUGGUUCUCGCAGUGAAACCGUUAAAAUGCAUGAUGUUGUCCGAGAUUUUGCAAUAUGGAUUAUGUCUUCCUCACAAGAUGAUUGCCAUUCGCUUGUCCUGUCUAGUACAGGUUUGCAAGAGAUUAGACAAGACAAAUUUUCUCCUUCUCUUCGAUGGGUUUCUUUGAUGAACAAUAAGCCCGAGAGGCUCCCUCGUCUACCAGAAGAGUACUGCAUGGAAGCCUCAACCUUACUGCUACAGGAGAACUAUCUUCUACAAGAAGCAUCAGAUGGGUUCUUGCAAGCAUUCCCAGCUCUUAGGAUUUUGAAUCUAAGUGGGACACGCGUGAACUCCCUGCCCCAUUCCUGUUUGCAGCUUUCCAAACUUCAUUCUCUUUUCUUAAGACCUUACCGAACUACCUUCUCUAGAAACUCUUUCUAAACUUGAGCUACUGGAUCUACAUGGCUCCCGUAUCAAAGAAUUCCCAAAAGGGCUAGAAAAGCUGGAGAGCUUUAAACACCUUGAUCUUUCAGGAACAGUUCACCUCAAAACUAUUCCAGCUAGAAUUGUUUCGCGGUUAUCAAGUUUGGAGACACUAAACAUGAAAUUAAGUAACUACCAUUGGAGUGUAAAAGGAGAAGAACAAGAAGGCCAAGCAACAGUUGAAGAGAUUGCAUACCUUGACUGUUUACAGGUGCUGUCUAUAUGUCUUAUUUGUUCGCCGUCUUUUCUGAAGAAGAACAACUCUUCUUGGAUCAAAGUCUAAAGAAAUUUCAAAAUUAAUGUGGGCUUUAGCUACGUUUUGCCUAUGAUACACGAUCAGAGGACACUAGCAAUAAGUGGUCUCAACUUAUCACAAGUAUCCAUGGAGUGGCUCUUGGCUUGUACAACCUCUGUAAUACUGAACAGUUGUCAAGGGCUCCAAGGAAUGAUGAAGAAAUUGGUCACUGGCAGCAAGACAUUCGUGAAUCUGAAAUCUCUAACGAUUGUGAAAACUAGUAUCAACUCUAGUGGUGGUGGGAUUGAGAAGGCAACCAGCAAAGGAUCCUCCACAAGUCCAGACACACUUCCAUUUCUGGAGGAACUUGGUCUGCACGAAGUUAACUUUGUAUCCCUUUCGGAAUUACAAGCACAGCUAUGGUUGAGAUUGGUAGCUCUUAAACUACUUCUGGUCAGCAAGUGCAAUAACCUUAAAACACUCGUUGAGAUAGACAUGUUCACUAUGCCAAACCUGGAGGAGAUAGAAAUUAGCGACUGUAACUCCUUGCAUAAUCUACGCCAAACUAUUGAUGGUCCACAAGAACCUCUCCUACCAAAGUUACGUGUCAUGAAACUGAGAAAUCUUCCAGAGCUGGAGAGUGUUUGCUACGAAAAAGAGACUUGGGAGUGUCUCGAACAGGUGAAAGUCAUGAACUGUGGUCGGCUAUAUACUUUGCCCAUAAGCUCCAAAACUUGUGGAAGAAUCAAGGAAAUAAAAGGAACUAUAAGUUGGUGGAAACAUUUGAGAUGGGAUGAUCCUUCUACUUUAGAAACUCUUGAUCCUUGUUUCAAGCCAUUAAGAUUACUUGGUGAAGAAAUGGCACCCAUAUUUGGGGAGCACUACUUGUGGGACAGUUGAUGAAGAAUCUAGCUAGGUCCAUCAUCCCAAGAGCACUACUGUCUUUUCUCUGUGUUCUCUAAUAUUUCAAUUGUGGAUGUGCAAAACUCUCUUUUGUUUAUGUUUGGAUGUCUUUCCUUUGUUCGAGUCUUGAAAAUGUGUGUGUGCAAAACUAUAUCAACAAUGUUACGUUUUUGGAUACAUAAGUUUGGUGCUUAAAAGGAUAAACAUCAAGACACUGCAAUAAGUCAACAAAGUGGAGUAUUAUUACAGUACGAACCCCUAAAGCAUGUAGAGUCUGAAACAAAGAGAAGAAAGGUUCUUCAUAUAUUCACACAACAGAAACAAAAUAUCAUAUGCAACUACAACUAGAUCCACACAGCUGUUGUGUAACCGUCCUCUACUACUUGUUCGCUCUCACAUCAAACCAUUUUCCAGCGUUACCUUCUUUGUCACAUAGGAUCUCCUAAUCUUCUUCAUCGGUAGGCUUAGAGGAACCGGCCUUCUUGUUGGGGAGAAGGAGAUUGUGGAUGUUAGGCAUCACUCCUCCAUUAGCAAUCGUCACAUCUCCAAGUAGCUUGCUUAGCUCCUCGUCGUUCCUCACAGCAAGCUGAAUAUGUCGAGGCACAAUCCGAGUCUUCUUGUUAUCUCGUGCUGCGUUCCCGGCAAGCUCAAGUACCUACACAAAUUAAUCACACCAAAUUAACAAACCCACGUUUACAGAUCCGUUAAAGAAACCUCAAUCGGACCCGAGAUUAAACCUUUCGCUAGAUCAUCAAAUUCGAAAACAAGGAAGCAAAUCUAAAUUGGUGAUCAAUAUCUAUUAAAAGAGUCUGUGAUUUACCUCGGCGGCGAGGUAUUCAAGAACGGCGGCGAGAUAAACCGGAGCUCCUGCUCCAACGCGCUCGGCGUACUUUCCGGCCUUGAGGAAUCGGGCGAUACGACCAACGGGGAAUUGGAGCCCGGCCUUGCUACUGCGAGAUGUAGCCUUCUUCGCCGCGCCAGAUCCGAGUUGUUUACCCCGACCCGCCAUCUCUACUACAGCUGAGAAGAUUGAAUUCUCUAGAAAGGCAAACUAGGCCUGGGCAUCCGGGUCUUCGGGUCGGGUUCGGAUCGGGUUUUGUCGAGUCCGGGUCCUUCGAGUCCUAGCAAUUUAGACUCAUAUAGGUACCUAUAACUUUUCGGAUCGAUUCCGGAUCGGGUUUUGUCGGGUCCGGAUCGGUUCAGGUCUAUAAUUUCAAAACUCGUAAAAUACCCAAAAUUUUCGGGUAUAUUUCGGAUCCGGGUCGGUUCGGGUAUUUACGACCCGAAAUAGACCCGAAAUACCCGAAUUGGAUCCGAAAACCCAAAACAUACCCGAAUUUUAUCCGAAUACCCAAAUUAUAUUUUCUAAAAAUCUAAAAUUUCACCAAAAACCUACAAUUAUACCCGAAAAUCCAAACCCAAAACUUAAAAAAAAUCCGAAAUAUCAAAAAUAUACCCAAUCACCUAAAUAUACCUAGUAUAUACAAUUAUUUGCGGGUACUUCGGGUACCCGAACGGGUCUCAGAUAGGACCCUGACCCGAACCGAGACCCGCAGGUCCAAAAAAGACCCAAUAGAUACUUAGCAUGGAUCUGAACCCGGAGCCGAACCUGUAUUUUCGGGUCGGUUACGGUUCGGGUCUUCGGAUCCGGGUAAAAUGCCCAGGCCUAAAGGCAAAGAAAAGUAUAUGGACGACGUGUAAUUGAGACGAUAACAAUAACGAGUAGUUGGUUACAGCGAAACCCGCCAUGAGUAUUGAUAAGUAUCCCUGACCAAUGAUAUGACACUGCACGGAUCGAUAGUUGUGACCGUUAGAUUGUUUUUCAUUUAAGGGAUGCGAUUUGGUUUCCUUCGGUUAGGCACUUUCUUUUUGUCUCUCUUGAACUCGGACUGUUUCAGUGAGUGGUUACAUGGGCUAAUUUGGGCUUAUUAAUUUUAGCCCAAAGUAGCAUAACCUUUUAAUUUAACAUUUUUGGCCCAUGUUGCUUUGGGUCAAGUCCAUGCUCUAUUAUUUUUGCCUUUGAAUCCAAACAAAUUUUGUAUCAUUAUCAGUUUAUCACAAUCAUUAUUUGCAGUUUGGUUGGUUAACAUUCACACGACAAUUUUUGUUCAGUGAAGGUUUUGGACCAGAAGCUAAACUGAUCCCCAGUUUUAAACUAUAAGAUAUUGUCACAUUUUCGUCUAACCAAAUGAGCAAAUGUACCAUCGCUUUUACUAUUGUUGAUAGUAUAAUCCUAUUUUAACCGCUCAAAAUUCCUUUACAGUUCCACUAAAACUCCAUCACUACUAAUUGGAUUCUUAUUCAUUUCAAAUCGUCGGUGACUUUUUGUGCAAUCCUAACUCAGAUGCACAAAUGUUUAUUCAAUAAACUUUUUCUUUUGUUUAGAAGGGUAACCAAUUCUUGUUAAAGUGAUUAUAUUGGUUCAUUCUACGAGAAAAGUGAUUAUAUUGGUUCAUUCUACGAGAAAAAGGAAUUCCGAUUAUCAUUUACCAUAAAAUCAAGCUACAAUUUUUGCUUAAUUUCUCCAAGGAUGGAUAACAAACAGAAGAAAACAGGAUGUAGACAUUCGAAAAGGUGCAUGUCAUGAGCGUGGUGGUGGGUGGCCAUGAUGUUACCAACCUUUGAAACAAAAAUAGGUGGAUCUCACACUUAUUAAAUUGUUCAUUAAUGUGGGAUGUGGAGAUGCCUACGUAAAAAUCACAACACAAUCAUUAUUUGUUUACAUAAAUAAUGGGAAAUUUAUUCAAUCAGAUCAUUUUCUAAGGGUACUAUGUGUAUACAGAAACUUCUUAGGGAUUCUUAGAAUGGAGUUCUUAUCGGAAUAUAAGAACUCGUCUCUUAACUUUUAAUUAAAAAAGUUAAGAACCGGCUCUUAAAAUUUUUAUUCAAAAACCAGUUCUUAGCUUUUUUAGUUAAAAGUUAAGAGACGAGUUCUUAUAUUUCGAUAAAAACAUCACCCUAAAAACCUCCAAUAAUCAUGCUCUCUGGUCGUAUUGAAAAAUAAUGUGAGAACCAGUUAAAUUUGGUUUUGUACUUGUUUGGAAUUGGCAAAUCAAAUUUCCAAAAAAAAAAAAAUUCACUCAAAUAGUUGUCCGGAGGACAACAUAAUGUGGAUGAGUCCUUCUGGUCUGACAGUAUGUGAAGACUUCACUAUUCUAAAUAUAAUUCAAACUAUGCAAAAUAUUGGAAGCAUACAGUUGGGAAAUGUGAGGCUGUAUUUUUAGCCAAGAGACAACCAAAUCAUAUACAGUAUAGCCUCGUGAGUCAAAUAGUAUCAAGCAACUUGACAAUCUAUGGUCCAUAGAUAAUUAAGUUACCUAAGUACGAUCAUCGUUGUCUCGCCAACUCAUAGAUUGUUAAGUUAGUUAAGUACGAUCACUGAUGUGUCUACAUAUGGUCCAUAGAUAGUUAAGCUACCUAAGUACCAUCACUAUUGCGUCUUGAUUAUAGUUUUAAACUUUUACUUAGCGUAUCUUUUUUUUUUUUAUCUUUGACACAGCAAAAGAAACUCAUGGUUGUGUCUCUUUCUUUUUGACCUUUUAAAAACUGAAAACAGAAACACAAUCUAACAUUUCAUUUCAAUCAUUCUUUUCGUUUUUGCUUCUUUCGUUCUCAUAUCCAUCAGAAGACAAAACAUUGGAGAGAGAGGAUACAACAAUGGAAGGCUCAAGAACAAGAACUGAAAAGAAGAAAAAGCUACCCAGUGUUUGGUUUUCACUCAAGAAAUCUCUCCACUGCAAAUCUGAUCCCACCGACGUACACGACCCGAGUUCCAGAAGCAAAGAGACAACCAAGAGAUCAACUUACCGGUCCGGUUGUUCAAGAUCCAUAGCCAAUCUCAAAGACGUAAUCCACGGAAGCAACCGACACUUAGAAAAGCCGACGACUUGCUCUAGCCCUCGUUCAAUCGGAAGCAGCGAGUUUCUCAAUCCCAUCACUCACGAGGUCAUCAUCAGCAACUCCACUUCCGAGCUCAAGAUCACCGCCGCCGCCGGCGACGUAGACUCCUCCACCGGAGCAAGGGAGUUCGUGGGAACUCUGAGACCAGGAACGCCGGUGCAUUACUCCUCUUCAAACAGGAGCCAAGCGUCGAGAAAGGCCUCGUCGGAGAGAGACAGAGGAGGAGCAGCGUUUAAACAGAGCAGGAGAGACUCCGCCGUUGUCAACGGAGACGAUUCCUCUGUUUCUUGCCAUAAAUGCGGCGAGAAGUUUAGCAAACUCGAAGACGCAGAAGCUCAUCACCUCACCGAACACGCCGGUAAUAACACAAAGUUUCGUACUUUACGUCAUAAAGUUUCUAACUUUUUUUUUUGAACUGAAUAAAGUUUCUAACUUUUUCUUUUUUUGAACUGAACAAAGUUUCGAACUUUUUUUUUUAUCAAUAAAGUUUCGCAACUUUCAACCCAAAAAUUUUCAUUUUCGCCAGUGACAGAGCUCGUGGAAGGAGAUUCGUCGAGAAAGAUCGUGGAGAUGAUAUGCAGAACAAGCUGGUUAAAGACAGAGAACCAAUGCGGGAGAAUCGACCGUAUCCUGAAAGUGCACAACAUGCAAAAGACUCUAGCGAGAUUUGAGGAGUACAGAGACACCGUCAAGAACAGAGCGAGCAAGCUACAGAAGAAGCACCCGAGAUGUAUCGCCGACGGAAACGAGCUCCUCAGGUUCCACGGAACCACAGUCUCGUGCGUUCUAGGGGUAAACGGGUGCACGAGCCUUUGCUCGUCGGAGAAGUGCUGCGUUUGCCGGAUAAUAAGAAACGGGUUCUCGGUGAAACGGGAGAUGAAUAACGGGAUAGGGGUUUUCACGGCGUCGACUAGCGGGAGGGCGUUUGAGUCGAUCGAAAUGGACGGUGGUGAUGGGACGACGGAGAGGAAGGCGUUGAUCGUGUGUCGGGUGAUCGCCGGGAGGGUUCAUAGGCCGGUGGAGAAUGUGGAGGAGAUGGGCGGGUUGAAUGGGUUUGAUUCUUUGGCGGGUAAAGUUGGUUUGUAUACUAAUGUUGAGGAGCUUUAUUUGCUUAACUCUCGAGCUUUGCUUCCUUGUUUUGUGGUUAUCUGCAAGCCCUAAAUCAACUUUUUUUUUUGGGGUUAAGUUGUGUGUGGUAUCAAUAGAGUUUUAACAACGCAAAGUUGGAAUAUUGAGUUCACAGCUAUGAAAGUAUUUAGCAUUAAGAACGUAUAAACUGUAGUUGUGUUCACGUAAAACCUAUAACAACAAAAGUUCAUUUGAGACUUUUUGCUACUAUUGUUGGAGCAAGUGGAGUACGAGAAUAAAAGAGACUAAAGUUUGAAGAAGUUACAUCACGUCUUAGAAAGCCGAAGUUACAUCACCGAAGAGUGGAAGCUGAAGUUACAUCACGUGAAGAGUGGAGUAACUUCAGCUUCCACUCUUCACGUGAUAUAUAAAAUAUAUCAUACAUUAAGAUAUGAUGGUUGUUUUAUAUAGCUUAGUGGAGUAUUACGUUUCCUUAAUUUAUGCAAGUAGAAUAGUUUUUUUUGUUAUCUUCAAAGCUAUAUAAAACAACCAUCAUAUCUUAAUGUAAGCAACAAAUUUUGUCUUUCUUGAUGCAAUACUUGUCUGUGAUUAAUUACAACUAUUAGUUCUCCUCCUUUUCUUAAUCAACUUCUAUCAGGUUGUUUUGGCACUGAUCUCUAAGUGGAAAAAGACAGAACGUUUUGUUCGUAAUGGUGUUUAUUGGCUGUUAGAUUCAUGUGGAAUACCAUUAAGAUUACUUGGUGAAGAAAUGGCACCCAUAUUUGGGGAGCACUACUUGUGGGACAGUUGAUGAAGAAUCUAGCUAGGUCCAUCAUCCCAAGAGCACUACUGUCUUUUCUCUGUGUUCUCUAAUAUUUCAAUUGUGGAUGUGCAAAACUCUCUUUUGUUUAUGUUUGGAUGUCUUUCCUUUGUUCGAGUCUUGAAAAUGUGUGUGUGCAAAACUAUAUCAACAAUGUUACGUUUUUGGAUACAUAAGUUUGGUGCUUAAAAGGAUAAACAUCAAGACACUGCAAUAAGUCAACAAAGUGGAGUAUUAUUACAGUACGAACCCCUAAAGCAUGUAGAGUCUGAAACAAAGAGAAGAAAGGUUCUUCAUAUAUUCACACAACAGAAACAAAAUAUCAUAUGCAACUACAACUAGAUCCACACAGCUGUUGUGUAACCGUCCUCUACUACUUGUUCGCUCUCACAUCAAACCAUUUUCCAGCGUUACCUUCUUUGUCACAUAGGAUCUCCUAAUCUUCUUCAUCGGUAGGCUUAGAGGAACCGGCCUUCUUGUUGGGGAGAAGGAGAUUGUGGAUGUUAGGCAUCACUCCUCCAUUAGCAAUCGUCACAUCUCCAAGUAGCUUGCUUAGCUCCUCGUCGUUCCUCACAGCAAGCUGAAUAUGUCGAGGCACAAUCCGAGUCUUCUUGUUAUCUCGUGCUGCGUUCCCGGCAAGCUCAAGUACCUACACAAAUUAAUCACACCAAAUUAACAAACCCACGUUUACAGAUCCGUUAAAGAAACCUCAAUCGGACCCGAGAUUAAACCUUUCGCUAGAUCAUCAAAUUCGAAAACAAGGAAGCAAAUCUAAAUUGGUGAUCAAUAUCUAUUAAAAGAGUCUGUGAUUUACCUCGGCGGCGAGGUAUUCAAGAACGGCGGCGAGAUAAACCGGAGCUCCUGCUCCAACGCGCUCGGCGUACUUUCCGGCCUUGAGGAAUCGGGCGAUACGACCAACGGGGAAUUGGAGCCCGGCCUUGCUACUGCGAGAUGUAGCCUUCUUCGCCGCGCCAGAUCCGAGUUGUUUACCCCGACCCGCCAUCUCUACUACAGCUGAGAAGAUUGAAUUCUCUAGAAAGGCAAACUAGGCCUGGGCAUCCGGGUCUUCGGGUCGGGUUCGGAUCGGGUUUUGUCGAGUCCGGGUCCUUCGAGUCCUAGCAAUUUAGACUCAUAUAGGUACCUAUAACUUUUCGGAUCGAUUCCGGAUCGGGUUUUGUCGGGUCCGGAUCGGUUCAGGUCUAUAAUUUCAAAACUCGUAAAAUACCCAAAAUUUUCGGGUAUAUUUCGGAUCCGGGUCGGUUCGGGUAUUUACGACCCGAAAUAGACCCGAAAUACCCGAAUUGGAUCCGAAAACCCAAAACAUACCCGAAUUUUAUCCGAAUACCCAAAUUAUAUUUUCUAAAAAUCUAAAAUUUCACCAAAAACCUACAAUUAUACCCGAAAAUCCAAACCCAAAACUUAAAAAAAAUCCGAAAUAUCAAAAAUAUACCCAAUCACCUAAAUAUACCUAGUAUAUACAAUUAUUUGCGGGUACUUCGGGUACCCGAACGGGUCUCAGAUAGGACCCUGACCCGAACCGAGACCCGCAGGUCCAAAAAAGACCCAAUAGAUACUUAGCAUGGAUCUGAACCCGGAGCCGAACCUGUAUUUUCGGGUCGGUUACGGUUCGGGUCUUCGGAUCCGGGUAAAAUGCCCAGGCCUAAAGGCAAAGAAAAGUAUAUGGACGACGUGUAAUUGAGACGAUAACAAUAACGAGUAGUUGGUUACAGCGAAACCCGCCAUGAGUAUUGAUAAGUAUCCCUGACCAAUGAUAUGACACUGCACGGAUCGAUAGUUGUGACCGUUAGAUUGUUUUUCAUUUAAGGGAUGCGAUUUGGUUUCCUUCGGUUAGGCACUUUCUUUUUGUCUCUCUUGAACUCGGACUGUUUCAGUGAGUGGUUACAUGGGCUAAUUUGGGCUUAUUAAUUUUAGCCCAAAGUAGCAUAACCUUUUAAUUUAACAUUUUUGGCCCAUGUUGCUUUGGGUCAAGUCCAUGCUCUAUUAUUUUUGCCUUUGAAUCCAAACAAAUUUUGUAUCAUUAUCAGUUUAUCACAAUCAUUAUUUGCAGUUUGGUUGGUUAACAUUCACACGACAAUUUUUGUUCAGUGAAGGUUUUGGACCAGAAGCUAAACUGAUCCCCAGUUUUAAACUAUAAGAUAUUGUCACAUUUUCGUCUAACCAAAUGAGCAAAUGUACCAUCGCUUUUACUAUUGUUGAUAGUAUAAUCCUAUUUUAACCGCUCAAAAUUCCUUUACAGUUCCACUAAAACUCCAUCACUACUAAUUGGAUUCUUAUUCAUUUCAAAUCGUCGGUGACUUUUUGUGCAAUCCUAACUCAGAUGCACAAAUGUUUAUUCAAUAAACUUUUUCUUUUGUUUAGAAGGGUAACCAAUUCUUGUUAAAGUGAUUAUAUUGGUUCAUUCUACGAGAAAAGUGAUUAUAUUGGUUCAUUCUACGAGAAAAAGGAAUUCCGAUUAUCAUUUACCAUAAAAUCAAGCUACAAUUUUUGCUUAAUUUCUCCAAGGAUGGAUAACAAACAGAAGAAAACAGGAUGUAGACAUUCGAAAAGGUGCAUGUCAUGAGCGUGGUGGUGGGUGGCCAUGAUGUUACCAACCUUUGAAACAAAAAUAGGUGGAUCUCACACUUAUUAAAUUGUUCAUUAAUGUGGGAUGUGGAGAUGCCUACGUAAAAAUCACAACACAAUCAUUAUUUGUUUACAUAAAUAAUGGGAAAUUUAUUCAAUCAGAUCAUUUUCUAAGGGUACUAUGUGUAUACAGAAACUUCUUAGGGAUUCUUAGAAUGGAGUUCUUAUCGGAAUAUAAGAACUCGUCUCUUAACUUUUAAUUAAAAAAGUUAAGAACCGGCUCUUAAAAUUUUUAUUCAAAAACCAGUUCUUAGCUUUUUUAGUUAAAAGUUAAGAGACGAGUUCUUAUAUUUCGAUAAAAACAUCACCCUAAAAACCUCCAAUAAUCAUGCUCUCUGGUCGUAUUGAAAAAUAAUGUGAGAACCAGUUAAAUUUGGUUUUGUACUUGUUUGGAAUUGGCAAAUCAAAUUUCCAAAAAAAAAAAAAUUCACUCAAAUAGUUGUCCGGAGGACAACAUAAUGUGGAUGAGUCCUUCUGGUCUGACAGUAUGUGAAGACUUCACUAUUCUAAAUAUAAUUCAAACUAUGCAAAAUAUUGGAAGCAUACAGUUGGGAAAUGUGAGGCUGUAUUUUUAGCCAAGAGACAACCAAAUCAUAUACAGUAUAGCCUCGUGAGUCAAAUAGUAUCAAGCAACUUGACAAUCUAUGGUCCAUAGAUAAUUAAGUUACCUAAGUACGAUCAUCGUUGUCUCGCCAACUCAUAGAUUGUUAAGUUAGUUAAGUACGAUCACUGAUGUGUCUACAUAUGGUCCAUAGAUAGUUAAGCUACCUAAGUACCAUCACUAUUGCGUCUUGAUUAUAGUUUUAAACUUUUACUUAGCGUAUCUUUUUUUUUUUUAUCUUUGACACAGCAAAAGAAACUCAUGGUUGUGUCUCUUUCUUUUUGACCUUUUAAAAACUGAAAACAGAAACACAAUCUAACAUUUCAUUUCAAUCAUUCUUUUCGUUUUUGCUUCUUUCGUUCUCAUAUCCAUCAGAAGACAAAACAUUGGAGAGAGAGGAUACAACAAUGGAAGGCUCAAGAACAAGAACUGAAAAGAAGAAAAAGCUACCCAGUGUUUGGUUUUCACUCAAGAAAUCUCUCCACUGCAAAUCUGAUCCCACCGACGUACACGACCCGAGUUCCAGAAGCAAAGAGACAACCAAGAGAUCAACUUACCGGUCCGGUUGUUCAAGAUCCAUAGCCAAUCUCAAAGACGUAAUCCACGGAAGCAACCGACACUUAGAAAAGCCGACGACUUGCUCUAGCCCUCGUUCAAUCGGAAGCAGCGAGUUUCUCAAUCCCAUCACUCACGAGGUCAUCAUCAGCAACUCCACUUCCGAGCUCAAGAUCACCGCCGCCGCCGGCGACGUAGACUCCUCCACCGGAGCAAGGGAGUUCGUGGGAACUCUGAGACCAGGAACGCCGGUGCAUUACUCCUCUUCAAACAGGAGCCAAGCGUCGAGAAAGGCCUCGUCGGAGAGAGACAGAGGAGGAGCAGCGUUUAAACAGAGCAGGAGAGACUCCGCCGUUGUCAACGGAGACGAUUCCUCUGUUUCUUGCCAUAAAUGCGGCGAGAAGUUUAGCAAACUCGAAGACGCAGAAGCUCAUCACCUCACCGAACACGCCGGUAAUAACACAAAGUUUCGUACUUUACGUCAUAAAGUUUCUAACUUUUUUUUUUGAACUGAAUAAAGUUUCUAACUUUUUCUUUUUUUGAACUGAACAAAGUUUCGAACUUUUUUUUUUAUCAAUAAAGUUUCGCAACUUUCAACCCAAAAAUUUUCAUUUUCGCCAGUGACAGAGCUCGUGGAAGGAGAUUCGUCGAGAAAGAUCGUGGAGAUGAUAUGCAGAACAAGCUGGUUAAAGACAGAGAACCAAUGCGGGAGAAUCGACCGUAUCCUGAAAGUGCACAACAUGCAAAAGACUCUAGCGAGAUUUGAGGAGUACAGAGACACCGUCAAGAACAGAGCGAGCAAGCUACAGAAGAAGCACCCGAGAUGUAUCGCCGACGGAAACGAGCUCCUCAGGUUCCACGGAACCACAGUCUCGUGCGUUCUAGGGGUAAACGGGUGCACGAGCCUUUGCUCGUCGGAGAAGUGCUGCGUUUGCCGGAUAAUAAGAAACGGGUUCUCGGUGAAACGGGAGAUGAAUAACGGGAUAGGGGUUUUCACGGCGUCGACUAGCGGGAGGGCGUUUGAGUCGAUCGAAAUGGACGGUGGUGAUGGGACGACGGAGAGGAAGGCGUUGAUCGUGUGUCGGGUGAUCGCCGGGAGGGUUCAUAGGCCGGUGGAGAAUGUGGAGGAGAUGGGCGGGUUGAAUGGGUUUGAUUCUUUGGCGGGUAAAGUUGGUUUGUAUACUAACGUUGAGGAGCUUUAUUUGCUUAACUCUCGAGCUUUGCUUCCUUGUUUUGUGGUUAUCUGCAAGCCCUAAAUCAACUUUUUUUUUUGGGGUUAAGUUGUGUGUGGUAUCAAUAGAGUUUUAACAACGCAAAGUUGGAAUAUUGAGUUCACAGCUAUGAAAGUAUUUAGCAUUAAGAACGUAUAAACUGUAGUUGUGUUCACGUAAAACCUAUAACAACAAAAGUUCAUUUGAGACUUUUUGCUACUAUUGUUGGAGCAAGUGGAGUACGAGAAUAAAAGAGACUAAAGUUUGAAGAAGUUACAUCACGUCUUAGAAAGCCGAAGUUACAUCACCGAAGAGUGGAAGCUGAAGUUACAUCACGUGAAGAGUGGAGUAACUUCAGCUUCCACUCUUCACGUGAUAUAUAAAAUAUAUCAUACAUUAAGAUAUGAUGGUUGUUUUAUAUAGCUUAGUGGAGUAUUACGUUUCCUUAAUUUAUGCAAGUAGAAUAGUUUUUUUUGUUAUCUUCAAAGCUAUAUAAAACAACCAUCAUAUCUUAAUGUAAGCAACAAAUUUUGUCUUUCUUGAUGCAAUACUUGUCUGUGAUUAAUUACAACUAUUAGUUCUCCUCCUUUUCUUAAUCAACUUCUAUCAGGUUGUUUUGGCACUGAUCUCUAAGUGGAAAAAGACAGAACGUUUUGUUCGUAAUGGUGUUUAUUGGCUGUUAGAUUCAUGUGGAAUAGAGAAAUGGAGAAAUGGGGAUUGUUAAGUUAGUUAAGUACGAUCACUGAUGUGUCUACAUAUGGUCCAUAGAUAGUUAAGCUACCUAAGUACCAUCACUAUUGCGUCUUGAUUAUAGUUUUAAACUUUUACUUAGCGUAUCUUUUUUUUUUUUAUCUUUGACACAGCAAAAGAAACUCAUGGUUGUGUCUCUUUCUUUUUGACCUUUUAAAAACUGAAAACAGAAACACAAUCUAACAUUUCAUUUCAAUCAUUCUUUUCGUUUUUGCUUCUUUCGUUCUCAUAUCCAUCAGAAGACAAAACAUUGGAGAGAGAGGAUACAACAAUGGAAGGCUCAAGAACAAGAACUGAAAAGAAGAAAAAGCUACCCAGUGUUUGGUUUUCACUCAAGAAAUCUCUCCACUGCAAAUCUGAUCCCACCGACGUACACGACCCGAGUUCCAGAAGCAAAGAGACAACCAAGAGAUCAACUUACCGGUCCGGAAUAAAAAGGGAAUGGAGGUUGAAGAGCGCCAGAAAGAUGCUUUUGUUUCACGGGUGGAGGAUACUGGUCAAUGCCAAAGCAAUAACUUGUAGACAAAUAAUAAGUCUAGGGCAAUAUAUAAUUGGUUAGUCAUGCCCUAUUUGGUAUUUUGCACAUCUCGUGUCAGAAUAUGUGAAGAGAAAAAAUAAUGAGCAAUAUGUUCUAACCAUGAAAAUGGAGCUGAUGCAACUUUAUUUCUCUUUUAGUCGUUAUCAUUCGUAAUAUGAGGCUCAUACUAGGGAUGAUAGUGUUAUCUAAUUAGCAUAUUCAGCUUGAAUAAUGCCAUAUGUUUUAGCUAAAACCCCUCGUUAGCCAAAUAUGUAAUACAUAUAGUUCGCCGUAAGCAAUGUAGUUUUUAGUCGAGAGUCAAACUUUGAAGUUUGAAGUGUUGAGGGAACUUUGAUUACUGAUGGAUUUACAACAGAAACUCUGACGUGCUACUCCGAAAUAAUAUGCCUUCCGGCCUAGAAAAUCAAAUUUGAAUCAUAAUAAAAAGGGUGCAAUUAAAUUUGAAAACAUCAGGCUUACAUACAUCAAACAUGAUAUGGUCAUGCUGUUGUUUAUAAUUGAAAAGAAGAGUGAACAAAAAUAUAAAUCUCGCUAACAUACUGUUUGAAUAAGGCAGUCCAUACAAAUUGCAAAGGCACUGAGACAAAGCUUGCAUCAAAAGUGUCUACAAGACUAGGACUACUAAAAACAAUCUUAACACACAACUAGACCUAAUUACACUCCGUACCCUUUUUUUGUUGCUAAAAAUGUAAAUAUCAUUAACAAUGCAAUGAAAGCCUGAUUACAAGAGAACUUGAAAUCAAGUUUACUAGAUAGAGCCGCAAAAAAAUGUAAAAAGACUCAUAACAUCAAACAUAAAUCAAAGCUUGACUAACUAGAGCUAAGCGAUGAAGUUCAAAUCAGUAUCAAGCGACAGCAAUAUAAUCCUAAACAAGCGCUUCCUAAAUCCUAAGUUAACCUGCUGGAUGAAGGAGAAGGUCUAGUGGUUGUGAUUUGCCGCUGUCAAACCAAUCGCCAUAGGACCACAGACUUUUAAAUGUUCAAACCAUUUUUGAGAAAAGUUUGAUUAUGCUAGGUUAGUUAAAUCUGAUUAAUUCAUCUAAGUCCAUAUUAUGUUCUUUCUAAACAUGUCAUAACAUAAGAUAAGUCCGAUAAUGUACAUGCGUUAAUUGUAGACAACAGAAGAAUUGUUUAACCUAUAUUGGUCACUCAUAAGUUACUAAGUUAGCAUGCUUUCGUGUAACUUCAUGUGCUAGUUAUACAUGUUUAGCCUAUGGUUUGACGGGAUCUCGUGUGGAAGCACUCCCAACUGUGAGAAGGUACAAGUAUGGCAGAGAGAUGAAUGAAGAAGGUUUCUAUUGCAGCUAACAUGAACUUCUAUUGGUUCAUUUGCUAAAGGUUUCGCUUUGGCAGUAUGCCAGUAUACAAUACAACCUUUUCUAAAUAAACAACUUCUCGGAAUCGCAAAAAGCUUUAUUAGUGAAUUCUUAACAAACACUGUAGCCUGAUCAAAACUACAAGCAAACUAAAAAUAGACAAUUCGUUGUUUAUCUCACUGCUUGAGUUUGUGAUUCAAGGAAGGAAACUUAAAAUUGAUAGAAGCAUCAAUUGUUUGAUGAAUAAUUUCCUCAAUACCAUAUUUGUACUAAAAUAUCAAGAUAUAGAGAGAAGAGAGCACAAGAACUUAAACUGUAUCACUAAGGUUAAUGAAUCAUGUACAUGUGGGUCUGUUUAUAUACAAGUAUACACGUGUAUAGAAGCGUAUACAGAGCCUCUGUAUCUAUACAAGUAUAUGAGACUAAGUAUACGUAAUAUAAAACCCCAGUUCUCUUAACUUCUUUGAAGAAAUCAUAGACGUCAUCAAACCUGGUCUCUCUUCCAGAUCAUCAUCUACCCUAUAAACCAAGAAUAAAAUUGUGAAAAUUUUGGUGUAAAAAAAAAAAAGAGUCAAUAAAAUCAUUUGAAGAUUGUAAAGUUUCAAGAACUUACUUAUCAAUAUUGUCAACGCAACAUAUGCAUUGACCUUCAGCUUGUGGUUCUUCUAUCAGAAACAAAUGCGCCAUGCAAAUAUCUUGUAUGUGUACCAAACCAAUCGAACCCAUUCUUUUGUUCACUGCUGAUAGUAUCCCAAACAACUAGGAGUCACCUCAAAACCAAAAUGGUAAAUAAUUAUGCCCAGCAUAUCAGUUUAUAUUUGAUAACAAAAAAUAUUAUAUAUACACACACGCACCUGUUAUUGGAGAAAGAGAACUUGAAGGCUUGAUGGGAGUGAAGGAGUAAGAAAUGGACCCUAGACAGUAGUUGGAAUGACUGAAACAAGAUCCAAUCAUCAUUCUUUUUCAUAUCUAAAUGAUUCUUCCUCUUAUACGAGUUUCGAUAGUACAUAAAUCUGUCGUCCACACAAAGUCCAAAUCUAUUUAUAACGUGCCUAAAGGAAUUGUGUCAUGUAAUGGACUAUAUAAUAUUGUAAUAAUAUUUACCCAUCCACUUACUUUUGUUUAAUAAGUACAUGAUCAAUGGGAGUCUUGCAACUCUCGUCCACGAUUGAUCUCCACCGUUCAUUUUCAUCUUUGGCUGUGAGAGUACUGAUGGAUGAUGAAGACAACUCUCUUGACUGAUUUUGACUUUAGACAAGAACCAAGUACGUUAUGUACGCCUUUUAUCGCCGGAUCAAUGACUUUGCUCUGGACAUAACUCAUUAACUCUCUGAGAUUCAAAACCCGUUUCGUUUUGGUUAAAUCCAAGACCAGACAUUUGAAAUAAUUUAGCAAAUAGUACGUGUUCUUUGAUCUUAACAUGAGACUUCCAUCACCUACUACAUUUUAAGUUGAAAAAAAUAGGUACGUGGAACAAAACCGUCGUACCGAGAUUGACGUGAUUCGGUGAGAUGUCAUGUCAAACUCCAUGGAAGCCGCUACAUGGAAGAGUAGACGCCGUCACAGCCUUCAAUGGCGUCAACAAAACUGCCAUCAUCUUGAAAGAUCCGCUCGGAAUAAUCUAAGCCGUUCCGCGUUCAUUUCCUCUCCACUUGGUUUGAAAAUAUUGAGAUUUUGCUUCAAACUAUUAUGCAUGCAAACCAGAUUAACCAAUAACAUUCCCAUGAAUUUUAUUUUACAAACGAAGUUUCAAUUCAGUUUAAUUGUAUUAAAAAUAACAAAUAAUUUCACCGUCGUGCAAGAACUUAUCAUUGAUAAUCAUAUUAGUUUUUCUGAAAAAAGAAGAAAUAAAAUAGUUCUUUAGAAAACAAGAGAAUACCAAGAUCUCUGAGGCUAUCUCUAAUCCCAACUCCAAAACACUAUAUUUUUAGCAUGAUUUUAGCAUAAAAUUUCUACGACGCAACGUUAAAAGUUACACUUUUUAUUGUAACAUUACAAUUUUACACUAAAUUUACUGUAAAACUAUAGUGUAUGUUGCACUAAAAUAGUGUAAUUUUUUAGUGUUGGGUUAGAGAAUUUUUGUCUGACAAUCAUAUUAAAAUGAUAUUUUGGAGUUGGAUUGGAAAUUCAAUGUAGGGUUUUUACCAAAACUAACCCACAACUUGAUUUUAACCUCAAACAUAUAUUCAAAUUUGAAUCAAAUGCAAAACUAACCUAAAAGCUUUGUGAAAUUACAGCCCAGCUCCUUGUGACCAAACAAAAAAACAGAAGUCAUUUUUACGAAUAUAGCCCUAAUAAGUCGUCUGAGUCGUCUGAGAUGUUGGAAGUCGUCUGGACGACUUCAAAGUAAGUCUUCUGGUGUAGCUGAUCUUAAAAGUAAUUUAUAAAUUUUUUAAAAAAUAUUUUGAUAAGCGAAAAAUUAAAAUUAUGUAAUUAUAAACAGUUUAAGUGAUAUAAAUUAAAAUAUAAUAAAAUUGAAUUGUUUUCAACAUAGAUGAGUGUAGGUAGUGAAUCAUGGUAUUCUUAGGUCUAAGGUUUGGCAACAUAUGUUGUAGUAUUGUAUGUAUUCUUAGGUUAGAUUUUAGAAAGUUUAAAUGGUUUUUUGAAAAAUUAAUUUUUUACUUAUACAUGUUUAUUUUUGUGUAUAGUAAACAAUUUUGAAGUUUAAUUUGAUUUUAUGAAGUGUUUAGUUAGUUAAUUAAGUUUAGGGGUUAUGUUUAGGGUCUAGACGACUUACAUUUUAGUCGUCUGGUGAAGAAAUUGAAACAGACGACUUACAUGUAAGUCGUCCAAAUAUUCCCGCCUAAAAUUUAAAAAAAACUUAUUUUCCCGCUUAAAUAAUUUAAACCAGACGACUUACUUGUAAGUCGUCUCGGAAGUCUUCUAUUUUAGUUUUCCGCUAAAAAUAUUUUAAUUUCCCGCUAAAAAUAUUAAAGUCUUCUGGACAACUUACAAGUAAGUCAUCUAGGAAGUCGUCUGAACCAAAAAUAUUUCACCUAAUUGGAUUUUUUGUCUCCCUAUAUAAAGAAAAAUUUACACAUUCUCUCUCAUCCUCUCAAAUGGCUGCAAUAAAAAUGUAAUGUUCAUCAUUCUAAAAUUCUCCAACCUCUCUCUAUUCUCUUUGACUUGAAAACACCAAACUUUAUAUGAAUUUUUCAGUUUUGUCUCAUGUAUUUCUUACUAAUCUAUCUCACAACAUCUCUCUCACUUUCUCUCCACAUUCAACUAAAAAAACUCAAAAUUUUGAUUCUACAUUUUUUAUGGUUCAUAGAGUCAUAGAAGCUAACGAUUCUAGGUGGGUCACUUUCGUUUGAGAUUCUGUGUGCUUGGAGAAGCCUUAUGUGUGCUAAGGAAGUUAUCUCACCAAUUUAAGGUAUGAAAUCGAGUUUUUUUCCAGAUCUGUUCGUCCAGACGACUUACCUCGUAAGUCGUCUGGCUGUAGACGAAGUCGUCUGGCUGUAGACGAAGUCGUCUGAUCAAUGCAGAGGUUAUUUUUGCAAUUGACUUUGAAAUCUGUUUUCUGAGACGACUGAAAUAUAAGUCGUCUCCUUUUGUUUGGUUACAAAAAAAUCUCCAAAGAACCUAGAUGACUUACAUUUCAGUAGUCUGGUGAAAAGUUGAAAUAUCAAUAUUUUAUUUAAACUCGACGACUUACAAUUAAGUCGUCAUAGGUUAGUUUUGCAAUUAAAAAAUAAAACUUCAAUAUUUAAUUAUAUAUAGACGACUUACAAUUCAGUCGUCCGAUAUUUACGAGGUUUGACCAGAAUCUCGGAAUAAAAUCUUGGACGACCGAAGACUUUUGGGAUGACUUACAUGUUAGUCGUCUAAAAUAUAAUGCACUAGACUGUCUGGGUAUAAUUAAAUAUUGAAGUUUUUUUUAAUUACAAAACUAACCUAUGACGACUUAAUUGUAAGUCGUCUAGUUUUAAUAAAAUAUUGAUAUUUCAAUUUUUACCAGACGACUGAAAUGUAAGUCGUCUAUGAAAGUCAGACUUCUGAAAUAAUCCAGUUAAAUGCAAAACUAACCUAUGACGACUGAAAUGUAAGUCGUCUAGGUUCUUUGGAGAUUUUUUUGUAACCAAACAAAAUCAGACGACUUAACUUUCGGUCGUCUCAGAAAACAAAUUUCAAAGUCAAUUGCAAAAAUAACCUCUGCGUUGACCAGACGACUUCCAGGUAAGUCGUCUACAGCCAGACGAACAAACAGAGAUCUUCCAGACGACUUCCAUUUUAGUUGUCUGGACUUCCUAAAAGUCGUCUGGACUUCCUUGAAGUCGUCUGGAAGUCGUCUGGACUUCCUAGAAGUUGUCUGGACUUCCUAGAAGUCGUUUGGACUUCCUGGAAGCCUUCUGAAAAAGUCUUUUUCCAUAUCAAGUGGAGUCCAAGCUUGUCUUUGUAGAUGAAUGAUCUAUAAUAAUUUUGUUUGUGGUCUGUUUUGUGUUGCAUGUCUACUCUUUUAGUUGUGAUAUUUUUUGUAAAAUCAGUAAUAAUGUUUCCCAAGAUGUAAUACAUGUGCUAACAAUGUGUUUACACAUUUAUAAAUCAAUGAAAUAAUAGACUUCAUUAGCCUUUUUCUUAUCUUUGGAUCUCUUAUAUGCAAUAAUAAACUCCAAUGGCCUUUUUCUCAUCUUAAUAAACAAGAAUGUUGGUAGCUUCAUAUUGAUACAACAUUUUAAGAAGCAUUUUAACCCUUCUUCCAACUCAUAACAAUAAUCAUCAUUAGUGUCUAUAACAAUAAUACUUAAGAGAUGGAAACAAACAAUAGUAACUAGUCAAAGCAUAUCAUAUUUUUUAUAAGUUUGUGUUGAAAAACUUAGUCAAAUUUAGUAAAACUAAGGGAGAGAACAUAUUUUGAAAAUAUGAGUUUUACAUAUCUUGAAGUUACUUAUCACUCUUAAAAAUACAAGUUAUUCAAAAACUAGCAUAGAAGACUUAAAAACUAGCGGAGAAGACUUCCACGGAAGUCUUCUAAGAUCAGUUAGAAACUUUAAUUAACGUGAAUGUUGGUAACCUCAUAAAUAUCACCAAUUUAGUUAUAAAUUUCAUUCAGUAGCCCAAAUAUUUAUUAAUAAACAUGAAUUAACAAGAAAAUGUUAAAAUAGUUUUAGAAAAAAUGCAAGUUUAUUAAACAUUGACGCAGACGACAUCCACAGUGGUCAUCUAGUAGACUUCCAGAGAAGUCGUCCAUUUAGGUCGACGCAGAUGACUUCAAUCUAAGUCUUCCAGGCGACUAAAAUAUUAGUUGUCUGGUCAACGCAGAGGUUAUUUUUGCAAUUGACUAUGAAAUCUGUUAUUUGAGACGACUGAAAAAUAAGUCGUCUACUUUUGUUUGGUUAAAAAAAACUCCAAAAAGCUAGACGACUUACAUUUCAGUCGUCAUAGGUUAGUUUUGCAUUUGACUGGAUUAUUUCAGAAGUUUGACUUUCCUGUACAACUUACAUUUCAGUCGUCUCGUGAAAAUUAAAAUAAUAAUAUUUUUAAAAAACUAGACGACUUACAAUUAAGUCGUCAUAGGUUAGUUUUGCAAUUAAAAAAUAAAACUUCAAUAUUUAAUUAUAUAUAGACGACUUACAAUUCAGUCGUCCGAUAUUUACGAGGUUUGACCAGAAUCUCGGAAUAAAAUCUUGGACGACUUACAUGUAAGUUGUCUGGGUAUAAUUAAAUAUUGAAGUUUUUUUUAAUUACAAAACUAACCUAUGACGACUUAAUUGUAAGUCGUCUAGUUUUAAUAAAAUAUUGAUAUUUCAAUUUUUACCAGACGACUGAAAUGUAAGUCGUCUAUGAAAGUCAGACUUCUGAAAUAAUCCAGUUAAAUGCAAAACUAACCUAUGACGACUGAAAUGUAAGUCGUCUAGGUUCUUUGGAGAUUUUUUUGUAACCAAACAAAAUCAGACGACUUAACUUUCGGUCGUCUCAGAAAACAAAUUUCAAAGUCAAUUGCAAAAAUAACCUCUGCGUUGACCAGACGACUUUCAGGUAAGUCGUCUACAGCCAGACGAACAAACAGAUCUGGAAAAAAAUUUGAUUUCAUACCUUAAAUUAGUGAGAUAACUUCCUUAGCACACAUAAGGCUUCUUCAAGAACACAUAAUCUCAAAAGAAAGUGACCCACCCAGAAUCGUUAGCUUCUUUGACUCUAUGAACCAUAAAAAAUGUAGAAUCAAAAUCUUGAGUUUUUUUAGCUUAAUGUGGAGAGAAAGUGAGAGAGAUGUUGUGUGUUAGUUCAUAAGAAUGAAGAAAGAAGAAGGGUAAAUCGAUUUUGGGAGCAUUAAGAGCUUCAAAUUAGUUCUUCAUGGUGGUUAGGGUAUUGAUGACAAUGGCAAUCUUGUAAUUACUUGAAGAUGAUGAGGGUGAAAGAAUAAAAAUGUCAUUUUCGAAAAAAAAAAAAAUUGAUGACAUUUUCGUGAAUUAUAUGAACUUGUGGAGUGAAGAGGGCAAAACUAAUUUCCAUAAAAGGAGGUUAGUUUUGUGUUUGACUUUGAGUUGUAGGUCAAUUUUGCAAAAAAGCCUUUCAAUGUAUAACUAUAGUGUUGCAUUUAAACAGUUUAACUUUUAGUGUUGGGUUGGAAAAUUUUGUCUGGAAAUCACUCUAAAUUAGUAUUAACAGUGUAGCCUCUUUCGAGAAGAGACUUAACAAACCAAGAACCGACGUAUCCAUUUGCACCUGUCACGCAAUACGUCAUCGUUUCUUCCAUCUCCAUUAGAUUCCAUUGUCUCUCUUCUUUGUCUUCUCCAAAUGCCAAUGUUGGUUUACAGUUUACAGUGUAGAUUAUUGAUUUUGGCCUGUAACGCAUACCACCGCUUUUUGUUUUUUGCGCGUCUGUGCUAUUUUAAUAUUGCUUUGGUUUGGUGUUACCUUUUUAUUUAUGGUUUGACAAAAGUUGUGUGUUUCCAAAACCUGACAUUUGGAAAAGUACUAGACAAACAUAUUUUUCUUUUCUUUUCUUGUUUUUCGUUUCAUAAGGUAAGAUUGGAUUAGGCGGUGGUUUUUUUUCUGUCAUAUGGAUGUAGUAUUAAAACAAAAGUGACAUAUAACAUAAGCUAGUUGUCAACAAAACGACACCAGAACCAUCAGCCCACAAGAGGAGGCAAAGUUCAAACAAAGGAAAUUUACAACCAUUUGUGGUGUUAUCAUAGUGCAAGGGUAACCUACAACCAAUAGCAUUGGUGUUGUUAUCAUAGUGCAUUUUGAUACACGCUAGAAACUGGGAAAUGCAAGAAAAGAAAGAUAACACAUAUACAACAUCAUUGGAUAAGACUUAGAAUAUUUAGAACAUAAGAAACAGCUGUCGAAAACUUGAUCGCUGUGUUUGGUGUUGUCAUCCAGCGAAGCGGCUUCUCUUGUGUAAGUUGUGUUUGGUUUACCUCCUUAGUUCUUCCACAUCACAGAGAGAUGGAUUCCAAGACAUUUUGUAAGAAGGGUGAGAUGAUAUGGGCUUCACUGGGCUUAGCCCAUACACCCAUACUUUACUGAACAAUAAAACUAAGAUCGUAGCAGCACAUCAUUAGCGGUAGCACUAAUAAAAUUUGUAUGUUUUUUGAGAUACUUUGUCAGCUAAUCUAGUCAGAAGACUUUUAGUUCUACAUAGUGGACUGAUUAUUACCUAAUUCGAAUUUAAAAUAUUUUCCAACUAAUACUAGAAAUGGCUAAAUUGCAUUUGUUAGCGGAUUACCAUGUAAACUAACCGAAUCGAAGUCAAAAUCCAAAUUUUCUAUAUAGCUGUAACUAUGGUUUAAAAAAGACUCGAAUCCUGGAAGAGUAUUGUAACACAUUCUUAAGUCUCAUCUGCCACUUGUCCAGAUCCUCUGUAUACUAAUUGGGGAUCUCUUAAAAAGUUAUAACCUGAAUUUUGUAAAAAUUUUAAAAAAUUUUGUCAUAUGUGGCACUUGUGUAUGUCUUCUAAAUCCUAUUUCAAAGAAUUCUAAAACUCCUUAUAUAUACUAUAGUCUAAAAAAUAUACUCUCUAGCAAAAUAAUAUUUCGCACGCUAUAGUUGGUCGCAUAUAUCAAAUAUUUAUUGUUUAGCAGACUUUCCUUAAAUAAAACCUACGAAAUUACCUAAUGUGAUUAAAAUAUAUAUAUAGCAAUUAAUAAUUUUAAAAAAUAAAGAUUUGAUAACAAUUUAUAUACUUUUAUCAUUUUUGUUGAUUCUUUUAUUAUUAAAAUAAAUUACAUAAUUACAUUAAUCAUAUAAUAAAAAUCUUAAUAAAAAUCUAGAUUUUUUUGUAUAUGUUGUAUUUUGAAUUUUUCAAAACGAGUAUAAAUUACUAAAACUAUUAAAAGUAUCACAUAAUUUUGUUUUAUAAUAUGUAAAUUUGCAUUAAUAAAUAUAAACAUUACAGUAUACAGAAUUUUGUUUUAUAAUAUGUAAAUUUGCAUAUGUGCAUUGAUUGGUUCAUUUGGACAUAUGGUAUAAUAGUUUGUAAGUAUCGUUACUAUAUUAACAUUCCAAACCACCAUACAUGUAAUUGUUGAUGGAAUUUAGUUUUUUUUUUUUUUGAACAACCUGUUUCUAUUAUUUAUAAAGUGGUGGGUGUUGUCUGGUGAAUGAAAAAGGAGAACAGUUGGGAAAUUACAUAGGCACAAACCUCAUCAUGUGACACCCUAAAAAGACCUUCAUCUUAUACCCACUCAUACGCACACACACAAAUCCACAAUAACCACCAAACCUAUAGUAUAUUCAUUAUUAAUGAAGAAUCUAUGACUGCAACACACACCAUGAUUCAACAAUAGAAGGGAAUCUUAUCUUAAUAAUCCAAUUUCGUAAACAUUAUUUUCGCAAUCAAAUAAAAACUUCCUUCCUGUUUGUUAUCAGUAUCAUCUUAAUCUUCUUCUUCGUCAUCUUCCAAUUUAUCGCACUAAGUAAACAGCCCAAGAGCUAUUUUCCCAACAUUCCAUUGGCCCACUACAAACGGUAAUAUCAUGUUUAAAACCCUUUGUUUGGGUAGUCUUUAAAUCUUUUCCCCUACUUAGAAAAUUCAUCGUUACAUAAUUCAAUGGAUGUAAUGGAAUCAUCCUAACAAAAAUUUCUGACCUCCGUUUUAUUUAGUGAAUAGUUUCUGUGGAGACCAUAUUGUUUUACUCUAUGAGCCUAAAGCGAUUACAGUGUACAUAUAUUUUUUCCACUUGUGGUCUUAAUCUUGUUCCCCACCUUCUUUGGUUUCGAAAAAAAGUUCAUCUACCUUUCUUCUUUCUUCUUUCUUCUGACUAUUAUAUUCCAAUUCUCUUUUUUUCUUACAACAUAUCAUGAACAAACUCAUCAUUUAUUAUUGUCAACCACACUAACAAUAACAAGAAAAAGGCACUAACCACAACAAGAAAAUAGGGCACUUGUUCAUGGAAUCAUCAAAACAAUCCAUCCCUAAAUGAUGUCCUCUUUUAUGUAAAACAAAAUGAUGUCCUCGCAUCUUAACAUUUUACAAAAAAAAAUGAUUUCCUCUUCUAUGUUCUUCUGCACAUCUAGAAAGCUUCUCAUUACGCCAAAACCAGCAAUAUCAUGAUUGGAUAGAAGCAUCGUCACACUACUCGAUAGGAUGAAUCUAUUCGAUCCCACUAUCAAUCACGUACAUCAAAAAGACAUGUACAGUAUCGUAGAUACACUUUCGUAGAAAAAAAAAGUAGAAACUCUUUUGUUUUUAAUGGACACCGAGUUCAUAAUCAGUAUAACUCAUACAUAGCAUAAUUUCACGUUUUUAUUUUAAAAAUUGGCAAACAGCUAAUGAAUAACAUAUUGCUUUAGUUUUCAAUUAUUAUAUUACUUCAUUUAAAACAAAAAGUAAGAUAUUAACAUAUUAAAUAAUAAAUAGGGGACAACAAAACGUUAACUAGAAAAGAAAUGAAUGAAAGGAAAUCAAGUAAAGGACACGUAUUAUCUAUUUCGUUUCUAAGAAAGAAAAAGUUAACUACUUUACUGGUUGUAGUUGUAGUUGAAGUUGUGAUCUUGUAGGUGAAGCGGGCGUUUGCUUACGUGCAUGGACCCAUCGGUUAUGAUUUUAGGGGACACGAAUUAACAAUAAUGGGCUGAAAAGUUCUUAUGACCUGACAGCAUAUUUGUUGCACGUCUUUUAGGUUAGAAUUCCUUAACAUAAUAUAAUAUAAGAUACAAUCUUUUAGAUUUUAACUAAAAAAACUAAGAAACGUCUUUAAAAUAAGAGAUAUAAGAGACGUGUUUUAGUUUUUUUAGUUAAAAAGCUAAGAUACCGUAUUUUGUAUUACGCUAAGAACUCCAGCCUAAAAGACGUGCAAUAAACAUGCUUUAAGUCCACUUCAUGGUUUCACCUUAUCCCUGUUGGUACUAACUUACAUGGUCUAAUAACAUUUUGAAUUUGAUGCACCUUAUAUGAUAUAAAUAUAAUCUUAAGUCAAUACUAAGCCUGUUCCUGAUUAAUUUUUGCGUAAGCAUUGCCACAAGAGAAGGACUGUCUUGAUUUGAUUCUGGACAGAUUUUAUGAUUUGCGUUAUGUUUAUAAACUUAACUUUUUGUUGUACAUGGAAACAGUAUAUCAGUGUGUAGUACUUUUUUACCCAACAUUUCGCACAUGCACACUAUCAAAUCCAAAUUAUAUUUAUAUCAACGUAACUAAUAUACAACAUUAGACUAUAUAAAUUUCGCUCACCACGAUUAAAAUUUGUACCUAAUUAUCAUAGAUAUAUUAUUGAUAUGAAUUGGUAACUACAGUACAAAGGUAUAGCUCACGCCUUUUUACCAAAAAAAAAAAGAUGGUAUGUUUACGAACGAGACGAGGAUCUUUGUUUUCUGCGCGAUAAUGUUUCUCGUCUUUUUUAUUGACUAUUUUAUUUAGAUACUAGGAGGGUGAAUGGUUGUUGUUGAGAGUAUGGUUGAACAUUUUAUCCGUUAAAUUUGAUUCGAUUUGUUAUUCGUUUCGAUUCGAUCCGAAAAUUCUGGAUAUCCGUAAACUUUCGAAACAAAACAAAUACUAAAAAUCAAUAUCCGUUAAAAUCGAAGCAAAUCACAAAUAUUAAAAUUUUAGAAAGCAGAUAUCUGAUCCUUCAAUAAAUAAAUACAUGUAUAUUUUGAUUAUAUUUAAAAUUUUAAAUGUAUAAAAUUAUAUAAUUAUUAUUCUAACAUAUGAUUUGAUAAAUUCUAUUCACAUUAUUACUUAUAUAAAAAUAUUACAUAAAAGGAAAAGAACGCAUUUAUGACAAUUAUAAUUUUUUUCUUAAGUUUUUUAUUAUUAUAAUUGUUAACUAAGUUCAAAAAAUUUACAAAAUAUGUAGAUUCACUACUUCUUUUAAUUUUUAUCAUAUAUAUCAUGCAAACAAUUAUUUUACAAAACAAAUUUAUAUCAAAUUUUUAAGACUAUUUGUAUUAAUGAGAACAUAUGAGAUAUCCGUAAGUAUUCGUAAAUAUCAGCAAAUAUCUAUUUAUUUUUAGGAUAUCCGUUUUUCCGAAUAUCCAUAUUUUUCCGAAGCAAACCAAAUCGAAAAAUUAGAUAUAUAUGACAUACAAAGCAAAUCACAAAUACCUUCAAAAACACGGAUAUCCGAUCCGUGUCCAGGUAUAGCCGAGAGUGUUGUCCAUAGCGCUGAUUAAAUUUACAGCAUUAUCUAUAAAGUAAUCAAUUUUUUUCUGAACCGAUUAAAAGUAAUCAAAUUUUAUUUAAAAAGCUCUGUUCACAGCAGUUUGGAAAAGAAACGUAUGUGCAUGUGAUUUACUAAGGUCAUGUUUGUUUACGUGUCGUGCGACCUACGACUUACGACUAAGAUUCCGUUCAUUUACGUGUCGCGCGACCUGCGACCUGCGACUAAACAUGCGAUUAAAACUAUAUUCGUUUACGUGUCGUGCGACCUGCGAUUUGCGACCUGCGACCAGUCGCGCGAUCAAAAUUUUCUUAAUUUUUAGUCGUCGUUUUUUCUGGAGACUUGAAUGGGAAUCCACGACUGGUCGUGCGAAACAUUUCGCACAUGCACACUAUCAAAUCCAAAUUAUAUUUAUAUCAACGUAACUAAUAUACAACAUUAGACUAUAUAAAUUUCGCUCACCACGAUUAAAAUUUGUACCUAAUUAUCAUAGAUAUAUUAUUGAUAUGAAUUGGUAACUACAGUACAAAGGUAUAGCUCACGCCUUUUUACCAAAAAAAAAAAGAUGGUAUGUUUACGAACGAGACGAGGAUCUUUGUUUUCUGCGCGAUAAUGUUUCUCGUCUUUUUUAUUGACUAUUUUAUUUAGAUACUAGGAGGGUGAAUGGUUGUUGUUGAGAGUAUGGUUGAACAUUUUAUCCGUUAAAUUUGAUUCGAUUUGUUAUUCGUUUCGAUUCGAUCCGAAAAUUCUGGAUAUCCGUAAACUUUCGAAACAAAACAAAUACUAAAAAUCAAUAUCCGUUAAAAUCGAAGCAAAUCACAAAUAUUAAAAUUUUAGAAAGCAGAUAUCUGAUCCUUCAAUAAAUAAAUACAUGUAUAUUUUGAUUAUAUUUAAAAUUUUAAAUGUAUAAAAUUAUAUAAUUAUUAUUCUAACAUAUGAUUUGAUAAAUUCUAUUCACAUUAUUACUUAUAUAAAAAUAUUACAUAAAAGGAAAAGAACGCAUUUAUGACAAUUAUAAUUUUUUUCUUAAGUUUUUUAUUAUUAUAAUUGUUAACUAAGUUCAAAAAAUUUACAAAAUAUGUAGAUUCACUACUUCUUUUAAUUUUUAUCAUAUAUAUCAUGCAAACAAUUAUUUUACAAAACAAAUUUAUAUCAAAUUUUUAAGACUAUUUGUAUUAAUGAGAACAUAUGAGAUAUCCGUAAGUAUUCGUAAAUAUCAGCAAAUAUCUAUUUAUUUUUAGGAUAUCCGUUUUUCCGAAUAUCCAUAUUUUUCCGAAGCAAACCAAAUCGAAAAAUUAGAUAUAUAUGACAUACAAAGCAAAUCACAAAUACCUUCAAAAACACGGAUAUCCGAUCCGUGUCCAGGUAUAGCCGAGAGUGUUGUCCAUAGCGCUGAUUAAAUUUACAGCAUUAUCUAUAAAGUAAUCAAUUUUUUUCUGAACCGAUUAAAAGUAAUCAAAUUUUAUUUAAAAAGCUCUGUUCACAGCAGUUUGGAAAAGAAACGUAUGUGCAUGUGAUUUACUAAGGUCAUGUUUGUUUACGUGUCGUGCGACCUACGACUUACGACUAAGAUUCCGUUCAUUUACGUGUCGCGCGACCUGCGACCUGCGACUAAACAUGCGAUUAAAACUAUAUUCGUUUACGUGUCGUGCGACCUGCGAUUUGCGACCUGCGACCAGUCGCGCGAUCAAAAUUUUCUUAAUUUUUAGUCGUCGUUUUUUCUGGAGACUUGAAUGGGAAUCCACGACUGGUCGUGCGAUCAGUCACGCGACAUCAAAACGAACAACAACCUGCGACUUGCGACAUGCGAUCAAUUGCAGGUCGCAUGUUACGCGACAACAAAACGAACAACAACCUGCGACCUGCGAUCAGUUGCAGGUUACAGAUUACGCGAUAGAUAAACGAAAAUGGGUCUAAGCUAAAUAUCAACCGUUUAGUUUUGUGGGCUUUCAAGAAAACAAAAUGUAACAUUUUAUUUAACACUUAUUCAAUGAAUAGUAUAAAUAAUAAAAACCAUAGUAACAACCAUUCACCCUCGUAAAUAUAUAGAAAAUUUUAAUAAUCGUCAUUUUUCACUUCGAUGUAUCAUCGUCAUUCUUUUUUUUUUUUUUUAACAUUAUCAUCAUCAUUCUUUAAUAGAAAAUAAUGGAAGAUAGGACAAGUCACAAUACUGAAAUAACAAAAAAGCUCGUGGUAACAACUAUGACGCUACAUAAUUUUUUUGUUUAUAAAAGGCAUUCAUAUUAAAAAAGCAAGAGAAAGAAAAUGGUUUACAUGCCUAUAAGGCCAUAGUUAAAAGGGCAAGGCCGAGUAGAGUUUAUAUUGGAACACAUAUCAAUGGAACUGUCUGACCCACCUCAGAUAUAGAGGCCCAGAGUGAAGAGGUUACGACAUAAGAAGCCGAUGAAGUUAGGGGAGAUCGAUAGAAACUAUGAUCUGAGAAACCAGAGUUGAGACAUCGCUGAGGAAGCACGAGUGUUGGAGUGGCGAAAGCUCUGGAUCCUAUUCCGCAGCUGCUUGUCUAUGGUGGAGAUGAAAAUGUCAGUGGUUUUGAAGGUUUGGUUAUGGAGUCUUGAGUUCCUCUCAUGCCAAAUCCAGUAGAUGGUUCCCUGAAACGCUAGAAGUGUUAGCCGGCGAAGAUUCCUGUUGCGCACUGCAUGCAAUUGGUCGAUCAAGGCAUCCCAAGUAGUGGUGAACUGCAACUGACACCAAUCUGAAAUCGAUCUCCACACGAUCCCACCGAAGGAGCAGUCAAAGAACAAGUGAUUUCUUGAUUCAUUACUGGAGUUGCAAAGUAAACACUUGGGGUCAACUUCAAGUCCCCACUGAAGAAGUCUAUCUCGGGUAGGACAACGGUUAUGCAUGACGAGCCAGGUUAGGAAGCUAUGGCGAGGGAUCCCAAAAGAGAACCAGACCAACUUCGACCACGAUACCAGAAGAACAGGACCUUUGAGGUGAGUAUAUACCGCUCCAGUGCUGUACCGAGAACUAGUUUUCCUGCCACCUCCCACUCGUAAUGGUCUUGUUCAUCGAUGAGGGUGACAGUAGUGAGAUGAACUUGUAUAGCUAACUGAUUCUCUGAUCUUGCAGGAGGAAGAAGCCAAUGAUCUUGGUCAUAGAGCGAAGCAACCGUAGCAGUACUGGGGAUGCCAAAGCGAGAAGUAGAGGCACCGAGGAAGUCUUGUAAGUUACCAAAUGGCGACCAGUUGUCAACCCAGAAGCUUGUAGUUUCACCAUUCCCUAGCCGUCUCCUGAGUAGUGGGUGAAUUUGGCUCCUUGUCUUGAUCAUUUUAUUCACCAGCCAAGAGAAAGAGGGACUUGGAUUAAUGGUCCAGUAGUUGCUAAUGUCGCCUCUUAAUAUCACUUAUUUGAACCAGUAAACCCAGGCAGAAGACGGGCGAAAGAAGAUCAUCCAUAUCAGUUUGAGAAUACACGCCAAGUUCCAAGAAUGAAGGUCCUUUACCCCAAGUCCACCAUGCGCUUUAGUAAGCGUUACCUUCUCCCAAGACACUUUUGCUGAUUGAUGUCCCUCACUUUUUCCAUUCCAAAGGAAUAAGACACAUAAAGAGUUUAUUCGAUUUAUGCAGGCUUUAGGAAGUAUGGAACUCGAGCACCAGAAAGUAGAAACACCAGCAAUGACUGUUUUUAUAAGGAGCAUCUUCCCGCAAAUGACCAAGCGGCUUUGUAAAAUUCUGAAGAAAGACCGUUUAGACCCGGGGCUUUGUUAGGGUUUAGAGAGAACAUGAGUUUAGUAAUCUCCUCUGAAGUAGGCAUGAGUAUAAUUUUGUCCUUUUGUUGUUGCGUGCAUAUGAAAUCAGUUAGCCCUCGGAACCAAGCAGUGGGUGAUUGAAGAAGGGUGAUCUGGAUCGAGAACAGCUUUGAAAUGGCCAACGGCAUGUGCACUCAUCUGUAGAGGGUCAGUUAGGAGAACACCCAAGUUGAGCAGAAACGAUCUGAUAGCGUUGAAACUGGCACGUGUUUGGCAGACCAUGUGGAAGAAUGUGGUAUUAAGAUCCCCUUCACGAAGCCAAUUGAUGAUUUCUGUCUAUAGAAGCAUUCCUCAAUUUGCCGAAGCAACUGCCAUUUCUCAUAAAGAACAUGCUCUGCUUCAAAGGUUUCUGGUGAUGGAUCAGUAAGAGCCUGUACAUGCGCAAGUUGUAACAAACUGUGAGUAGUUUUAACCCUCUCCUGAAUAUUUGAAAACUCUCUAUUUAGUUGUUUUAAACUUCUCUUUAUGCAUUUCAGCUUCCAACACAGUGGAGUUAGGUUGGCCGACAAACUUCCGCCUUGAAACCAAGAGUCAGACACUACCUACAAGAAGCUCGGGUGUUUAGUUAGGUAGUUUAGGAAUUUGAAUGGUUGAGUACCGGCUUUAGAUAGGAUAAAGGCGAGGUCUAUAAGGCAUGGGGAGUGGUUAGAGGGGACAUGAGGGAUGAAUGAAGCUAAGGCAUGGAAAAACUAGGUGAUCACAUCAUCAUUAAUAAGACAUCUAUCUAACUUCUUCGCGACAUGGGAGAGUAGUCUCUUGUUUGACCAAGUGUGAUUAGGACCUUGAUAUCUGAGAUCAAACACACCUAGUUGAUAAAGACAGUCUCUGAAUUGAAACAUCCGGGUAGAGUGCUUGUUGUGAUUGAAAGCAGAAUGGUCACUACUGUAGAGGAUUUGGUUGAAGUCUCCACCUAUGAUCCACGGUUUUGAGUCAAGACCAAACGUAGUGUGGAGAUUCAAGAACUCGACCCAUAAAUCAUUGCGUUCAUCGCUGAGGUUAGAAGCAUAUAUGGCAGUGUAGAUAAUGGGGAGGCAAUUGGGUAGAAUGAGCUCACAGGUGACCACCUGGUGAGAUUGCAACAAGAUACGCACUUUAGCGGGAUCCUUUCAAAUUAGUAUGAUGCGGCCAUCUUCAUCAGACAGGUGAUUUGAAGUGUAGUGCCAGCCUCUGCAGACAGAGCUCAUGAGGGAGGCCAGAGGAAGUUCCUUGAUAUGUGUUUCUAAAAUACUACCAAAAAUGGGUUUAUGGCUAUUGAGCCAAUCCGAAAAUGGUCUAUGUUUAUCCGGAUCAUUCAGACCACGAAUGUUCCAAAAAAAAAGCUUCGCACUCAUUAAGAAGAUAAGGGUGGGUCUCCAGCAGGCUGGAGAGAAUCAGUAACUUGAAGUGGUAAAAAAGGGUUAGAGACAGAGGGUGGGUCAAUGAAAGGAGAGGAUUUAAUAUAGUUUAAAGUUCCAACAUGUGGAAAAUUAAGAGGAGGAUGGGCUUUUGAGUAGGUGGAAGAAGGUUUUUGAUGGGUGGGUGGGGGAGAGGGAAUAAUUGUACUACUAGUACUAUUAAUUUGUUACUGUUUCGUGAUUGAUAACUAAAAGCGGUAAUCCAGGUAUUUAUUACAUGAUUACCCGGAGCUAGGAGGAGAAGGAGGCGGAGGACAUGCGGUGGUUGUUGAUGGUGACGGUGGUGGACGAGAAGGAGGCGGAGGAGGAGGAUAUGAUUGGACGGGAUUACAGGGAUUGUCGCAGGAAGAACACAUUGUACAAGAAACAACCUCGUCCGAUGUCACUGGCGAACUCACUGACAGUAACAGAACAAAAAGUAGAUACAAACCAUAUAACUGGUUUGCUUCCAUUGUCAGAGAUUUGGAUUCAGAAAUUCGACUUUCAAAUGUUGAAAUCUUCAAAAGGUAAGAAGAUGAGAGAGUGAGAAAGAAAGAAGCACAUUCAUGAAUAAGAGUGUUCUUCUUCUUAUAAAAUAGACUAUAUUUUUGUUACAGCAGAAAAAGGUGUUUUGAUAAAUAAAGAAAUAUAUAGUGAAAAGAACCAAGAAAAGAUAUGCCGACACAUUAACCUUUUAACUGAAGGUUUUAUAAUAAAGCAACGAAAAUUCGCGGACGUCGGAAGCAAACACGUCAUUGUGAUCUUAUGAAUUGUAGAAACCACGAUAGUACCCCUGGUCCCGGUACUACUGUGAGCCAUCUCGUGGCGGCUGCGUCUACUAGCAACAGAACAAGUAGGUUUGGUGAAAUUAAAAGAGUUGGCAGAAAUGGUGCUUGACUUUUCUGCAAGCUUUCACACGUGGACUUGUUUCAUUGGGUUUGGGUUUAUGAUGUGGUAGCUUUGGAAAGAGUAGACGUGAAGAUGACGGAAGUACUGAGUGAGUAUAUUACAUUCAACUAGUACCGGACAUUUUAUCCGUUAAAUUUGAUUCGAUUCGUUAUUCGUUUCUAUUCGAUCCGAAAAUUUUGGAUAUCCGUAAACUUUCGAAACAAAACAAAUACUAAAAAUCAAUAUCCGUUAAAAUCGAAGCAAAUCACAAAUAUUAAAAUUUUAGAAAGCAGAUAUCUGAUCCUUCAAUAAAUAAAUACAUGUAUAUUUUGAUUAUAUUUAAAAUUUUAAAUGUAUAAAAUUAUAUAAUUAUUAUUCUAACAUAUGAUUUGAUAAAUUCUAUUCACAUUAUUACUUAUAUAAAAAUAUUACAUAAAAGGAAAAGAACGCAUUUAUGACAAUUAUAAUUUUUUUCUUAAGUUUUUUAUUAUUAUAAUUGUUAACUAAGUUCAAAAAAUUUACAAAAUAUGUAGAUUCACUACUUCUUUUAAUUUUUAUCAUAUAUAUCAUGCAAACAAUUAUUUUACAAAACAAAUUUAUAUCAAAUUUUUAAGACUAUUUGUAUUAAUGAGAACAUAUGAGAUAUCCGUAAGUAUUCGUAAAUAUCAGCAAAUAUCUAUUUAUUUUUAGGAUAUCCGUUUUUCCGAAUAUCCAUAUUUUUCCGAAGCAAACCAAAUCGAAAAAUUAGAUAUAUAUGACAUACAAAGCAAAUCACAAAUACCUUCAAAAACACGGAUAUCCGAUCCGUGUCCAGGUAUAGCCGAGAGUGUUGUCCAUAGCGCUGAUUAAAUUUACAGCAUUAUCUAUAAAGUAAUCAAUUUUUUUCUGAACCGAUUAAAAGUAAUCAAAUUUUAUUUAAAAAGCUCUGUUCACAGCAGUUUGGAAAAGAAACGUAUGUGCAUGUGAUUUACUAAGGUCAUGUUUGUUUACGUGUCGUGCGACCUACGACUUACGACUAAGAUUCCGUUCAUUUACGUGUCGCGCGACCUGCGACCUGCGACUAAACAUGCGAUUAAAACUAUAUUCGUUUACGUGUCGUGCGACCUGCGAUUUGCGACCUGCGACCAGUCGCGCGAUCAAAAUUUUCUUAAUUUUUAGUCGUCGUUUUUUCUGGAGACUUGAAUGGGAAUCCACGACUGGUCGUGCGAUCAGUCACGCGACAUCAAAACGAACAACAACCUGCGACUUGCGACAUGCGAUCAAUUGCAGGUCGCAUGUUACGCGACAACAAAACGAACAACAACCUGCGACCUGCGAUCAGUUGCAGGUUACAGAUUACGCGAUAGAUAAACGAAAAUGGGUCUAAGCUAAAUAUCAACCGUUUAGUUUUGUGGGCUUUCAAGAAAACAAAAUGUAACAUUUUAUUUAACACUUAUUCAAUGAAUAGUAUAAAUAAUAAAAACCAUAGUAACAACCAUUCACCCUCGUAAAUAUAUAGAAAAUUUUAAUAAUCGUCAUUUUUCACUUCGAUGUAUCAUCGUCAUUCUUUUUUUUUUUUUUUAACAUUAUCAUCAUCAUUCUUUAAUAGAAAAUAAUGGAAGAUAGGACAAGUCACAAUACUGAAAUAACAAAAAAGCUCGUGGUAACAACUAUGACGCUACAUAAUUUUUUUGUUUAUAAAAGGCAUUCAUAUUAAAAAAGCAAGAGAAAGAAAAUGGUUUACAUGCCUAUAAGGCCAUAGUUAAAAGGGCAAGGCCGAGUAGAGUUUAUAUUGGAACACAUAUCAAUGGAACUGUCUGACCCACCUCAGAUAUAGAGGCCCAGAGUGAAGAGGUUACGACAUAAGAAGCCGAUGAAGUUAGGGGAGAUCGAUAGAAACUAUGAUCUGAGAAACCAGAGUUGAGACAUCGCUGAGGAAGCACGAGUGUUGGAGUGGCGAAAGCUCUGGAUCCUAUUCCGCAGCUGCUUGUCUAUGGUGGAGAUGAAAAUGUCAGUGGUUUUGAAGGUUUGGUUAUGGAGUCUUGAGUUCCUCUCAUGCCAAAUCCAGUAGAUGGUUCCCUGAAACGCUAGAAGUGUUAGCCGGCGAAGAUUCCUGUUGCGCACUGCAUGCAAUUGGUCGAUCAAGGCAUCCCAAGUAGUGGUGAACUGCAACUGACACCAAUCUGAAAUCGAUCUCCACACGAUCCCACCGAAGGAGCAGUCAAAGAACAAGUGAUUUCUUGAUUCAUUACUGGAGUUGCAAAGUAAACACUUGGGGUCAACUUCAAGUCCCCACUGAAGAAGUCUAUCUCGGGUAGGACAACGGUUAUGCAUGACGAGCCAGGUUAGGAAGCUAUGGCGAGGGAUCCCAAAAGAGAACCAGACCAACUUCGACCACGAUACCAGAAGAACAGGACCUUUGAGGUGAGUAUAUACCGCUCCAGUGCUGUACCGAGAACUAGUUUUCCUGCCACCUCCCACUCGUAAUGGUCUUGUUCAUCGAUGAGGGUGACAGUAGUGAGAUGAACUUGUAUAGCUAACUGAUUCUCUGAUCUUGCAGGAGGAAGAAGCCAAUGAUCUUGGUCAUAGAGCGAAGCAACCGUAGCAGUACUGGGGAUGCCAAAGCGAGAAGUAGAGGCACCGAGGAAGUCUUGUAAGUUACCAAAUGGCGACCAGUUGUCAACCCAGAAGCUUGUAGUUUCACCAUUCCCUAGCCGUCUCCUGAGUAGUGGGUGAAUUUGGCUCCUUGUCUUGAUCAUUUUAUUCACCAGCCAAGAGAAAGAGGGACUUGGAUUAAUGGUCCAGUAGUUGCUAAUGUCGCCUCUUAAUAUCACUUAUUUGAACCAGUAAACCCAGGCAGAAGACGGGCGAAAGAAGAUCAUCCAUAUCAGUUUGAGAAUACACGCCAAGUUCCAAGAAUGAAGGUCCUUUACCCCAAGUCCACCAUGCGCUUUAGUAAGCGUUACCUUCUCCCAAGACACUUUUGCUGAUUGAUGUCCCUCACUUUUUCCAUUCCAAAGGAAUAAGACACAUAAAGAGUUUAUUCGAUUUAUGCAGGCUUUAGGAAGUAUGGAACUCGAGCACCAGAAAGUAGAAACACCAGCAAUGACUGUUUUUAUAAGGAGCAUCUUCCCGCAAAUGACCAAGCGGCUUUGUAAAAUUCUGAAGAAAGACCGUUUAGACCCGGGGCUUUGUUAGGGUUUAGAGAGAACAUGAGUUUAGUAAUCUCCUCUGAAGUAGGCAUGAGUAUAAUUUUGUCCUUUUGUUGUUGCGUGCAUAUGAAAUCAGUUAGCCCUCGGAACCAAGCAGUGGGUGAUUGAAGAAGGGUGAUCUGGAUCGAGAACAGCUUUGAAAUGGCCAACGGCAUGUGCACUCAUCUGUAGAGGGUCAGUUAGGAGAACACCCAAGUUGAGCAGAAACGAUCUGAUAGCGUUGAAACUGGCACGUGUUUGGCAGACCAUGUGGAAGAAUGUGGUAUUAAGAUCCCCUUCACGAAGCCAAUUGAUGAUUUCUGUCUAUAGAAGCAUUCCUCAAUUUGCCGAAGCAACUGCCAUUUCUCAUAAAGAACAUGCUCUGCUUCAAAGGUUUCUGGUGAUGGAUCAGUAAGAGCCUGUACAUGCGCAAGUUGUAACAAACUGUGAGUAGUUUUAACCCUCUCCUGAAUAUUUGAAAACUCUCUAUUUAGUUGUUUUAAACUUCUCUUUAUGCAUUUCAGCUUCCAACACAGUGGAGUUAGGUUGGCCGACAAACUUCCGCCUUGAAACCAAGAGUCAGACACUACCUACAAGAAGCUCGGGUGUUUAGUUAGGUAGUUUAGGAAUUUGAAUGGUUGAGUACCGGCUUUAGAUAGGAUAAAGGCGAGGUCUAUAAGGCAUGGGGAGUGGUUAGAGGGGACAUGAGGGAUGAAUGAAGCUAAGGCAUGGAAAAACUAGGUGAUCACAUCAUCAUUAAUAAGACAUCUAUCUAACUUCUUCGCGACAUGGGAGAGUAGUCUCUUGUUUGACCAAGUGUGAUUAGGACCUUGAUAUCUGAGAUCAAACACACCUAGUUGAUAAAGACAGUCUCUGAAUUGAAACAUCCGGGUAGAGUGCUUGUUGUGAUUGAAAGCAGAAUGGUCACUACUGUAGAGGAUUUGGUUGAAGUCUCCACCUAUGAUCCACGGUUUUGAGUCAAGACCAAACGUAGUGUGGAGAUUCAAGAACUCGACCCAUAAAUCAUUGCGUUCAUCGCUGAGGUUAGAAGCAUAUAUGGCAGUGUAGAUAAUGGGGAGGCAAUUGGGUAGAAUGAGCUCACAGGUGACCACCUGGUGAGAUUGCAACAAGAUACGCACUUUAGCGGGAUCCUUUCAAAUUAGUAUGAUGCGGCCAUCUUCAUCAGACAGGUGAUUUGAAGUGUAGUGCCAGCCUCUGCAGACAGAGCUCAUGAGGGAGGCCAGAGGAAGUUCCUUGAUAUGUGUUUCUAAAAUACUACCAAAAAUGGGUUUAUGGCUAUUGAGCCAAUCCGAAAAUGGUCUAUGUUUAUCCGGAUCAUUCAGACCACGAAUGUUCCAAAAAAAAAGCUUCGCACUCAUUAAGAAGAUAAGGGUGGGUCUCCAGCAGGCUGGAGAGAAUCAGUAACUUGAAGUGGUAAAAAAGGGUUAGAGACAGAGGGUGGGUCAAUGAAAGGAGAGGAUUUAAUAUAGUUUAAAGUUCCAACAUGUGGAAAAUUAAGAGGAGGAUGGGCUUUUGAGUAGGUGGAAGAAGGUUUUUGAUGGGUGGGUGGGGGAGAGGGANNNNNNNNNNNNNNNNNNNNNNNNNNNNNNNNNNNNNNNNNNNNNNNNNNNNNNNNNNNNNNNNNNNNNNNNNNNNNNNNNNNNNNNNNNNNNNNNNNNNNNNNNNNNNNNNNNNNNNNNNNNNNNNNNNNNNNNNNNNNNNNNNNNNNNNNNNNNNNNNNNNNNNNNNNNNNNNNNNNNNNNNNNNNNNNNNNNNNNNNNNNNNNNNNNNNNNNNNNNNNNNNNNNNNNNNNNNNNNNNNNNNNNNNNNNNNNNNNNNNNNNNNNNNNNNNNNNNNNNNNNNNNNNNNNNNNNNNNNNNNNNNNNNNNNNNNNNNNNNNNNNNNNNNNNNNNNNNNNNNNNNNNNNNNNNNNNNNNNNNNNNNNNNNNNNNNNNNNNNNNNNNNNNNNNNNNNNNNNNNNNNNNNNNNNNNNNNNNNNNNNNNNNNNNNNNNNNNNNNNNNNNNNNNNNNNNNNNNNNNNNNNNNNNNNNNNNNNNNNNNNNNNNNNNNNNNNNNNNNNNNNNNNNNNNNNNNNNNNNNNNNNNNNNNNNNNNNNNNNNNNNNNNNNNNNNNNNNNNNNNNNNNNNNNNNNNNNNNNNNNNNNNNNNNNNNNNNNNNNNNNNNNNNNNNNNNNNNNNNNNNNNNNNNNNNNNNNNNNNNNNNNNNNNNNNNNNNNNNNNNNNNNNNNNNNNNNNNNNNNNNNNNNNNNNNNNNNNNNNNNNNNNNNNNNNNNNNNNNNNNNNNNNNNNNNNNNNNNNNNNNNNNNNNNNNNNNNNNNNNNNNNNNNNNNNNNNNNNNNNNNNNNNNNNNNNNNNNNNNNNNNNNNNNNNNNNNNNNNNNNNNNNNNNNNNNNNNNNNNNNNNNNNNNNNNNNNNNNNNNNNNNNNNNNNNNNNNNNNNNNNNNNNNNNNNNNNNNNNNNNNNNNNNNNNNNNNNNNNNNNNNNNNNNNNNNNNNNNNNNNNNNNNNNNNNNNNNNNNNNNNNNNNNNNNNNNNNNNNNNNNNNNNNNNNNNNNNNNNNNNNNNNNNNNNNNNNNNNNNNNNNNNNNNNNNNNNNNNNNNNNNNNNNNNNNNNNNNNNNNNNNNNNNNNNNNNNNNNNNNNNNNNNNNNNNNNNNNNNNNNNNNAGAGCGGCAGCAUUUUAAAGACGGUUUAAGAGCUUUGUCAGAAGGACUUUGGUGGGAAAAUGGUAGACAAGAGUCUUUGGAACCAAAACAAAAAAGGUUAGGGAAAAGGUUCUUUUUUACAGCCGAGGGGCUAGAUGGCAAGGAAACUGAUAGAAGAGGAGGGAGGUCAGUCGGUGGAAUGGAAGAGGUGCCAGUAGAGGACACAGAGACAGUUUUCUUGACAGGUACGUAGUGUUUGCCUUUAGGAACUCCUCCCGAAGCCUGCUUACGAGAGUCAUUGAUAGGAGUUUUACCAUUUUGUUUCUUUGCAGAUUCAGUAGCAGUAGGAGGGUUCUUCGGUGGAGUGUAUGUCAACCAGUUACGCACCACAUGACCUAGUUCUUUGCAAUGGGAACAGAUCGGAGGCAGCCAAGGAUAGUCAACUUGAACUUCAACCACUUCUCCAUUUUGCCUCUCAAACUCAACUACACGAGGUAAUGGUUUAGUGAGAUUCACUUCUACUUUGACAUGAGACAGAGUGAGACUGACUAGGUUUAGUGUGAAAUCAUCAGUCUCUUUGGGUUCACCCACUAAACCUGCAACAAGACUGAGACCCUGCUGAUAACGGAGAUCAAAAGGGACACCGGUAAGAUGGGCCCAAAUCUGGAUGGAGCUAAGAGGAGGAGUUGAGGCCGAGUGAGCUGACGACCACUGAGCGGUAUGAAACAUCGAGUCUCCAACAUACCAUAUAUUUUUCUCAAGUAUCUUUUGUCUCAAAUAAUCACUAGGGAUACAGACAAUGGCUGAGCGCUGAAGGGGAUUGUUGUGAAUCUCAAGCUUUCUUCCCUUUUCCCACAUGUGGGAGAGGACACUUUGGAUUUGGUUGAAUGGAGGGGGGCGCCCAUUGAAAUAACAGACAAUGAAAUCUUUGUGCAAUUCAGCUCCUUUAUGGAAAACAGAGUCAGGUAUGAUGACGUGAGGUCUGCCAUUGUCUGCCAGCAGCAAUGGAGCAAGUCGCUUGAGUGAUUUAUCCCCUUUAACUCGUAACUGGUCAGCCAGCGUCGGAGGAAACUGAGGAGCAGCUACUGACGUAGGAGGAUUUGAAACAGGGGGUUUGAAGGAAAGGGAAGGAUGGAGGGAUUUGGAGGGUUGUUAGUGUUUGAGGAUAGGGUUUCAGUAACAUGGGGUGGGUUUGUGGAGGGUUUAGGGUUUAAAGCUUUAUUAGUUAGGAGAGGAGAGUUGUGUGAAGGCGAGAAGAGUUUGUAACAGUCUGAAGGGUUAGCAGUUGAAGGUAAGGUUGAGUUUGAAAUUAAAGUUUGGCUAGGGUUUCCUGUAGCAGGAACAGUAGUUUGAGAUACAAUCUCAGUUUGGUUUGGAACAAAAAUGGUAGGAAUUGGACAGUUUUCAGGAGAAGACUGGACCAUAGUUAUGUCUACUAUCACUAGAAACAAAUUCUGAGUCGCAGAGACCUCAGCAGUUGGGGGAGAAAGGUGGGAUCUACGGGCAGCGGAGAGGGAAGUUUUGGAUGGGAUGGUAGAAAGGGGAGGGAAUUGAAUGGGGGAAAGAGAUGAGGAUGGGUCAGGGGGGUCAGGCGGGAAAGGCGGAGGCAGGUGAGCAUCACCGGAGGUAGGUGACAGUGGUUUCGCGGCGAAAGAAAGACCAGGUUUGCCCCAACGAGACCGUAUCGGUAAGCGUGUCAGAAAAAAACUGACAUACAAACUCACGGGUUUUUACGCUACAUAAUUUUGUACGUAAAUCAAACACACAUGAUCCUGAUUUUGAUCUAGACUGAAGAGAAGAUGAUGAUCAACAACCUCCCCUGAAUGAUGACCUUAGAAGAAUUGUUCAAGAAGUGGCUGGUUCGAGACAAUAUAUGAAAUGAUUACAUCAUAUUGCAAUAGAUUUAUGAAAUACUCAUGGGUAGACAUAUUAUAAUUUCUAUUAUGCAAAAAUUUAUGUUUUAUUAAAAAUGGUUAAAGAUGGUUAAUUUAGUUUAUGGAAAUUUUAUUAUUAUUAUUUGUUAUUUAUUCAGCAAAAUUAAAUUUAUUAUAAAUUUAUUUCAUAUUGUUUAUAUAUUAUUUAAUAUAUAUAUAAUAGUAAUCUACAUCUAAUUUUAUACCAAUUAAGAUUUAUAAGAAAAAUAACCGUUCAAAUUUUACAACCAAAUUUUACAGCAAUGCAAUAUAAAGCUAUGAUAAAAAGUUCAAAAAUUUAAUCUAUGAAAAAAAAAUUAAAGUUACAAAUCAGGUCUUAGGUUGGAGAUUAUAGUCUGAUAUUUUCUUCUAAUUAAUCAAAACCGUUGUUAAA